RNAcentral lists this long non-coding RNA (89722 nucleotides) under Triticum aestivum (bread wheat). RNAcentral's name for it is "long non-coding RNA (TAES_LNC017303)". The stretch from base 82807 to 82925 matches the Rfam family "MIR1120/MIR1122 microRNA precursor family". Lineage: Eukaryota; Viridiplantae; Streptophyta; Magnoliopsida; Poales; Poaceae. The record is from RNAcentral.
CAGUUCAGGAGUUGGCACGCUUGGAUCAUCGCAGGGGUGCUUACACUUUGCUAUAGCUUCUUCCAUUGAUAAUAUUGAACUCUGGUGCCUCAAGGAUUGUGACAGUAAAGAAUUGGUCCUGAAGAAUACCGCCAGCGUCAAUAAGCUUACGAGCAUGACUAGGAAGUGGUAUAGUGUGGCUGAGAUUCAUCCAGAUUGUGACACCAUUUUCCUGGUUUCAUGGGAAGGUGAUGCCUUGGCAGCUACGAUAUGCAACAUCAGAAAGUUGGUUGUAUCCUUAAUGUUGAGAUAAACAUAGGACAACGGCAGCGGUUUCUAUCCUAUGUUCCUCUGUUUUUAGAGUCAUUAGCAGAUGCAGAUGGGCAGUAGUGUGACCUCUAAAAAUUGGAUCUUUUGUCAGCUGAAGUACUUGUUUGUGUACCUCUGAAUCUGCUUGAAUCAUGCCGCCCAAUUUGCUGGUGCUUGCACUCCCAUUUGGUUGAUUUCCAGUUCAGAACAAUGCCUGGUAAACCUAUAGAUUAAGCAUAAUGUCAUUUCCGAAGAACAUUGUUACCCAUGUUCUUGUUUACCUAGCACUGGUUGUUGUUCUGGACAUGUAUUAGUUCCAUGGGGCUAUGUUAUUACUGUAAUCAGCCUUCUUGUCCAUAAUAAUCAAUUAUUAUGAUUAUCCCAAAUCCUAGUGCAGAUUGUCAACCUCUUAGUGUACUACUAAAAGUUUCAACCUGUGCAAUGUCUAGUUGACCUUAUUCAUUCAGUAUUUUAGUAAAACACUGCCUUUGAGCAAGUUCCUUUUAUAUAUGUUUUCUAUAGCUAAUGAAUUCAGUAGAGCCUUGGUUCUGUUAAUCCCAGAGAAAUUGCAUCAAUGCCAGUAAAAAAAAAAUUAACAUUGGAAUCUUUGACGAAAAGUUUUCCUACUGGGUGUAUGCACGUUUCGUCCGUUUUUGUUGUUUCAGAUGAUAAACCGAAGGUAUGUAGCAUAUAAGCUUGUGUUUCGCAUAUCCAAAUAGGAUUUUGGCAGGUCCCAGGACAUGUCAUUUACUAUUUUACGAAUGUAGUGACCCUAACAUAUAGGCUUGUCUGUUGGUUUGGACGCUUAGCGUUGUGCGCUCUUAGAAGCCAUAUAUAUUGAAGCCCUGGCAUUGCGGUGUCGAUGUGCCUUGUGGCUGUAUGCAUCGAACUAUACGUGGAAGGAAGAGAAAUCGCUGUGUACAUCGCCAGACUCCAAAAUUCUGUCAAAAAAUGAAAAUCAUAAUGUCAGUAUAAUGCUGAUACUGCACAACCAUGGAAACCUACAAGGUAGGAAAAAUUAAGCAAAUCAUCAUGUUGCCAGUGCUUCAUGGUUCGGUAAAGAGGCAAAAAAGCUGCCUGAAGCAAAUCGUUCAUUCUAUAGAGAGGAGGCAAAUUGUCAAAGCGUGGUUGCAGCUUCAGAACUGCAUACUCUUGUAUAAUCUCCAUGUCUGCUCUAAUUUUGGGGGUGCAGUACACCAGUAGCAGUGUAGCAGAAGCAGAUCGGACUAUUUCAGAGGUUUCUAUUUCUGAAGCUGCCCAAGGUAUGUGCGUACAAACAACAGCAUUUGGUAGCUUCUUUUCUUUGUGUCCUCUGUCUAUUCUGCAAAAAACUGCAAGUAAUUAAGUAUACUAAUUAAUGGUUAACAGUGGCCAAGCAUGCAUGAACGAAACAUGUUUUCCAUGUCGGCAGUAUCAAGAAAUUUUUAGCUAUUGGGUUAGAUCGAUUCAAUUUGCUGUUGUACAUUAAUCAUGAGUCCUGAAUGUGUAAUGCUACUGUUAAUUGUAUGUUGAAUGGUUUUUUUUUUAGCUAGUACUUGUUCAGUUGAACAAUUCAUGGUGUAUAUCUUAUUCGAUAUCACUGAUUGGAGGGGAUACUAGGUUGUGAAAUGGCAUUAGCCUGCCAAAAACAAUGAUAAGUAGCACGUUACAUCGCUUGAUCUGUCUGGGGAAUUCUGGGAAAAGAAAUAUGGUGGUCUUGUGAUAGUAUUAUAAUCACUUCACCCUGAAAUGAAUUAUUACAAUAGUACAUAUAGUAAUAUCCAUCAUACCAUAUCUCCGUGCUAGUCAUAUAUUACAGAGGGGUCCUAGAACGUGUUGGGUAUAGAACUAAUGGUCCCUGAUCCCAUGGUUACUUCUGUUGCUCUAGUCACAUUUGAUGAUGCUUAUAGAGAAAAAAAAUCAGUGAUGUGUGGUUUAUCAGAUGGUUUUUUAGGCCUACAAGAUGCUCAAUUAAAAUUUUGAAGUGGUUAGAAAAUAAUCUGCUCCAUGCUGCAAUCGAAGGUCCUUUGGUCUACUGUGGAGCAAACCAGGACUGAGGAGGUGCUGUCUAAGAUUUUACUAGGUAAAAGAAGAUAAUAAGUGUUUGUUUGUAGUUGAGUUUCUGUUCUAGUACUUGUGGAUGUUAGUUUUAAUCUGCUUUGAUUAGUUGGUAGGUGUUGUUCAUUACUCCUUGACAGGUACUGUAUGUGUAUUGGUGGUGGCACCAGUAGCUACUAUAUCUUCUUUUCAUCGGGCACCACUGAUUUUAAUGAAAAAGCAGGCCCUGUGCCUUUUGUCUAUAACAUAUAUAGUAUGCAAUUUCAUUCAUUUUUGGUGAAACUUAAAGUUUCAUUCUCCGCAAUUUACAACAACUUCAUUAACAAGUUCUAUAUUAAGAAUUGUAUCUGCAAUUUCACAGUAAGAGAAUGAAUGCAACAUUAUUUCUGUUUGUUUGAGCCACCGGUCCAUGCAUGCGUGUAAGUUAGUGAAAAUGCAACUUUAUUUAUCAAUUGGUUAUUUCCCAACCUGUCUUAAGAUAAUGGGAGUUUUCAGCACUGGGCACGCCUUUUUUUAUGAUGGGUGUAGUUCUGUAAGCAUGGGUUCGUUACUUUGUUUUAUGUUUUCUCUGAAAUCAUUUCAGUGUGGUUAUAUUAUUUCUUGAUGGCUUACAGUUUCUAGUAUUUUUUCUAGUGGCAUGAUGAGUAUAUGAUGACAACCAAGACAGAGACUCUGCAGCGUUCCCGACUUCAGAUAGGGUCACGAAUGCUUCGUCCGUCUAGGGGAAUUUUUGAUGCUAUUCUCACUCCCCUUUCAGGCUUUAUUCCUUGUGUUUUCCGUCUUCAUUCUUCUGUUAUUUUGAUUUAGGCGCUUGUAACUGUUAGAAGCAUUUAGCAAUAAAAAAUGCUUAAUCCGAGGCACUUGACAUUUUGCUAUUCAGGUAUGGGGGUGCACUGAGAUUUUUUUUUUUUGAAAGGGGAUCUCCCCGGCCUCUGCAUCAGAGUGAUGCAUACGGCCAUCUUAUUAACGAAAUAAAAGAUUCCAACAAGGUUUCAAAGUCUCCGACUGAAAAGUAAUAAAAAGACAGCUCACACAGAGCUAAAGAGGCUGGACACACAGACUGGCCAAGAUAAGACGCCACAACCGGCUGACUAAAGAUAGAUAGGUAAACUAAUUGCCUAUCCUAUUACAUGACCGCCAUCCAAACCGGUUGAAGAUAUCCCGAGCUACCAUCUCCCAGCGGAUAGAUCUAGUAACCAAAUGCUCCCUGGCCUCCAUCGGAGUGAGUAGCGACCAUGAACGGAUCACGGCCGUGGCUCGGAAAAUAACCUGCAAAAAGUGAAUACGUGAUGUUCUGUUAAAAACCAAAUCAUUUCUGCAAGUCCAGAUAGUCCACAACAAAGCGCAAACUCCAACACGAAUAUGUCUCGCUAAUUCAGGCUCAAUCCCAGUGAGCCAUGUCCCAAAUAACGUAGUGACAGAAUUCGGUGGAGUAAUAUUAAAAGCAAUGUGAACCGUCCGCCAAAGUACUCUGGCAAACGGGCAAUCAAAAAAGAGAUGUUUGAUCGUCUCGUCCCGAUCACAGAAGCUACACCUCGUAGGUCCUGUCCAAUUACGCUUAAUCAAGUUAUCCUUGGUUAAAAUAACCUGUUUAUGGACAAACCACAUAAACACUUUUAUUUUCAAAGGAACUUUGACAGCCCAAACAUGCUUGGAGGUAGGAAUGGAGCUCGAAUUAAUUACAUCAAUAUACAUUGAUUUAACCGUGAAUACUCCAGACCUAGUCAGUUUCCAGCGUAAUUCAUCGGAUUGUUGAGAAAGAUGAACAUCCAUUAGUCUCCGAACUAGACGGAGCCAAUCUUCCCAAUGAUUGCGCACUAACGACCGUCUGAACUGAAUAUUAAGGGGGAUGGAUUGAAACACCGUAGCAACGAACACCUCACGUCGUUGAACAAUGCGAUAUAAAGACGGAUAUUGAAUGGCCAAGGGUGUCUCGCCGAGCCAAGUAUCCUCCCAGAAGCGUGUACUAGCGCCGUUGCCAAUAACAAUCUUUGUCCUAUUAAACAGAGAUUGUUUGACUUUCAUCAAGAAUACAGACCUGAAUCCACGUCUCCGUUGAAUCCCAGUCGGCCACUGUGCUUGAUGCCUUUCUUGGUUUCUUGGCUAGGUUUCUCUCGGGAGUGAAUUACAAAACGCCAACAUGUGCAAACAUUAAAUGGGCUCUGGGAAUGGAUGUGUAGAAACAAAAGUUAUGUAGACUUUGGCAGAUCGGAUGAAUACCCUCACUAGAUUCAAGGUACUUGCUUAAGGAAUAAGGAGUAUUUGGCAUUUGCUUGAGGUUUCUCACUAUCCAUGAUAUACCACAAGAGGUUUUUCUCAAGUCAUCAUGGAUAGAUUGGUCGUUUUUCUGUCUUUUCAUUGGUAAGACAUGACAAAUUCGUGAAUUAAAGUACUUUCCAUCUUUCGACAUGAGCAAGACUAGCAUAUGCUGAGAAGCUAAGACAAGAAUAUCUGUUGCUCAUUAAAUCAAAUCAGAAACAUUGUGUGCUCAGCCAGCCUGAUGAUUACCUUUCCACUAAGAAUGGAGAUCGGAAUACACUCCUUUGCUCCGUUGAGGCCCGCUUGACUGUUGUGGUCCAUUACCUCCCUCCGUUUCCAAAUGACUGAGCAAUUUUCUAUCAGUGGUAAAUUGGAUCAGGCAUGCAUACAUACAUAUCUUUCAUCUUCCAUCAAACUGGCUAGGCUGGCUCCGUCGUGGGUAUAUCUGAAGAUACAAAAAGUAUGAAGGCUUUCGUGAAUGCACACUAUGCUCUGUUCUGUAAUAUUAUUCACUAGUUACCUGUUCAAGAAAUUGUUUGUGGACUCAUGUAGCAACUUUCUAGGAUUGAUGAUUUCUUGCAAAGAUUUGUGAUAUGUUUUCGUUUAGUGUUGAAGUAUGCAGUUGAAUAUUUUGGCUUCCCCGUUGGGGCAUUUUGAUCUAGUGGCCUGAUGAUUACCAUUGUUUUCAUCAAGAAUGGAGAUCUGAAUGCACUCCCGUGUUGAAGCAUGCUUGGCCACUCUGGUGGACGGCUAUUGCUAACUAUCUGCCACCACCACUGCUACCUGCCGAACUAUUCUGCCCUCCCGUACUGUUAAUUGCUUCCGCCAAGCUGUCUAAGUGUGCUCUGGGGGACAAAACUAAUAUGCUGAUGCAACAAGUAUGAAGGCUCGGCAGAUCGAAAUAACACUCCAACUUAAACUAUCUUGUCUAUUAAAAUGUUAAUGUUUUUAUGUAGUUUUUUUCAACCCUGCUUGCUGAAUGGUCAUGGGUCUUUCUGCUGAUGCUUUUGCAACACUGAUUUGCCGAACUGUCAUCUUUCUACUAUGCGAUGUUUGUUAUUUUUGCAACCUUGACUGCGGGAUGUUCAGGCCUUUCUGCAUUUUUUGUUAUUGCGUUAUGUACCUCUAUCAAACAUUGCUGUUGUUUCCUUGUGUAAUUUCAAUUGGGAUCACCAAAAUGUAUUAUUUUGCAGGCAUUUGAUAUGUGUGCAGGAUUACUGUCGGUCACUUGAAGAGCUAAAGCAGACAACUGAUCCAGAGAAAGGAAGAAGGCAAGGCAGGUAGGGCUGCUGUUGAGGUGCAAAUCGGCUGUUCAGUUGUGUAAAGGAGGACGAUCAUCCGUUACUAAGCUCCUUAGGAGGCAGGACUGCUGUUGAGGGCGCAUUAGGCGGCCAAUGGCCCCUUGCUGCAGCCGGCUCAGGUCAUCCCGACUAUGCUUAGGGCAGGAUCGAUGAACGGCUAUCACCUCUGAAUAUGAUGCAAUAAAGAAUAUGUUUCCCGUUAAAUAGACUACCGGAGAAUUUUUCGAGUUCCUUUGAGAGAAUCAGAUGCUAUCAAACGAUCGAGCUCUUCUAUGUACAAGAAUUAAUGACACAUCCAAGAUCAUAGGAGACAAGAACAGACAAAUCAAGGUGGUCCAAUCAAUCCCAAUCGAGUGCGUACAACACACGGUGGGUCUUAAUUAGUAAGCCCUUUAUAUAGAAAUUAAUAGCUGAUGUGUUAGGUUUAUUCGAUUUCCUGCGGUGCAUUAAUCACAAGUCUUCCUGAAUGGGUACGUAGUACUCCCUCAUUUCUGGUUUAUAGGGCUUGUCUUAAAAUUUUAGUUUUUCUAUUUUACAAGGCUCAAUUUGAUUGUUCCUCAUCACAAGUUCAGAUUCCAAAGUGCAUUAAAUCAUUACAUGUAAGUAUUAAGAGAAAAUUGACCAAUGCAUGUACUUUAUGCAUGCAUGCAUUGCAAUUAAUGCAUUGAUAAACAUAAUUUUUUGAGAAAAACAAAAACAUUAAUUGGGUGCUUUUGCAAACUACAAAAAGUAUUCCACCACUCACCAUCUACCUUGAUUGGUGAGAUUUUUGAAUUGAGCCCUAUAAACCGAAAAGGAGGGAAUACUCCUUUUCAUUAUACUCACUCCAUUUUUGUAUAGAAGGCCACUAUUAAAAUUACAAUUUGUAGCUAUACAAGGCCACUAACACCAAUCGAGGUAAAAUUGAUGAGGUUUGCCUCGUACUAGCAACCGGGGACAUUAAUACCCAUGCAUGCAUGUGGGAGUGAGAAGGUUGGUUUGCAUGCAUCAUAUUAAUCAACCAACAAGGAAUGAGAGAGUUGUCUUGUUGUGCGUUGGAGAGAAAAUACACAUUAAUUAACAUGGCAAGCGAGGAGAAAUGACUAGUUUGCAACAUUGCCUUAAGUAGCCAUUAAUAUCUACCUUGAUACCUGUAAUAUGACUUUGUGGCCUUGUAUACAAAAAUGGAGGGAGUAUAUCGAAUGGUUUCCUUCUAGCUAAGACUUAUUCAGUUGAGCAAUUCAUGGUCCUGUAUGCCAGUAAUUUUAUAUCAUGCAUGCCUACAUUAUUAUCAAAAAAGGCUUUCGCCCCGCUUUAUAUAUAAAGCAACGACCAAAAGUAUAAAUCCGGGAACAACACGCAACCACCCACACACCACACACACCCAAGGCAAGAUACAAGGGUGCCGAUGCACCGCAACACUACCCAAUCGACCACCAAGCACACUACCAAACACUUGGGUUCGACGAGGACCUUCCGAGACCUAGCCACCGAGAAGAAGUGAAGCGGGACAAUGGCGAAGCAUGGACUCCAAGGCGGUGCGUUCGAGAAGGGCUCUAUACUGAAAGUCGCCACCGCCCGAUCUCGGAGAUCAAGUUUUUACCCGGAGCAACAUGGAGAGAAGAGAACACCACGACGGAGCCUUCAUGAAGGAAACAACGCCCGCGACCGCCGCCACCGUCGGCCGGAGAAGACCGGGCAAGUUAUGUACUCCGGUGUUAACCCUCUACCAAACCACCAUGCUUCGCCAAACAUCACCAACCAUGCCACCCACGUGGCCAUGGCUGCCCGACCACACCCAAGACGCGCGCUCCGCCCACGAACACUGCGUCACCUGCCGCCAGGGCCGCCGCCCAGCAUCCAAGCAACUCCGUGAACACCCAAAGGCCUUGGCUUUGGCCUGACUGGCAGCCCCCGCCUAUGAAGAUGCCAGCAACCGCCCUGCCUCGAACAUCGCCAGAACCCCAACAAAGAGCACACAGCCGAGGAAAGGGGGAGGAGGAGCGGAUGCAUCCGUACCGGUGCACCCCUGCGCCGGCGACGGGUGGCCAUCGGGGCCUCCCAUCCCUCCUGAGAACUCCCCACCGGACACACGCCCGUGUCGCCUCACCAUGGCGCCCGCCGCAGCUCGACGCGAGGCCACCAACGGCAGCCCGCCCAACCAUCGACAAGGAGCGCGAAGCCAACCCGCACCCGCAGCCAAGAGCACACACCGGGAGAGCCACCCCGCGCCGCUCGCCGCCGUCCAGGGGCCGGAACAGGGGAGCCCUGACUGGAGGUCGGCCAGCACGCACCACCAGCGCGCGCGCCCGCCGCGAGCCCAACCACCGCACUGCACGCAGCAGCAAAAGCUCCCGCGCCCGCCCGUGAGGCGCCGCGCAUCGCCCGCGCCCGCCAGACUGCCAGAUCUCGCCGUGCCCAGACCUGGCCGCCACCGCAGCCACGAGCGCNNNNNNNNNNNNNNNNNNNNNNNNNNNNNNNNNNNNNNNNNNNNNNNNNNNNNNNNNNNNNNNNNNNNNNNNNNNNNNNNNNNNNNNNNNNNNNNNNNNNNNNNNNNNNNNNNNNNNNNNNNNNNNNNNNNNNNNNNNNNNNNNNNNNNNNNNNNNNNNNNNNNNNNNNNNNNNNNNNNNNNNNNNNNNNNNNNNNNNNNNNNNNNNNNNNNNNNNNNNNNNNNNNNNNNNNNNNNNNNNNNNNNNNNNNNNNNNNNNNNNNNNNNNNNNNNNNNNNNNNNNNNNNNNNNNNNNNNNNNNNNNNNNNNNNNNNNNNNNNNNNNNNNNNNNNNNNNNNNNNNNNNNNNNNNNNNNNNNNNNNNNNNNNNNNNNNNNNNNNNNNNNNNNNNNNNNNNNCGACGCGGUAUUCGAUAUCACUGAUUGGAGUAAUGACCAGAUUUAAUUAUUUUUGCAUGUGGAAUGCGUGGGGUGUAGGACUAAUGUCACGUGCCUGAUCCCACGGUUAGCUCUAUUGUUCUAGUCGCAUAUACUGAAAAAGACCCCAGUGUUGCGUGCUUUUUCAGAUGGUUUUUGUAGGCCUACAAGAUGCUCAAUUCAAAUUCAGAAGUGGUUACUGGAGUAAUUGUACAGGCAACAACCAUAGCCACGAUUUGGCAAUGCUGUUCCCUUCCCUCUGGCAGUUCUUAUGUUUCGGUUGGCAGCAAAUGUCUUCUCCAAAGCUAUAUGGGUCCUCUUGUUUGUAAACUAGAACUCAAAAGUUGUUCCACCCCUGCCUUUUGUUUAAAACAUACGUAGUGUGAAGUUUCAAUUUAAAACAUAUGUAGUUUCAAUUUAGAUAUUCUAGAUUUUGGACUAAAAUUAUCAUGUUAAAAAUCAUAUUUUAUAAUAUAUAUUUAUGUUUUUUUGCAUAAUUUGCACUCCGACUAAUUUAUGCAGCAAUAUGUUCGUACUCUGGAUAUUUUGCACUCCAGUCUAACUUAUGCAGCAAUAUUUUGGUACUCUGGCAGAAAUUUGCACCGCAGCACCAUUUACAUGCUGCAUGCAUUCUUGCACGAAAUAUAUGUGCCAAUUUGCGUAAAAAUAAUAAACAUUUUGUUUCUUCUGAAGGCAUCUCUUGAAGCCAACCAUGCCAAAUUAUCUGAAGGUCUGCUGCGGACUCAAAAUAAUAUACAUUUUCAGGUUAAAAAGAAUUUCUUCUGUUAUAAUAUAUUCUCAAGGCAGCUGGGUGAUACUUGGAGCUGUGCCAUGUUAUUCACGGCACCUGAAAAAAAUGAAGUCUGAUUUAAACCCUGACAUCAUAGAGCUCGUCAAAAACGAACCCUCACCUCUGAAUCCCUGAAAACUAUACCUUGUCCUCUCUAAUCUCGGUCAUUUUUAACCCUGCGGUCACAUCCAAACAGGGAUUUUUUAUUUGGCAUCGGGAAAGGCCGGGAUCGGUGGGUUAGGCAGCACAUGUGUGGGGUCCACUCGUCAGUAAGAGAAAAGAAAGAGGAUUCGAAAAAGAGACCUCUGUGUUGAACUGCGGAACGUGUGGACCAACCCAGCUAACGAGUUCUCCUCAGCUGCACCCGGGGUCAGUGAGGAAGGAAAAAUGUGCCUGGUGCAGCUUCGAUGCUGAAGCACUGUGGCUGCCUCGCGCGCUCACGGAUGUGCUAGGGCGAAUGGGUGUGCAGCAGUAUGGAAACCCACCCAGCGACGUGCGCUGCGUACAUGAUGAAGAAGAGGAAGUAGGUGGAGGGCAGCGCGGAAGCCCCGGCGGAGAGGUAUAUAUGCUGGCUCGCCGGUGCCAAGCCGACGUUGUACGUGGCUGAGCUGACGUCCAUGGAGACCUUGAGGUCCCCAACAACGGUGAUGCAGUUGGGGACGACGUUGUACCUAGCGAUGCACGAGCAGGUGAGACGGCCAAUGUAUGAAGCCGUCUACAAACAGUUGGAAGUCGGCGAGCGCCACGACGUCGCCAUCAGUACCCGCUAGGUACGCGAUCCUCACGUCUGUGGGCAAGUACGUGUACACACCUCUCGUAUCUUGGACUGCUCGUAGAUGCAUACCUCUGUGUUGAAGUAGCUAGCCUAUUGUUGAAUAAAUUAAAUGUCAUGAAGUUGAAAUCAUAUCAUGCCUAGUGGUAGCUUCACAUUGGGUUUAGAAAGUGAAAUCUUUUAAGGCUUGAUAAUCACAAUAUUGGUCAUACAAGAAAUUCACGAAUGAUUAGUACAAGUAAGAGAACUUUCACAUGCAAAUACACUAUCUAGGAAAUCUUUUGUGAUUGUGAGCCCCCGUCACAAUAUUAUAUGCCAAAAUAGUUGAUGCUGGACAAGGAAGACAACGUAAUAAUUCAUGUUUGUUCAUAUUCACAUAGAAGUUAUAUUGUCAUAGAUCCUUCAACAUGUGAUGCUUGCCUUCCAUCUUUGCUAGCCAAAAAUUCCGCACCAAGUAGAGAUACUACUUGUGCAUCCAAAAAUCCUUAAACCCAAAUCUUAUUUUCAAGAGUCCACCAUACCUACCUAAGGAUUGAGCAAGAUUCUUCAAGUAAGUUGUCAUCAGUGCAAUAAGGCAAUAAAAUUGCUUCUAAAAAGUGUUAGAUCAUUUGGUGUAAGAGAAAAUUGAGCAUUGUACGAACUUGUGAUGGCAAAGAAUAAAAGCAACAGACUGCUAUCAUAAGGGGCAAUAUAACGUGACGUUCUUUUGCACUAAGGGGUUGAGCAUACAAACAAAAGUCAAAGUUUUUCUCUCUAUUCCUUUUUAUUUUUCUCUUUUGGCAAGCAUCAUGUGGUGAGGAAAGAUCUAGGCACAUAUAUCCAGUUGGAUAUGGGUAGCAUGUGUUAUUAUUGUUGUUAUCACCCUUGAGGUGAAUACGUUGGGAGGUGAAAUUAUAAGUCCUAUCUUUCUAUGUGUCCGGUUGAAACGUUCUGCUCAUGUGUAUGCGGUGAGUGUUAGUAAUCACAGAAGACUAUAUGAUGGUUGAGUGUGUGGAGCUCUUACUUACACUGUUGAAUAAGUUGAAUUGCAAUUGCUUGGUGACUGAGAACAUAGGUUGUUGAGUUUUAAGAGAAUUCAUUGUUCGAAUCUUAACAUGUGAAUUGGUUGCUACUUUAACAUGAGAAGAAAUUUUAUGAGAAAAAAAUUGAUGUUAUGAUGCUAGGAAAAGUGAUUGAAAUUAUCAUUGAUCAGACUUGUGCACUUUGCUAGCACAUACUUCAUAAAUUAUUUCUUUUACCAUUUACCUACUCGAGGACGAGUAUGAAUUGAACUUGGGGAUGCUGAUACGUCUCCAACGUAUCUAUAAUUUAUGAAGUAUUCAUGUUGUUAUAUUAUCAUUCUUGGAUAUUUUACAAUCAUUUUAUAGCAACUUUUAUAUCAUUUUUGGGACUACCUUGUUGACCCAUUGCCCAGUGCUAGUUGCUGUUUUUUGCUUGUUUUUACAUCGCAGGAAAUUAAUAUCAAACGGAGUCCAAACACCGUGAAACUUUUUGUGGAUUUUUUUGGACCAGGGGACUCCCGAUGGGCCAGAGCAGUACCUGGGGGGUGCCCUGAGGGGGGCACAGUCCACCUGAGGGCGCUUGGGGGCUCAGGCGCGCCCAGGUGGGUUGUGCCCACCUCGGUGGCCUCCUGCACCCCCUCUUCGCCCUAUAAAUUUCCAAAUAUUUCAAAAACCCUCGGGGAAACCCUAGAUGAGAAGUUCCACCGCCGCAAGCCACUGUAGCCACCGAAAACCAAUCUAGACCCUGUUUCGACACUCCUCCGGAGGGGGAAAUCAUCACCGGUGGCCAUCUUCAUCAUCCCGGCGGCCACCACGAUGAGGAGGGAGUAGUCCACUCUCGGGGCUGAGGGUUUGUACCAGUAGCUAUGUGUUUAAUCUCUCUCUCUCUCUCUCUCUCGUCUUCUUGAGAUGUCAUGAUCUUGAUGUAUCGCGGGCUUUGUUAAUAUAGUCGGAUCAUAUGGUGUUUUCCCCUCUCUAUCUUGUUGUGAUGAAUUGAGUUUUUCCCUUCGAGAUUUCGUUGUCAUCGGAUUGAAUACUUUUAUGGAUUUGAGAGCACUUGAUAUAUGUCUUGCAUAUGAAUACUCGUGGUGACAAUGGGGUAUCGUAUUGAUUCACUUGAUAUAUGUUUUGGCACUCAACUCGCUGAUUCCCGAGUUGACAUUGGGGUAAUCUAUGCAUAGGGGUUGAUGCACGUUCUCAUCUUCUGUUUCUCCGGUAGAAAUCUUGGGGCACUCUUUGAGGUUCUUUGUUUUGCAUUGAGCCUUCGAGGCGAUGGAGUCAGCUAGGUGUUUGCUAACUCUCAGGAGCAACAGUGUCAAGUGGGGGCGGCAGCAUUGGAGGAAUUCAUUUUGGGUGGUGCUCCUCGAGUAUCGAGCCGUGACUUUCAAGGUGAAAACCUAAGGUUUGGCCCUCAUUGGUUGUGCCUGGCAAUUGCCUUGCUGAAGGAAUUGUUUUGAGAGCUCGGACUUCUUCCAGGUGAAAACCUAAGAUCCUGGAUCAAGCAACGAUGGUGCUUGUGCACUGUUUCCUUCUUGGAGGCGUUGCUUUUGAAGACCUUUUAUGUUUUCCGAGUGUUGCAUUUCGUGGUGGUUUGUGUGCGGCUACUGAGAUAAGUCGAUCGCCGUGGUGGGGCCUUUGUUUUUUCCUUUCUCUUCUAUUUUUUUUCUUUGGCCGUGUGCAUACUGGAUGUCAUUACGACAUUUUGUAGGUGCAGAGGCUGGGCGUAAUUGGUAUCUGCGCGAUAUUAUUGUAUUCCCCUUUAAUUUUUUUUAAAGAAUCAUGUAGAGCGAGGCCAUUGAUUGAGAAAAGGACAUAGCUUGUCGAUAGGUUCAAUCAGAUCCACAGUAUGUUGUUGUCGUUGGAUUGCUUUGUACUACAGAAAAAUAUGUGAUAUCGAUACUUAUCCCAGAUUGCUUGCAUUUGUUGCCAAACAUUAAGCCAUUGCUAUGCAUUUGCACGAUGCAUGCGCCAUUUACAUUUUUCGCCCGCCCCAGUAUAACAUUUCUCUAGUUUUGGGCACUAGCCCAAACUAGACAUUCGUAUAGAUUCUUAGAAAUUUGUGGGGGCACGUAUCUACCCAGUCGUGCAAGCAACUCUAUUGCCUCACGAUCUGCAAAGUCGUUGGAUCUUGUACAAAGGAUAAACAAGUCUUAAGUUAUUGCUUCUGAAACUUAUGAUUUUGUUGCUCGUAGGUUCGGAAACUUAUGAUUUUGUCGGACGCUCGUACUAAGUUUCAAAGCUGGAAGUUAAAACUUAUGAUUUUGUCGGACGAUUUUGUUGGUUGCUCCUACUAUGUUUCAAAAGUUAAAACUUAGCGAAAUUUUAAAAUUCAUCAAAACGUAUUCAAAAUGAAUGCUAUUUGAAAGUCCUCAUCACCAGAAACUCGAAUAUGCAAACCAAACUUAAGUUAGAAUUUUGAUUCCAAAGAUAUAGAAGAUUGAAAAUCAAAAGCAAAAAUGAUAAGGGGGUUGGUUGUUUGCCCCACCCCUACAUGGUACAAAUCCUUCCAUGUAGCUUCUAUCUAUUCUAAAAUUCAAUGUGAUACAGUAGAAUUUGAUAUAUUCAAUCUCUCUCUCUCUCGCACGCACACGCGCGCGCGCGCCAUAUGCGACAAAUUUGAUGCAGUAGUAUUCUGACGGGAUAUCAUCCUUUGCACAUGAUCGUGUCCAUAGCAAUGGUAGAUGAGCAGUCUGUAUCUAAUUAACAUCACAAGCAAAUGUACAGUUCCUUUCUCUCUCAUUUUCACGGCUAUAGCUAGGGCAGACGAGCAGUCCGUCUCAAACAUCACGCACAAGUCAGAAGCAAAAAGGCGUUUUGCUUCGUGGACUAAGCUGGUGUUUUUUUGUUUUGAGAAUUGUACGGGUUAAUUUUAGGUGUGAGAAUCGUACUAAGCUGGCAUGCUCAUCUUAUCAUUUUCAAGGCCGUUGAAGGCCAUAGUGGCCUAUUCGAAAGCCCAGGAAUAUGAGGCAUAGUGCUUGAUUAGAUUUUCUUGUUUAUCUCAAAAAAGAAAAGAUUAGAUUUUUCUUGUUAUAUGUCUGUAGAUGUUUGAAGAGCACUAGCCAUCAAACUACUGAUAUGUGGCUUUCUAUGAGACUACUCGAUGACCUUAGGAUUAAUACCAUGCUAUUCAUCCGAUCUAGUACUCCCUCCGUCCCGAAAUACUUAUCGCACAAAUAGAUAAAAUCAAAAGUAUCUAGAACUAAAAUACGUCUAGAUACAUCCAUUUCUCUGACAAGUAUUUCCGGACGGAGGGAGUAGAAAGUAAUCGAUCGGACGGUGAGCUGUCUCUUUCCUCCGACAAUUACGUGCCUCUGGUAACUGACCCUGUAGCAUGUCCUCUCGGCCGCUAACCUCUCAGUCCUCCACUAAUUACGCAAUGAGUUCGUUAAUUGAUCGUCCCCGGUCAUGGAAGCAUGAAGCAAGACACUGAAUAAUUGCUUCCAGCUUCGUUUCUAAUAUUUGCUUCCAAACCUAUAUCCUAGUAAAAUAUAAUCAAACAGUGAUUUAGUUCCUUCAAAUAGAAAACAUAUUUCCCCACUUGUUUCAAAACUAUAUAUAAACCGGGUGCUUCCAUCAACAAUAAAAUUGCUGCCAACCAAAUAGUACUGAAAUUGCAUGUGAAACAAUCUUUUAGUAUAAAGAAAAAAGUUGCUUUGCAAAGGAAUCACGUGGAAGCACAACUUGAUUGACGACGCACUGUUUGAAAAACAUAUUUCCGCUUGUUUCGGAAGCAUCAUCCUCGUGCUUCCGUCAACUAUAAAAUUGCUUCCAACAAAAUAAUAAUAGAAAUGCAUGUGAAACAAUCUUAUUCGCAUAAAGAAAAUGUUGCUUCACAAAGAAAUCACGUGGAACCACAACAUGAAUGAUGACGCAUUGUUAGAAAAAACAUAUUUCUGCUUGUUUCAGAAGCAAUCUCGUGCUUCCAUCGACUAUAAAAUUGCUUCCAACCAAAUAGUAAUAAAUAGCAAUUGAUACAAUCUUGUUAUAUAAGGAAUUUUUUUGCUUCACAAAUAAUGAAAGUAAUCACAUGGAAGUAAUGCUUCCAAACACAAAUCAUGCUUCCUAAUCUAUAGUUUCCGGCAGUGCUCCAUCCAACCAUGUCUGAGCUUGACGAUCUUCAUUUCUCCCACACAUCUUCGGGUGUCAACACCGGCGAGCAUCAACGCCAUUAAAGCGUCAAUGAUCUUGACCUGUGGCCAGCGAGUGUGCCAUGCUAGUUUGCUUCCAAACUGAUCUCACGUUACGAACCGUGCCUAGUAAUGAUCAUCAUUUAGGCUCACUGUCGGCAAGGCGUGUUCUUCCGCUGUUGUCAACGCUGCAGAAACUAAAAAAUGAGUUGUUUGAACUGAAUUCAAACACAACGCCUACAAAACAUUAGGAAGCAUGUAAAUGAAACAAGCUGGACAUAAUGUAGAAGCGCAUGUAUGAAACAUAUGAAGCAAACUAUACUUGGUGAAGAACUACAGCUAUCUAUGCAUGCGGCGAAUUGUAUGUGGGGAAGAAACACAAAUAUAGGGUCAGUUUGGAUCGAUGCCUGAACACCGUGCCUGGGCAAAUUGGGCGUCUAGAUCUAGCCUGAGAAGAUGUGAAAUAUUGCCUGGCCAGGCUGGCCUCGUGCAUGUGCGUUUGGUUGGAGUCCAUAGCUCUGCUGCUGUUUGUCAGAGUAUUUGCUGUGUGUCAGAGUUCUUAAAGUGUUUAAAUACUACCAGACUGCUACUGUAGCACCUCCAGGCACAAAGAAUGGGACGCCUGGCCAGGCUAAAUACCCUGCCUGGAUAAGCAACUUCUUUUCUUUCCUAUUUUUUAAUUGGACCAGGCUAAUCACAUGGCUAGGCCAGGUACGCAUCUUCUAUAUCAGGACACCAAACAAACAAGUAGCAGGCAGAGUACAGGCACCAACCAGGCCAGGCGUGUGACGGCGUGGAUAUUUGGAAGCAUAUAUACUCAUACAAUAUCAAAAUAGUAUCUGCAUGGACACAACAAAUUGAGCAAAAAAGAUCAUCCAACAUGGGCGUGGGCUGAUUCUUACGGCUACCGAUCCUCCCUGCAUCUAUUGAUCCUCCGGGUUGAUUGGUUAGGCAACCACACCAGCAGCCACCCCGGUUGGAGAUGGGCACCGUGACACGUACGGAAGGGUGGUGCUCUGGCGCGGUGGAUGGGAAAGAAGUGGGCGGUGAAGUGGCCGUGCUGCUCGACAACGAUGAGAGGAGAAGGCCCGUGCAUGCAAGGCCAUGGGAAAAGUGGAUCUGAGAGGUGCGUGGGUUGGCAGCGAGGAAAUCGGGAGGGAUAUGGGGAGCUUAAUUAGGGAGAAGUUACGUACCUAUCCAUGGGGGAUUUUUUUUUUGCACAAUAUGUGAACGCCAGAUCUCAAUUGAUUCGACAGCCAUCUAUUAGUCUGACGCUGGCCGUCUUAUCAGCCUAUAGAUAGGAAGUGUUUCCCGUAUAUAUACCUACAAAUAACAACCUUCCUUUUUGACCUCCUCAAACAUACUCACAAGUGCAUAUAGGCAUGGCCAGCUCGUCAGCGUUGGAGUUCACCGUGAGGAGGAAGCUUGCGGUGCUGGUGCCGCCCGCGGCCCCUACGCCGCGGGAGCUGAAGAGGCUCUCCGACAUCGACGACCAGGAUGGGCUCCGCUUCCAGGUCCCCAUCAUCCACUUCUUCCGGCAGCAUGACGGCUGGGACGACGACCCUGCGCCUGUACUACGCGGCGCCAUAGCGGCGGUGCUCGUGCACUACUACCCGUUCGCCGGGCGGCUGAGGGAGCUCGAGGGCCGCAAGCUCGCCGUCGACUGCACCGGUGAGGGCGUGCUGUUCGUCGAGGCUGAUGCCGACGUCCGCCUCGACCAGUUUGAUGCGGCCCUGGGGCCGCCCUUCCCGUGCCUCGACGAGCUCCUAUUCGACGUCCCCGGCUCCUGCGGUAUCCUCGACUGCCCGCUCCUCCUUUUCCAGGUAUGCUUUCCUCAACUUUCGGCUUUGGUAAACCUCAAAAAAACAGUCGAGACUUUUCAAAAAAAAAAAAUGCACUGGAUCAUAAACGGGAAAAUAAUGCAAUUUUCAGAAUCGGCCGAGACUAAGCCUCCUGCUUGCAUGCAGGUGACACGGCUCGCUUGCGGAGGCUUCGUCAUGGCUGUGAGGGUACAGCACACGAUGGCAGAUGCGGCGGGGAUGGUGCAGCUCCUGGGUGCUAUCGCGGAGCUGGCUCGGGGUGCGCCGGCGCCAACAGUGCAGCCGGUGUGGGGGCGCGAGCUGCUGCAGGCGCCGCUGCUGAAUGAUGAUGUACUACUCCCACCGCGCUUUGCGCACCGUGAGUACGAUGAUGUGAUGGACAUGAAUGACGCCAUCGUGCCCUUUGAAUUCAUGGUGCACCGCUCCUUCUUCAUUGGGUGGCGGGAGAUCUCCGCCAUCCGAUCCCACCUCCCGCCGGCUCUCAGUCACGAAGCUACCAACUUCGAGGUCAUCACGGGGUGCCUGUGGAGGUGCCGCACGACAGCUCUGGCCCCCCAUGCCGACGAGGAAAUGAGAAUGAUCUGUACCGUCAACAUCCGUGGCAAAAAAGACACUAUCAUCCCCGUCGGCUACUAUGGCAACGCCUUCGCUUCCCCGGUCGCCAUCUCCACUGCCGGUGACUUGCUCGCCAACCCUGUGAGCUACGCCGUGGAGCUCGUGAUGAAGGCGAAGCGGCAGGUGGAUGUGGAGUACAUCCUCUCCGUGGCAGCGCUCAUGGCACAACGCGGGCGGCCACACUUUGCGGUGGCGCGCGCCUACCUCGUGUCGGACGUGACCAAUGUUGGAAUCCGCGACCUUGACUUCGGCUGGGGCAAGCCGGUGUAUGCCGGUCCAGCAAAUGGCGGAGUCGUUGCCUUACCAGGCAUCGGCAGCUUCUUCAUUGCUGUAAGGAACGCCACGGGCGAGGAGGGUAUCACAGUCCCCGUGUGCAUGCCCGGCCCCACCAUGGACAAGUUUGUUAACGAGAUGGGCAAGCUCAUGCGCCCGGCAUUGGCUGACACGUUUUCCAAGAUGUGAUCUGCCAUCUGAGUUGAAUCGUCAUCUGGUAUCACAGUUUCAAUUGACCAUCAAAAUGACUACUUGUACCUAAAAUCUCGACCGGCUACAUGCUUGUGCGUUUAGUCACCUUUUUCUUUAGCAAACGAUGUAAGCAUGGCUUAAAUAAUUAAUAAAGAUAGCCAUGAUGGUCUGCCCCUCAAAUUGUGCUAUGCGUCGGCCGACGGUUCUUUUAAAAAGAUCUGCCCGCUCGACAGCCGAUAGAUCUGACGUUAUCCAACGACCCAGCUCCAUCCUCACUAUUGCAACAAAGACGGUGUUGCAGAAGCCUUUGUAACAAAGCUCGUGUUGUAGAAACAUUUGCAACAGAAUUUUUUUUCCAGCUUCAUCUUUUUGCAACAGAGAUGAUGUUGCGGAGAAAUCUUCUGCAACAUGAAUGAUGUUGCAGACUUUUUUUGUAAUGAAAGGAUGUCGCAGUGCCCCGUCGUUGUUGCCGUCGCUGUUUUCCAACUCCGCCGCUGUUCCAGAAACUCGUCGCGCGUGCGUCCGCACGGCCUGACGAGCAGGGGCGGCUUCCGCUACACGAGGUCGACCUGACAGUGUCGCAGAAACUUCUACGAUGGGGACCUCCGGUUUGGAUCACGCCGAGGCAGAUGCGGCAUGGCUCUUACCGUCGACACCUGGGUGGCUUCCACGGCGACCGCUCGGGCCAGCCGCCCCGCCAUGGUCGGGAGGCCACCGCCGGUGGAGGUUGUGUCGCCCUCGUUGCCCUCCCUCACGCGGCUCCUUCCUGGUGGGUCUGCAACAGACCGCUUGUUGCAGUCUGCCUUUUGAAACUGGUGCCCAGUUGCAAGAAUCUAGUAUGUGGCUAGCGUUUCAAUGAAGAUAAGGAUGAGAGAGAGAGAGAGGUGGUGCAUGGGCCCAUGACGACGCGUGGAAGACGGAGGACGCGACGGACGUCAGACAAAAGAUCGGUCGGUUGAGCACCAGCUUUUCCCAUACAUCUCUAUCAAUACCCAUAUAUAGUGUGGGAAUAACUUACGUUGUCAUCCAUUGGAUCUACUUCAUGUAACGGCUGAGAAUUGCAAACCCAAGAGUUGUAGCCUUCAGAUCAAUUCUUGUGUUGUACCGAUCCUUGUCAUGGCCUGCUCGGCGUGGACUCCCUAAAGCUUUCUACACAUAUUCAUUUUAUUUCCAUUUCAUGUUGAGUCUGAACAAGCAGCAAUAAAGAGAUUGGUCCAUAUCACAGGAGCACAAUUAAAAACUAUAUUAGGGGUGAGGAGAAAAAGCCGCGACAAAGAAAAAAACAUUGUAAACUAAUGAUAACCCAAGAGCAGGGGAUCAGAUAUAACAUUUUCGAUAAGUAAGACUGUCGAACCCAACGAGGAGUUAAAUUUAAGAUUAACAUUCUCUCAAGUUCUAUCAAACACUGAUACAACUCUACAUGCAAUGUUUUCUUUACCUAGAAAUAAGAAAUAAACUACUUUGUAGGUGUAAUGGAAUAUAUUUGUAAGAUAAUAAAGAACAUGUAAAUAAAAGUUAGGUGUUAUUUAAAUAAAAGUGAAAUAAAAUAAAUAUAGCGAUUGUGGAAAAGCGGUGGUUGGAUGUGCGGGGGAAUUGUCCCUAUGAAAUUGACAACUAAACAGAUAACCGCCAUUGCAGUUUUAUGUGCGGGAAAUGCCCCUCCUAUCCCUUUCUCGGAAGUUUAUGCACUUAUAGUUGGAACUACUAGUAAGUAUCUGCUACUACUAACAAGUCCAUUAAGGUAAGCCCGACCCUAGCAUUAAGAUAAAUUUGGUCCAUGUUCAUCCCAUAUGCAACGACUCACGAACUGGGGUUGAGGUUUCUAUCACUUCCGCAAUCCACCAUAAGCAAAUCAAUCACAUAUUGCAACACCCUAAAGCGUAAUCCACAUACGUGUACACGCAUAUGGUGGGCACCAAAGGACAAAAAAAACAUGUCACUCAAACCCAUCAUGAUCACCAAUUAACCUAUAGGACAAAAAGAAAUUACUCACACAUAAUAGCGAUGAGGAAAUACAUUGGAUAAAAUCUAUAACAUCAAGAACCACAUUCAAGUAGAGGGUUACAGCGGGUUGCGGGAGAGUGGACCGCUGAAUAAAGAGGGAGGAAGGUGAGGGAGGUGUUGAUGAAGACGGCGAAGUUGAUGGAGAUGGUCGCCAUGACGAUGGUUCCCCUGGCGGCUCUCUNNNNNNNNNNNNNNNNNNNNNNNNNNNNNNNNNNNNNNNNNNNNNNNNNNNNNNNNNNNNNNNNNNNNNNNNNNNNNNNNNNNNNNNNNNNNNNNNNNNNNNNNNNNNNNNNNNNNNNNNNNNNNNNNNNNNNNNNNNNNNNNNNNNNNNNNNNNNNNNNNNNNNNNNNNNNNNNNNNNNNNNNNNNNNNNNNNNNNNNNNNNNNNNNNNNNNNNNNNNNNNNNNNNNNNNNNNNNNNNNNNNNNNNNNNNNNNNNNNNNNNNNNNNNNNNNNNNNNNNNNNNNNNNNNNNNNNNNNNNNNNNNNNNNNNNNNNNNNNNNNNNNNNNNNNNNNNNNNNNNNNNNNNNNNNNNNNNNNNNNNNNNNNNNNNNNNNNNNNNNNNNNNNNNNNNNNNNNNNNNNNNNNNNNNNNNNNNNNNNNNNNNNNNNNNNNNNNNNNNNNNNNNNNNNNNNNNNNNNNNNNCUAAAUAAAAAUAAUAUAAAUUAUUGCCAAAAGUAUAUAAAAGUGGUAUGAUAAUAGUAUGAAAUAAUUAAAAAGUUAUAGAUACUUCGGAGGUGUGUCAGCUAACAUGGAUGAACUGAGCUUGCUUAGACGGUGUGCUCUUUGUGGUGGAACGUGUCGACGAGGAUUAAGUACUAGACUUGGCAUUGGUGCUCGCAUUUUUCUGGAUUUAUUUCAGACUUUUCAGUGAUAUUCGUUCUCUGGGAGGAGACGUUCUCGUCGACUAUAGAAACGCUUGUAGUGACUUUGCACUGGAUGUUAUUCUGGAGAUGCAUGUAUUUGUUUCAUGGGGCUAAAUUAUACUGCAAUCGGCCUUCUUGUCCAUAGCAAUCAGACUAUGAUUAUCCUAAAUCCUAGUGCAUAUUGUCAACCUGCUAGUGUACUACUAAAAGUUUCAGUCAGACUGGUUACAGGUGCCAUGUCUAGUUGACCUUAUUCAUUCAGUAUUUUGUUAAAACACUGCCUUUGAGCAAGUUCUUUUUAUAUAUGUUUGCUGUAGCUAAUGAAUUCACUGAAGGCUUGGAUCUGUUAAUCACGGAGAAAUUGCAUCAAUGUCAGUGAAUUAAAAUAACAGUAGCUAAUGUUUGGUCCGUUUUUGUUUCAGAUGAUAAACCGAAGGUAUUGUCAUAUAAGCUUGUGUUACACAUAUGCAAAUAGGAUUUUUGAAGGUGCCAAGACAUGGCAUUGUGUUAGAUAUGUAGUGACCAUAACAUAUAGGCUUGUCUGGUUGUUUAAACGGUUAGCAUUGUGCGUCUUGGCAGCCAUAUAUUGUGACCCUGGUAAUGCAGUGUCGAUGUGCUUUGUGACUGUACGCAUCAAAGCGGUACCUGGCAAGGAAGGAAAAUCGUUGUGUACAUUGACAGACUCCAAAGUUUUGUCAAAAAUGAAAAUCAUAAUGUCAGUAUCUCGUUGAUAUCUGCACAAACUACAAUGGGAACCUGCAAGGUUGUAAAAAAUAUCUUUAGAAAAGUGAAACAAAUCAAUGUUGCCAGUGCUUCAUGGUUCGGUAAAGACACAAAAAAGCUGCCUGAAGCAAAGGCCCCUGCAGACAGUAUGAAGACAAUGGGCAACGAAUUGUUCAUUACUUAGAGAGGAGGAAAAUUCCCUGGCUCCAUUUCAUGGGUGCGGUAGGAGUGUGGCAGAAGUAGAUCGGAUUAUUCCGGUGAUUUCAAUCCAAGUUCAUUAUUCUGCCAAACACUGCAUGUAAUUAAGGAGUACUAAUGGUUAACAGUCGCAAGAAAUCAUUAGCCGAUGGGCAAGAUUGAUUCAGUUUGCUACUGUGCAUUAAUCAUGACUUCAUGAGUCUUCCUGAAUGCAUAGUACUCCUGUUCGUUGUAUGUCAAAUGGUUUUCUUUUAGCUAGGUGUCAUUCAGUUGAGCGAUUCAUGGUCGUGUACGCCAAUAUAUAUUUGUAGAUCAUGCAUGUAUAUCACUGAUUGGAGGGGGUACUAGCCUCCACCUGCUGCUGCUACUUCCACCACCACCACCGGUGUUGCCUGCAUGCUUGAACUACUUCACUCCAUCUUCUUCUGAAUUUUGUGCACAUACUUCACUGUAUGUUUGACCCACCUGUAUGUAAACAUUUUUUUUGUAACCGUUGGCCAAAGCUUUGCCUCAUUCUAGAAUUAAUGUUAUUGGAUUGAUUUUAUCUCAGUAUUCUGGUUUUGGGGUACAAUUUGGUGAAAGAUAUAGAGGGAAGAGGGUAGGAGACUUGGGAGCAGAGCCUCCACUUGAAGGAUUAUUUGGUCCAGACGUCUUGAGCGUAGCUGACUUGAUGGCUGGUGGACCCACCACUAAUCUUUGGGCUGCCUCCCCUUGCCUGAACCAUCGUCGCUUGAUUCAUCACUUGUUGGCUGCUCUGUUUCAGCGCUGGCUUGCUCUGCUUCAGGGACUGACAGUGGUCCAUCUUGGAUGAAGCAGUUUUGUAUUGCUAUCUUUCUGAAGAAUGCAAUCUCACAAGCUUUUGACCAGGGAUCCAUUUGGCACCUCCUUGUAGCAGAAUCUCUACAAGGAGAGGGGGGGAAACCUGGUAGUGUUUUGACAAUAACAAAACUUUUUGUUACAAAAGGAAAAAGUAAAUUAUUAGAGCAGAAUCUACUUUUUGUGUAUUUCAGAAGUUCAUACCUCUCUUUGUACUUUGCUCUGAUCUCUCGACCACGACUGGGUUCAGUUCAAACACGGCCUAAAGCCAGAAAUGAAUAGAUGUGGUGAGUAAGAACAUCAUUCCCUUUCCCAUCCAAUUUGUGCGACUGGCAAAAUAGUUGGACAAGGCAGGAAUACCCAGUGGAGUACACCAUAAUUAUCUGACCAGAGUUAUGAACAUUGACAGAGAUAACCAGAGUGUUGUGGAGAUCAUGACGUCUAUUGUAGGUUGCUUGGAAGACAUGCAGUUCCAUCGUUAACCCAGUUGAGUGGAACGGGGUUUUUUCACCCCGCUUUAUAAAUAGAAAAACCAACCAGUCCAUACAACGAGUAGCACACAAGCGAAAUAAAACGUCUGCUGGGGCCUCUGCGCAAGCAUGCCCUUGAUUUUUUUUUGUUCAACACACAUGGCAAAUUAGUUUACACGAGUAGAUUUCCAAUUAGCUAUAAACUAUUCAUGGCAAAUUUUUUUCAUGUUCUUGCCAUGUUCACUUUUAUAAGAUCUUGUACUAUGUUCUCAACUACUUUUACAUGCCAUUUUUUUUGCAUUGACCAUGGCAACUAUAUGUUUUUUUAUUCAACAGACAUGGAAAAUUCGUUUACAAGUAGGUUUCGUAUUAGCUAUAAACUAUUCAUGGCAAUUCAUUUUUUUUUCAUGUUCUUGCCAUGUUCACUUUUAUAAGUUCUUUUUUAGUUGACAUUUAUAAGUUCGUCUCCUAUGUGUUGAACAAACUAUUUUACAUGGCAUUUUAGUUUUUGCAAUGACCAUGGCAAAAGAAAAAUUGUAUUGACCAUGGGAAAAUUGCAAAAGGUCACAUGGCAAAUUGAUAACAUUUUAUUCCAUUAAACACGAAAAUUGCGUAAAUGUUCAUAAUUGUUAAGAUUUUAAAAACAUUUAAUGCUCACCUUUGCAACUAUAUGUUUUUUUGUUGAAGAAACAUGGAAAAUUAGUUUACCAUGGCAAUCAUUUAUUUCGCCAUGUUUUUUUCUGUUGAAGUUGCCAUUGUCCCAUUUUGAUUAUCUUGGUAAAUUUUUAUCUUCAAGGAUGAUAGUGUUUUAAAUUAUAAUAUCAGACUUUUUCUAUCCAAAAUGUUGACCACAAAAAUCACUGCCACGCUGUACCAAUAUUAAGCCCGUUUUCAAAGAUUUGCCAUGCAUUUUAGAGAGAAAAUUCACGAUUUUACAUUGUUUUUUUUUGCCAUAACCAUGCAUCUAGUAUCAAACAUUUUUCUUGUUAUAUAUCAUCUCAAUCUUGUGCGCUGUUUGUACCCCUCACGUUUUGUACUUUCUGACACUAAUGGUAUUAUUAUAUGACAUAAGAAGACUAUGUGUGCAGGUUUUUCAUUUUUCUGAUUUUUUUGAAUUUAUUAUGCUCAUUUGAAUUCUGGUCAAACCUAUCUUUGACUGACUCCAAACCCCUCCCAAACCUCGCCGAACAGUGACCGUUCAUCUAACCCUAGCGCUGAACAAGGACCAUCGAUCUAACCCUUCUAGAAGGAAUCUGCGGGGAGGAGGAGGGCGAUCCACGAGAUGCAAUCUGAUUGGCUGUCCGCUUUUUUUCUCUCAACACGGAUAGUGGGAGCGCUGGAUGGACCGUUGGGCCGUCUCGCGGUCCGGGCCUGUGACCGUUGUUAAUGCCCCGUCUCAGCCUUUCCAGACCUGCAUGCAUGGGAAGCAAGGCGAGCGACGUGGGCAUGCAUGCGCGGGCGAGCAACAUGGGCAUGCAUGCGCGGGCGAGCGACGUGGCCAUGCACCCCUUGAUUUAGAUGUAUGCAGUGAUUCAGAUGCACCGUAGUCGCUCAGAGGCACGCACGUGCCCGGAUACAAACGCCCCAUCGUUUCAGUGUAAAAUGUAACGGAUUCACACGCACGCGCCCGGAUACACACGCCCCAUCGUUUCAGUGUAAAACAUAACGGAUUCGCACGCACGCGCUCGGAUUCACACACGCACCAUUCAUUCAUUCGCAACCCUUUUCUCUUCCUUCCCCACUCACACGCCUAUUUAUAUUCCUCUCUUCCUCUCCCACUCACCACCCAAGCAAGAUCCAUUGUCUCCACUUCAAACACCCAGUCCAUCCUCUCCGAGAAUUCCAAGCACCAACUGAAGAUGCAGUACAACGGGCCGACGACCUUCCUUCGUCCUCCUACCGUGUAGGAGCUGCGCUACCCGCCGGGUGUCCUUGUGGAGAGCACGCUCCGUGUGUGGGUGCAAUCCAGGUGGAGGGGGUCCAUCGAGCUCACACGCGACUUCCUCACCGCCGGCUUUGCCCACCUCCCACGGGGCUCGCCUAGGAUGUUUACCCUCAACGAGGUUCGUGACUGUGCCGACACCCUCAAACUGCUCACGCUCACCUUCGCCAACCCGUUUGACGCGCGCGAGCUCCUCGGCGAAGUGUUUUGGUGCGGCCGCGAGUCCAUCUUCUUCACGGUGUACAACAUCUUCAUCAAUAUCGACUGCAUCUUCCCCACCGAAAACCAGAUGCACUCCAUUCCCUACUACGAGGAGUGAAGUUGAAGACGGUGGUGAAGGGGCGCGACCAAGGUGGAAGAAAGGUCAAGAUGAAGAUGUUCAAGAAGGAUGCGAGCCCAGAGUGAAUUUGUUGGUCAAGCUCGUCAUGUUUUAGUUUUAUCGUUUUUAUUUUGUUGUUUUUCUAUGUCGUACAUGCCGUUUCGUGUCCCUGGACUUAUCUAUGUAGGGUACCCAUCUAUGUAAUUAAGGGUACCGUGGUUUGCAUCUUAUUUAUCUAAGUUAUAUGUGUGUUUAAAAAUGUCCGUGCCCAAAGAGAUCAUUUGUGUGUGUUGAAAAAUGUUCGUGCCCAAAGAUCAAAGUGGUUAAGCUUGUAAAGGAUUUUGUGACCACGGAAGCAUGCAAAUUUCUUUCCUUUAAACCCUAAACCAAGUCAUGAACUAACAUGCACAUUUCUCCCCUUUAAACCCUAAACCAAGUGCCACUAUAACCGGAAUCAUGUGGUAGUGCAAACAUGCAUUUCUAAAAAUUCAGUACAAAACAAAGGAAAACCACUCUCACGCGUGUGCAAACAUUCAGUACAAACAUGCGUUUUGAACCCUAAACCAAGUCAUGGGCUCACUAUGUAUAGAUUAUUUCCCUUUCCAUGUCAAAGUCUUUCCAUCUGCCCUAUCGGUUACCAAUGCAGCCCUAAACGCCACAAACCCAUGCGGUCUUGGGUUUGAGUCCCAGCUGCACCAUUUUUGUUCAUUUCCACCAUUCUCAUUUUUUUAGACAAAUUAUUUUUUCGAGCACGCAAGAGAUCUGAGUACCGUUAUAUUAAGAAAAAAAAUGGGACAAUGACCCAUACAACACCACUCGCACAACCUAUUGCUUUUUUGUUCAUUUUCCACCCUUCUCAUUUUUUUAGAGAGAAUCCACCCUUCUCAUUUGCCCACCCCGAAUGGGCCUAAUUGGAUGGUGUUGGCCCAUUAGUCUAGCCAACACUGGGCUCUUGGCUCUGAAUUUGGCCCCUAGAGAAACCUUUUUUUACAUAAAGGCAGAGCAGAGAGCUGCAUUAAUUUCAUUGAUCAAAGUUUCUGAAUUUCUCAUUUCUUCUCCCAUUUUUCAACAUUUUUUCAUACAAUUACAAGCUUACAAAUUCCUCCCAAAUUAAUGCCUUUCCAUACAAUUUGAACAUUACGCCUAGUGCGAUUAGCAUACCUACAAAUGCCCAACUGUAAUUGCAAAUGGGUAUUUGUGCUUGAUCUUUGAGCUUCCUUAUCUUCUGGUUCAACCUCCUAAGCUUAACAGCUACCUCUCUGUCAUUGCGUGCUCCGCCCUCCGUCUCUUCUUCCGGAGCUCGUGCUGCGACCGAUGCCGCUCGUGGCAGGAUGGGCAACCAUUCUUCGUGCUCUUCUAACAGUUCAGUCAUCAAAGUCUUGGCCAGAGCAUCGACCCAAAGGAAGAAACAUUUCAUCUGCAUGAACGCCAAAUAGAUCAACCGUAUUGCUCAAGUAUCCCGACCACGAAAAUGGUGCAAUUGCCCCGAUUCUUACCCCAUUCUCGCUGCACACGUAGAACGGACGAUUAUGGUUCUUCGGUGUGCGCGAAACCAUCCGAUCAACCUCCGCUCGGCACCACGGACAGAGGAAGAUCGACAUCUCCACGCGCGCCGGAAUCUUGAUCCGCGGGGUGGCGCGGGAGCUAGAAGAUGACAUUGAGCUCGGGACGGAAGGGGAUCUCAACGCCGCCGCGCCCUCCACAGCAAUCUUCCCACCGCCCGGAGAUGAAGGGGAUCUUCAUGCCGCCCUCUCGGUCGCCUGCACCCUGCUCCUAGCUACCAACAGUGGUCGCCACCCACCUCUGCGCGUGUCCGCCUCCCACCCCGUCCCCCGCUUGGCUGAUUCAUUGCUCACCGUUGCGAGCGUCGGGGGCGCGCCGCCGCUUUUAUCGCACACCCGUGGCCAGCAACGGCUCUCUGCUGGGUCCCAUAAGACACAAGAGCAACGGUUCUCUGCUUGGUCCCACAAGCCACGAGAGCAACAACCAGCAACGGUCUGAUCCUGUAGCGCGUCUCCGCCUGCUUCCUGGUCCCACCUGUAAGGGCCGAGUCAAACACGUUGACCUGACGGAGACGUCACGGAACGAGUUGGUGCGCACAGACUAGGGGCUAUUGCCUUUGCCCCCAUGUGAAUGCAAGUUGCUCAUUCAUCAACAGUUACCACUAUCAGAAAAACUCCAGCAUACUGAUUUCUUUCACAUGCACGCUGCUAUUUUUACAAGAGUACAUACUCCAAUUUUAAUGGCAUCGAUGCAAAUUCUCUCUGAUUAAUAGAUUGAGAGCUCUACUGAAUUCAUUAGCUACGGCAAACACACAUACAAAACCUUUCUCAAAGGCAGUGUUUUGCAAAAACACUGAAUGAAUAAGGUCAACUGGUACCCAUAAUAACCGAUUCUGAUUGAACCUUUUAGUACACUAGCAGGUUCACAAUCUCCACUAGGAUUUAGGAUAACCAUAAUAACCGAUUGUUAUGGAAAGGAAGACCAGAUACGGUAUAAUUUAGCCCCAUGGAACUAAUACUUGUCCAGAACAAGAGACAUGGCUAGGUAAACAAGAACAAAGCUAACAAGGCUUAGUCUGUAGGUUCACCAGGAAUUUGCUCUGAACUGAAAAUCAAGCUAGCAGGCGUGCAAGCAUCAGCAAACUGAGCAGCAUAAUUCAAGUUGAUUCCAAAGCACACAAACAAAUUCUUCAGCUGACAGAAGAGCCAAUUCUUGGAGGAAGCGCAAGCAUGGCUUGAAGGUAAAGCUGCCGCCCAUCUGCAUCUACUAAUGACUCCGAGAAUAACCGAUUCGGGGCUGUAAAAAUGUUUAAUGUUCAUGCACUAUUCUGACCCGAUUUGUCUUUUUUGCUGUGAGCUGCUCAGAAGUUCAAAUGAUCUAAAAUUUAGAGCGAACCUCACGUGAUAAUUGUCAACCAUUCAAAAAUAAUGAAAUUUUUUGAUUUUCGUUUGAUUUUUUUCCUGGCCAGGUGCAGCUGAGCCUGGGCACCGGAACGCGGCACUCGUGUUGUGUAUUAUUUUUCACAAGACUAAGGAAACGGAUAUGGCACAGUGACCCGGUUUCUUCCUUCUGGGAGCGGGCAAUGAAGUGUUCUUCUGCAGUUGGUGUCCCUCCAGGGAACUUCGCCUUCCCUCUGGAGCCCACUGUUGCCGCAGGUGUUAGCAUUAGUACUUCAAGUUGUGUUUCUUUUCUUAUUUUGUUUGCCUGUGAGGCCGGUUUGUUGAUAGCUGUUUGUAGGCACUCUGUAUCUUUUGCCGCUUUGUUUUCAUCUUUGCUUGUUUGUAUGUUGCAGUGUAAUUCUGACCUGUUGAUGACUUUAUUAAUUGAAAGCCAGAUGUACUCGAGCCUUCGUUCUAAAAAAGAGAAUGAUAAAUACGUCUAUAACUUUAGAGAGGACCAUGAAUGAUAUUAAAGGGCUUGCUAAACAUUGUGCUAUGAAUGGAACUUUGUUAGAUCUCAGUCGGCUGAGAUCUAGCAAAACCGACGCUAUAAUUUGCGGUCAUCGCUCAUCACUCUAUGGAAUAGCAAAUCUGCUUGAAGGCUUGUACGUGCUCGUGGUCAAGAGCCACGAACAGAUGGGCGCCACCCUUGGCAGCGCACGACGGCACCAAGAUCAUUACUCCAUCGAUGGGAAGGUCCGGCGAUAGGAAGGCGCACGGCGGCCCACCGCCGAAGUCAAGGUUAUGAAAGCCAAACCCGAGCCAGCUAUCCACCUCCAGGUCAGGGCAGAACGCCAUGCCCGGCGUUGCUGCCGUGGACGCUAGUUUCAUGUCGCGCUUUGCCUCCCCGAAGUCCACGAACGACUGGAUGUACUCGUCAUUCACGCGCGCAACGGCGUCGCGGAUAACGCCGACCACGGUGGGGUAGCUGGAGGACAGGAGAUCCUGGACCCGCAUCCUCGGUAACGCCCAGAGGACCAUGUUUCCGAAGAAGUCCAUGGGCACCGGAGGCUUGGCCCGGCCUCGGCAGUUUACGGCGACCCUCACCUGCGUGAAAUCAUCCGGGGCCAGGUCGCGCGCCGCCGUGACCUUCUUCCAUGCGUGCGCAAGGAGGCACUGGAACGUGCUGCAUGGCGCCCCCACACGGGCCUUGAGCUCAGCGACGAACUCGCCCGGGAAGUGCAGCGCCAGGUUCUUGAUCCUGUCCAAGGGGAGCACUCUGUAGGAGCGGCUGGAGCUGUGCUCGCCCUUGAACUCGAUGCUUCCGUGAUCGAACGCCGGCAACGGCGGGCUGCGUGGGUUGUCGGUGGCUCCACGGUCGAGGAACGGCGACGGCAGGGCAGCGGAAAUUUUUUUUUUUGAAACAAGGCAAAAGAUUUGCCAUUUUCAUUGAUUAAGAGAGAAGUUUUAACAGGAACCCGCAAGGCGGGAGAAUGGAGUCUACUCUCGCGGCAUUACAUUACAGAGGUGUCUAGCGCUUGCAAGCGCCCAAAUACGAGCCUCCUCCUUUAUCCUAGCAGUGACCAUGGUCACCGUGGUAAUGACAUUCCUAAAAACUCCUGCAUUGAGCUCAUUCCAGAGUUCCCAGGAAACAAGCAUGAGCAUGGAGGCCAGAGCCUUCCUCGGGGGCCCCCUAUCUAGGAUAGUCUUGAACCACCAUUCCUUUACAGAAAUUUCGUAACGCCAGCCCGCAAUGAUAGCACUGUUUAUGCCGAUCCAUGAAGCCACAUUAGCCCAAACGCGUUGGGAAAAUCUGCAUUGGAAUAGGAGAUGUGGUGCAGAUUCAGUAACUUACUUGCAUAAAGGGCAGAGCCCACAAUUGGGCCAGCCCCGACGCUGCAGCCUGUCCGCUGUCCAAACACGAUUCUGGAUGACGAGCCAAGCAAAAAACUUGCACUUGGGAGGAGCCCAAGCUUUCCAAACGGACAUGUUCAUGUUGCUCCUGAGAUGGCCCUCGAACUGCGCCAUGUAGGCCGAAGAAGCGGAAUACUCGCCACUUGUAGUGAGCUUCCAUAGGAUAGUAUCACGGACACCCGCAACAAGGUUGAUCGUAGACACCCUUUCCCAAAGGAGGGCGAACUCCUGGAUGUGCCCCAAGGAUAGGCCGUGCUGGGUGUUUAUUUGGCUGACCCAGAAAUUGUUCAGGAGUGCCUUUUGGACUGUGCACGUCUUUUUCUUAGAGAUGUCGUAGAGAGCGGGUGCAAUGUCUUUCGGCCUGAUCCCAUCCAGCCAAGAGGAGUUCCAGAAGCUCGCGCUGCAACCGUCGCCGAUGUGAACCAUGGUGGCAGCCGCAAAAAUGUCUCUGUCCUUGUCAGUACAUGGUGUUCCAGUGCCUAGCCAAAGCUUAGGGGGGUCUGCCCAUUCAUACCAAAGCCAACGAAGACGCAAGGCGGUUGCAAAUUUCUCGAGGUUGAGCACUCCUAGCCCAUCAUAAAUCCUUGGCUUACAACAAGUUCCCAAUUAACUUUGCAUUUUCUUCCCAUGACCUUGUCACAACCUGCCCACAGAUAUGCGCGUCUCAAACUAUCAAUCUUCUUCCUCACCUCCACCGGUAAAUCAAGGGGUGUCAGAUGGUAGAUUGCAAUGGCCGUGAGCACGGCCUUGACGAGGACAAUACAACUAGGGGUGGCCACGUGCUUGGCCGCCCAUGGCGGGAGCUUGCCGGCGACCUUGUCCUCUAAAUAUUGGAAAUGUAUCCUUUUGAGUCUUCUAUCUGAGAGGGGCAGCCCCAAAUAUCGCACUGGGAAGCCGGAGCGAACUGCUGGAAAGUCAUGUAGAACAUCCUGAAGGUUGAUGCCCUCACAACGGAUAGGCGCAACGAGACUCUUUGCACAAUUGGUGACCAAGCCAGUGACCUCCCCAAAAGAGGCCAAUGUCGACGGCAAGAAUUGAAUAUCACUUUUAGUGGGUGCAACGAAGAUGGCAGCAUCAUCGGCGUACAAGGACGCACGGAUCAGUCUUUCUCUGAGCGGAUGCAAGCUCCCUUGGGCGGUGGCUUUGGCAAGUAUGUGGUGUAGGGGGUCAAUAGCAAGGACAAGGAGGAGCGGCGAGAGCGGGUCCCCUUGCCGAAGGCCUUGUCCAUGUCUGGUCGGGUUGCCGGGAAUACCGUUAAGUAGCACACGGGAGGAGGCUGUGGAGAGGAGCGUCGAAACCCAAUCACGGAAGUGACUUGGGAAGCCCAGGUGUCGAAGCAAAUCCAUUAAAUAGUUCCAUCUAACCGAAUCGAAGGCCUUUUUUAUAUCGAGCUUGAAAAGGAGGGUAGGGGAUUUCGUGCGGUGAAAGCGUCUGGCCAAGUUUCUGAUAUACAUAAAGUUGUCGUGGAUACUUCUCCUUUUGAUGAAAGCAUUUUGUGCAUUCGAGACUAGGUUGGGCAUGUGAGGGGCUAAGCGAGAGGCCAUCAUUUUAGCGAUGAUUUUGGCAACCGCAUGAAUGAGGCUAAUUAGUCUGAAAUCCGAAAUGUCCUCGGCCCGUCUUUUUUCGGGAUUAGUGCGGACGGCGGUGGCCCAGGAGGCGGAGAAGCCGCUCAUGGACUGGCCAUCGGCGACCUGGUGAUGGCUGGCCAUGCCGAUCACAAGCCCGCCGCACGUGUACCGCGUCAGCUGCACCUGGAAGAUAGGCUCGUCCACAUGUUCCUGCACAUGACCAAGAACUGCAUGCUCAGCCUUCGUGUCAACAUGGAUCCUGUGCACCUUUGGAAAAAGAGAACACUCUGUAUGCCACGCCUCCAUCUACUACUACGGACGUACGUACCUUCUCCGCUUUUGGGUAUAGCUCGGCGAUAUGGGCGGAGGCGUCAUGCGCUAACGCCGUAGCGAGGUCCGCCCGGGCGGUAGCCUCAAUGACUAGCACCCCGGCGUUGUUGAGGUGGAGGAACUUCCUUCCGUUGUUGUCGACGGCGAACCUCCCUGCCAGGUGUGGGAACCUUGCGACGGUGGCGAGGAGGCCGUCCUUGAGCGUGCCGUUGGUAGGCGCCGGCGAGCUCCACACGAAGACCGUCGGGAUGUACCCGUCGGUGGAGGCGCGGUCGAAGACGGUGAUGGGAACCUUCUUGGCGCCGCCCCAUGCUGACUCCGGUGAAGACCUCAGCACUGCCUUCCGUGUGAUCUCCACGCUCACUGCCAUUGUUGGUUGGAAGCUUGCAAGAUAACGAAGAAUUAUACUGGCAUGGCAUGUGAAUGUGAUCCCCGUUCCUUUGUGAGUUUGCCGGUCCAUAUAUUGGCGUGUGCUUGCGUAUGUAUGUAGAGGAGAGAAGUGUACAUCGUAACUACUACUGUACUUUAAUUAGCGACUCUCAACUUCGAAACCAAAGUUUAUCUUGUAGUCUUUCUUUUCCUUUUAUGACUUGGUUAUUAAGCUAUGGUUUUUCUCGUUUUAGUGGCCUGCGUGCCUUGCAUUAUACUCCCUCCGUUCCUAAAUAUUUGUCUUUCUAGACAUUUCAAAUGGCUACCACAUACGGAUGUAUGUAGACAUAUUUUAGAAUGUAGAUUCAUUCAUUUUGCUUCAUAUGUAGUCAUUUGUUGAAAUAUCUAGAAAGACAAAUAUUUAGAAACGGAUAGGAGUAUAUAGGAAGAGAGACUACAAUCAUGCAUGGUCCAAAGAAAUACACUACAAAAUUCCACAAUUAAUAAAUAAGAAAAUACCGACCAUCGAGAUAAAAUACCAUAUUAUUCCGGGUAGUACCGUAGUAAAUAUUUUAUUAGAUCAUGAAAUUACCAAUAUUGCAUGCGUGUUUGUGCUGGCCACUUUGCUAGUUGCUUUAAUAAAAUAAGAGAGAGAGCAAUUAGACUAGCCACAAUGGAGAGUAACAUAUACUAGUAACAUACACAUAUCAUUAGACUAUGUUACUACCUUCAUAGUGGACAGUAACAUAAGUAUGCUAACAUGCAAAGCUUCAUUUAUUAUGUUAUAGACUCAUAUUGCAUUGGAACAUAUGAUGUUACAGUAACUAGCUAAGUUACUACAACUCCCUCUCUCCUCAUUAACUCAUUGCCACAUAAGCAAAUUUGCUGAGUCGGACUUGAUGUUACUGCUGAAGUUACUCCCACUGUGGCUAGUCUUAGAAACGGCGGAGUUCCCACCUGUUUGGCCGGUUUGAACAGACGGGUUUGGUGGUCAGUCCAUCCUCGGUGUCGCCAAUAAGUAACGUGCCAACAGUUAAUGAAGUGGCACGCAUAUGGGUGUGGCCAAUAGCAGCGACCUUUGAGUGCAGAGUGCUUUUAGGUACAGUAAUUGCUACAGUAUGUGAACGAAAUGGGGCUCACGCUGCAUGGGCCUGGCAACGCCACUGGGUGUGGGUGUGCAGAUCUGAAAGACCGAGACCUUGACUUAGAUGAGCUCGUCACCAAUCUCGAUGUCAAGUCAGUCUGUUCCUGGUUGUGGCACGUGCUGCCGUGUUUUAUAUUACCGCCGCGACCCCCGAUUUGAAGGUCGCGCAAAUAAAACUACCUUAACGCUUGGAAGAAACAAAUUGCUACCUCCAUCAUGGUUUAUAUUGUUUAUUAUGAUGUCUAAACUACAUCAAACUUUUUAAAGAAAAUUGUGGGAACAAAGUUUUGAAAUUAUUCGUGUUUAUAGACAAAAAUACGAGCAACAACACUAUUUAAUUUGUAUCACUAGCUAUAUCGUGAACUGUAUGCUUUCAUAAUGUAUUUAUGGGUAUUAUAAUUUGAUUUUUUUAGAUCGUAUAUUUUGAUUAUUCUUGUAUAGUCUAUGAUCUAAAAACUAACUUACAAACAGGUUUGAAUGACGGUCCAGCAAUAGGAUAGGUGUAUAGUCAUCUUAUCCUAUUUUCACCAGUUGUGAUAAGUAUUUUUUAGCUUUUCUGCAGUUCAUUUAAGACCUUGUUGUGAACCUGGUACUUUGUUCAAUAAAAUGACUGUGUGCAUCAUGAUGCAGAGACCGGGGGGACAUCCUCCUUUUCGGAUAAAUAAUUUGUUUUUGAAGAUGUCAGCCUAUGAUAACGUGUUUAGCAAUGGCUCGGCUCGUCAACUAAACUAGUGGCUACCAGAUAUUGACUAAUUAUGGUAUAAAUGACUCGUCAACUAAACAAGUGUUUUUUUGGUGAAAACUGAUUUUUUUUUUGGCGAGAGGCGAGUGGUUAUGGCUAAUAGUAUGCCUCUUUUUUUGGCGGGUCUAUAAUACAUACUCUUAGCUAGCCAAUGGAGAUGGCUCAAAUUAACAUAUAUUAUUUGCUAACCACCAUGUGAUGCUGCCCUGGUUUUAAUAUUCUUCAAGGUGGGGUCUGGAGCCAAACGCCUGAAACAUCAAUCUGGUUUAAUUUGAACAGUUUUUCAACCAAGAUGCUGAGUUAUUUUUUUCCGACAAAGGAUGAAUUUUAUUGACUCAUAAUGAUGCAUCAAGAGAAUACCCAACACAAUAAACACACACGGCCUCCGCAUAGCUAGGAUGCCCACAACCAACAUCAACUCACACAUAAACACGCCGACAAACUAGCAAAGUCAUAUUAGACCAAAGCUAUGCAUAGGUGAGGAAAAAAAACUCCAAAGUAACCAGAUACACGAUCGGCAAACAACAGUAAUCACCAUAUCCGCACCUACCAUUUCAUGACACCACAAGGGCGACGAGGUUCUUCAAUAGUAACGCCUUCAGGAAGGGAGUGACACUCAAGCGUAGUCGUCACAGGAUCCAACCACCAAAGUCAGACUCUAGGUUUUCAACCUGAAGAAUCAAUCCAUGCAUAUCCGAGCAAUGCCUUCAACAAGGUAGCGACAUAAAAAAAACAGCGCUGCUCAUCGAGCUGCCACGGUCCACCUCCCAGUAAAGAGCUCGAUGCACGCCGGCCCCCAAGGCCUAAUCCGACCGGAAACCGACCCGCACACAGCAGAUAGGGAUGCUCCCGCAGGACAACAAGGAGAAAGCAUGAUGGAGUGCACGGAUCCGCGUCGGAGGACAUCAGAGGCGCGAGCAACCACAUGAUCCAUGUGUUGGAGCACUGGAUAUAGGUAGCUAGCCACCAGGGGUGCAGCCGCUCAUCGGUGGCAUACCUUGCACAUGGGACGAAGUGGAGGGGCCGCGCAAGGACCGGGCGAGCUCGAAGGCACCCGCCGCCACCGGCCACUGGAUGGGGCUUUGCCCUGGCGGCGUCGGCCGCCGGCGGCGGGGUAGAACAGCGGUAUAGGAGACUAGAGCGGCGGCGGCAAAGGACACGCCCUGGCUUCAGGCCAACCCUAUUGCUGAAGUAGAAAGCAUCAUAUUUCGGUUUUUCCAACACUUGAUCAGGAACCGGGCGCAGAAAUUCCUUGAAGAGAAGGGGAUACCUACAACCAAUGCCUAAAUAAAGGCAUAUGUCGAAAAGUGCAACUACUAAUAGAUUCAGUAAAGGAAGGCCCGGAAGGGGCUGAGCUACUGCCAGAAAUAGAAGAGGACGAAUAGUAGAAGAGGACUCAAGCAGGUUUGGUCCUAUUUAUCUGAUGUGUUCUUAGAACCUACUACCCUCCCUCCUAAAAGACCAUGUGAUCAUCAGAUUCACCUCACGUUAGUCAACCAGUGAAUCAAAGGCCUUAUAGGUAUUAACAGCACGGGAUGAAAUUGAAGCCAUAAUCAAGGAGUUACUCUUGAAUGGCACUCUACAACCUAGUUCAUGAGUGGUUCGUGGGAUUUUGUCCUCGCUCAGACAAGCGGUUGACCUCACAGUCUUAAUUUUAUCCUUGUCGAUGAAGACCAAAAGUUAAUCAAUCUUUGAACAGAUGACCACAGUGCAUGUGUACCGAUCAGCCAGCCCUAUUAUCUUAGGAGGUCAAGGAUUUGUGCUGCCCCCGCAUCUUGUCAGCGGGGAUCGGUCAAUGAGCUAGCCCUCGGUCAAUAAAAUUUGGGCUAGCCGCUUAUAAAGUUUAUUUUAACUCUGAUCUAUUCAUUAAACAUUAUAACAGUACAAGAAUUCAAAAAGCAACAAAACUUACAUCCAUGUUCGUAGACCACCUAGCGACGACUACAAACUCUGAAGCGGCCGAAGAUGCACCGCCAUCAUCAUCCCUCCCCGCCGGAGUCGGGCAAAACUUAUUUUGGUAUGACCAGUGCACCAGAACGACAACCGCUGCUGAAGAAGAUAAGCAUAGAUCGGGAGGAUCCAACCCGCAGAUGAUUCCAGACUGGAUCCAAAAAAAUCCAUUGAAGUCUAGCAUCGAUCGAAUCCCCAUGCUCAACAAAUUACCAUUAGAAGAAUACAUACAAAGCUAAGAGCAUCUCCAACGGCCGCACAAAAAUUUCGCACCCAAUAAAAGUUAUAGCGCGCCACUUUAGCACUUUUAAUGCGCCGGGACCAAAAUCACUUCAGUAGACGCCCAAAAAACAUACAGUGCAAGUUGUGAAGCGUGCGCAAUCCGGAGCCCGAAAUAUGAUGCGCGCAAUAGCGUUUUUCAGCGCGCGCCCUAAACUUUUUAGCGCUACAACAUCUGCUAGAGCUGUUCAGCGCCAAAAAAACAAAAUUUUAGUGCGUGGGCCUUUUUUUGGGCGCCUGUUGGAGAUGCUCUAAGAGUGAUCCCAUGCUCAAUACGUGGUGCUGAAGAGAGAAAGAGUGAUCCCAUGCUCAACAGCAUCACGGCCGAGUGAUCCCAUGCUCAACAGCAUCACGGCCGGGUCCAUUUUCUAGUCGGCCCAAACAGUAAGUACUACUCUAGCAACAGCAUAAAUAUCAAAGUAGGAGUAACACUUUUUUUUUUCAGGGUGUUGGAGAGUAACACUUAUCAUGUCGACCAUCCAUCGAGAAUACGUACAAUGCAUGCACAUGUCUCACCACAAAUAUCUCCGGAGGCACGUGAGCAACGGGAGUGGAGCUCACUGUUCGUCACUAUACCGUACGUACGGCCGCCACCUUAUAUGCUGCAUCGGCGCCACUUUGCCCCAGCACCAGCACCAGCUCCAUUCAGCAUGGGCGCGCCGGACACAUCAUGGGUGUUCGCGGACCUCGCCGUCGCCGACAGCUCCAGGUACAGUACCCGCUCGCGGCUGCUCCUCACGGGGCUCUCCUUCGCCAUCGGCAUCCUCACCCUCCUCCUCUACCUCGCCGUCUCCUAUGCCUGCCGCCGCCGCCGCCGUUGCCGCCGUCAGCGCGGCGCUGGCGCGGGUGCAGGUGCGAAGGACCAGGAGGCCGGCAUGAGCGACGCGGCGAUCGUGUACGAGCAGGCCGACGCGCAGUCGGCGCCCAUGGACUGCGCGGUGUGCCUCGGGCAGGUGGAGGCCGGCGAGAAGCUGCGUCGGCUCCCCAAGUGCGCGCAUCUGUUCCACGCCGACUGUGUCCACGCCUGGCUGCAAGCGCACUCCACCUGCCCCAUGUGCCGCGCCGCCACCACUGGCAGCACCCCGGCCACGGCAGCGGCGGCAGAGGCGCUGCCACCUGGUGUGGUUGCAGCUGGAAGCACGCCGCCUGCCUUGAACGGAUGAAUUGAACCACACUGACCGGAGAAUAGCUAGAGUGAUGGAUAGACUAGCGACGCUGACUGGAGAAUAGCCAUAGUGUGGUCAUGGCUGCGGCCACGGUGCGUGUACAGGAGUAUGUGCGACGUCGAGUGUGCUUGUAUUACUGUUUUUUUAGGGAAAGUGUGCUUGUAUUACUGGCUCCGUUUCAUAGUGCUCAUACAUAUUUUUUCACAAGAAAAAAAGGCUUCAUAAAUUUUGAUCAAAUUUAUAGAGAAAAAUAUCCAUCUUUACAAUAUCAAAUAAAUAUAAUAUGCCAAACGGCUCCGCUCGAUGUCUCGAACCCGAUCCUAACCUGGCGCCGUCAUGGCCGCGUCGCCGCCUGGCUUACCGAAAGCCCGACCGAACGACACUUUUCAGGAUCUCCACGUGCAAGCCCGACAGAAUGCUCGAAAGCCCUGCCUGAAAUCAUGGAAAAGAGAAGCAUGAGCCUGGCCCGAACUUCCUUUCGGGGUGGAAAAUUAGGCUCGUGCCGGGCUCGGGCUGGGUCGUUAGGUCGGGCUGUCCAUGCCCUGGUUUACUCCUAUUCGUGAUGUGUUGAGGAAUUCGCCGCCCCGCACCGACCCACCGUCGGACCGGUUAGUGCACCUGGGGGCUUGGCGCAACCUCUCCUAUCUCCUCCUCCCUCCUCCCCCAGACGGUCACCCUCCGACCUUCUCUCGACGAUUCGGAUGACAAGGAGCAGGAUGCUCAGAAGGUGUUUGAUGCAAUACCCGAGAAGUAAUUUUGGAUCCAAUUCGUCAAUUUUAGUCGUAUGCAACUUGUGUUUUGUGUAGAUGGCAUUGAACUCACAAUUCGCGUAGAUGGGCUCGAUUGUGGAGGCGUAUUUGAAGAUUCUUCAACUUCAGAUGAUUCCGAUGAUGAUUUGUUCCAAGACGAUGACUCGGAGGAGAUUGUGCUGAUGUUAACUCAAUGUGGGUAGUGGGAAACAAGAAGAGUAAGCGUCCGGUCGUGUGAAGAUUCCUUAAAAAAGAUCGGCCGACAAUGCACCACUACUAGGGAAAACCUUAUACACAAAACUUUAGCUGUAGCGCGUGUUAAAAAAGCAUGCUGGUGCUAAGUAGCAGUAGCGCGCCGGUGUAAACGGCGCUACAGAUACAAUUGUAGCAGUAGCGCGCCUGAAGAUAAAAGCGCUACUACUAAAAUUCCCACGGCUUAGCCGAUAGGCUACACAUAGUAGUAGCGAUCUACGUAGAACAGCGCUACCGCUACUUGCUUUGUAGCAGCACGUUUACGAUGAAACGCGCUACUGCUAAAAGAAAUAAAAUUAAAUGGAAAGGAAAUAAAAAAGUAAAUGAAAAUGAAAGAAAUAAAAAGAGGUGAAAGGAAAAAAAUUAAAUGUGAAGAAAAAUAAAUGAAAAAGGAGAAAAAAGAGAAAGGAGUAGCAGUAGCGCGUAUCGAGGAAAACGCUGUAGCUAGCUUAGCAGUAGCGCACUUCCUGGAACGCGCUACUGCUACUUCUGACUUAACCGCGCGGUCGUUCUUCCCCACGACCACUUUCCCCAAAUCCAACUCCUCCGCUGUCGCCGCCGCCGUCGCCCGUCGGCCGCCGCGCGCUUUCCCAUCGCUCUCCACACACCCUAGACGCCGCCCCCGACCCCGGAUUCGACNNNNNNNNNNNNNNNNNNNNNNNNNNNNNNNNNNNNNNNNNNNNNNNNNNNNNNNNNNNNNNNNNNNNNNNNNNNNNNNNNNNNNNNNNNNNNNNNNNNNNNNNNNNNNNNNNNNNNNNNNNNNNNNNNNNNNNNNNNNNNNNNNNNNNNNNNNNNNNNNNNNNNNNNNNNNNNNNNNNNNNNNNNNNNNNNNNNNNNNNNNNNNNNNNNNNNNNNNNNNNNNNNNNNNNNNNNNNNNNNNNNNNNNNNNNNNNNNNNNNNNNNNNNNNNNNNNNNNNNNNNNNNNNNNNNNNNNNNNNNNNNNNNNNNNNNNNNNNNNNNNNNNNNNNNNNNCCCCCGACCUCGACGCCGCCCUCCGCCGCGCGCCCGAGCCCCGACCCCGACCUCGACUCCGUCUGCCCCUCCCUCGCCGCAGGCACCUGAGGUGAGCACGCCUGCUCCUCCCCCUCCCCUACCUCUGCCUAGCUAGGUUUCUUCAAAUUUUAGUUGCAUCAAAUUAGUUAGGGUUCAUCUAUGGGUGGAAAUGAAUCGGAUACGGAUGCGGCUCAGAUGUUUUCUUAGAUGAUGUUUUUUUAGAUGAUGAAUAAACACUAUUGUAAUGCAUAAUAAAACGAGUAAAAUUUGACCACUUAUUUCACUUUUAAGUUGGAUUAUUGGAAUAUCCGCUACCACUUUCCACCCCUAGGUUCAUCAAAUUAGAUGGUAAUUAGGGCAGUAGUUCCUAGGUACUAAUUAGUUAGUAAGAACUAGGUACUAGUUUAUUUUAUUUAUAGUAAAUUUAAUUUUAGUAAGAACUAGUUGAAUUAAUAGAACUAGUUAGUAAGAACUUGUUGUUGUUUUUUUAGUUAAAGCAAUUUUUCCCGCAUCUAUGUCGACGAUGCCUAUCCCGCAUCCUCCGAGUGGCCUAUGUUUUGCCGGAGUGUUGAUUCAUUUCCGUUCCGGAAAAUUUCCGGCGCUCGAUAUGUCCUAUUUUAGCAAAGGUCAUGCCGGAUUUUUCCGUGAAUUUGGCAUGACUUGUGCCAGAAUAUGUAGGAAAUAUCGAGUGCCCCGGAUUUGUGUGUUGAGUAUCCUGGUAGUUGUCUUUGAUCGAUUUUCAAUUAAUGUUUCAACUAUGAACAUAGGAAAUGUCUGACGACAAAAAGGAUUGCAAAUACUACGAAGACGAGCGUGGCCUGUGCGACGGAAUCUUCCUAGAUGAUGAUAGGCGCUUCAGCAUCAAGCUGGACGAGAACUUCGAAGUGGAUACAGUAAGUCACAACGACUAGUCUUUUUUCGUAGUUAAGCAUGACAUCUGCUUCAUUUUCUUCAACUUAUAAUUUAAUUUUUUUACUAUUCUACUGGCGUAUCCCCUGCCAUGCAAGAGUUUUUGUCUUGGAUAAGAUAGGUUUCAGUCGUAUGGAGGUAAAGAAAGUUUACUUGAAGACCGAGCAUGGUUGUAUUUUCCACGCAAAAUUAUACAACGCAGACGACUACACCUAUUUUGGAUGCAAAACUUGACGAGCACUAUGUAAGACUUAUGCAUUUGAGCCUGAUAUGGUUAUCACCUUUGACAUUCGUCCGGAAGAUGAUAUUGAAGGUAAUAUCGACAUCUGGGUCGAUGUGCAGGCGCCUCCAGUUAUACCAUUAUGUGAGUUUCUCAACCAUAUUUAUGUCUUUGAUAUUUUUUAUUCAAAAAUAGUUGCAACUAAUUUCUAUUGUCAGCUUAUUUCCGUUCAAGCAAACAUGUCCAGCGCUUGGUAGACAGGACCUACUACUGUCCCGGGGCUGAACUAAACUGCGAGGAGAUAAGUCAUUAUGUUUCAUGGCUUGAGGAUCUUCAUACUGUCAAGACAAAUUUUCUUCCUGCACUUUGAAAUGUUAGUACUGAAAGCGUGCGACCAAUAGCGUUCGUACUGAACUACGGUCACAUCUAUUUAGGAAAGAUGGUAAGAUUUUUACUAUUUUUCCUCGGUGCAUCUUUUGCAUACAUUAUUUUUUAAGCUAAACUUCAGUGCUAAGUAUGUUACUAUACGAUGUUCUUCAACAGGGACUCCCGAUGAAUGUUGUGCCUCAUGGGAUCGAGACUAAAGGUACCAUGAGUAUUGUUCGCUUACGACCAAGAUAUCCUACAAUGCACUUUAGUGCAUUCAGGAUUUCUAAUAGCGAGGAAUGCUUAAUAGUGAAAGACUGGACCAAAUUUGUGAAGGAGGAGUGCAGAGAAGUACUAGGGGGCAGCAAUCAGAAGCGCAGCCCACGAUUAGGAGACAGGUUCAUCUGCAUGCUCCAACUUGAUGAAGGAGGGGUGCUACACAUGUUUUAUGUUAUUUUACCUGAGAGAGAGCAGCAGGAGUGAUUAACUAGCUAGAAAUGAGUUUGAAGAUGAUGAUGUGCUACACUAUGACUAUGAUGAUUAAAUAGCUAGUGUUGGUGGUAAUGACUAUGACGAUUAUUAUUAGCUAGUGUUGGUGGUGAUUAGAUAGCUACCGCAUCUAGUGUUGGUAGUGAUUAGCUAGCUAGAAUGAGUUUGAAGAUGAUGCGGUGCUACACUAUGAUUAUGGUGAUUAAAUAAUUAUUGUUGGUGGUAAUGGCUAUGAUGAUGAUUGAAUAGCUUGUGCUGGCGGAUUAGAUUCAAGUGGAGGCAACAUGUGGUGCACAUCGAAAGUACUACUAAUCCGAACUAGAUCAAGUUUGGAUUAGUAGUAUACUUUUGACAUGCACCACAUAUUGCCUCCACUUGAACCUAAUCCACCUUCAUUUGACACAGUGUUAUGGACAUAAUGAUAUAAACCUCAUAAUUGGUAUUCUACGGCAUAUAAAUACACUAAAAAUAAAUAAAAAUUGAAAAAAAUACUAGUAGCGAUGGAUAGUAAACACGCUGCUACUAGCUAGAUGAGCAGCAGCGCGGGAGAGAACAAGCGCUGCGGCUAUGUGUCUUAGCAGUAGCGCGUGUCGCAUGCGCUACUGCUAAGUAAUAGGUGUAGCGCCUUAUUAGUUGCGCGGCAGCCCGCGCUACUAGUGGGCAUUAAACCCGCGCUACUACUAGGGUUUUCCCUAGUAGUGCACGGCUCAUCCAUGAUUACUUUGUGGAGAACCCCGUGUACCCUCUGCAUCUUUUCCGGUUACGCUUCAAAAUGUCGUGGGAGCUAUUUGUGUGCAUCACUAGUUUUGUGGGAGCUAUUUCAUCUUUAUCAUUUGUUGCAUUUAAUCCCUAUGCCAUGUUUGAAUUUGAAUUUGAAAAUAUGAAAUUAUGGAUUUAAAAUGUUGUUGAAAGAUGAAAGUUUGGCUUAUAUUUAAGCGAAAUUGGAGUUGAAAUAAUGUAUAUACACACACAUAGGAGAAAUAGGAAAAUAAAAAUUAUAAAAUCUUCAUUUCUUAGGGAAUCUAAAAUAGGAGUAAUCUUCUAUAUCUAAAUAGCUAGCCCCUACUAACAUACACAUACGCCAAGUCAUCAUGCAAACAUGCAUGAAAAAGGCUCACCUCAACAUGCAAACAUACAUGAGAAAAGACCAGCUCAAUUAUUAGGUACAAUAAAUCAUAUCUUUUUUUAGUUUUAGUUCUGUUGGAAAUAUGCCCUAGACGCAAUAGUAUUGUAUUAUUAUAUUUCUAUUUUCAUAAUUAAAAGUUUAUAAUCCAUGCUAUAACUGCUAUGAUUCUGGGAUAUGCGAUUCAGUGGAAAACUCAUAUACACAUGUGAAAUGAUAAACGAUAUAAUAUAGGUUCUCGGUCUUGCCUCUAAGACUGGCUCAAGUGUUGUUGAUGGUCAUGUUUUCCGGAUCUUAGGAUACCAAGUGUAACGAUAAUCCUAACACAACAUUUAGAGUGUGACGUUAGAAGAACGAUCAUAUUGAAAUCGAUCCAAUCUUGUUUGUUAUACUUUGAGAUAAUAUCAUCUGCAAUCAAUGGUUAUAACACAGAGUGUUAGCGUAUGUUUCAGGUCAUCAGACAAUGAGAGUAUCGUAGUUAGUUCCUACUCUACGGUGGACAUUGGGUUUGCUCAAACGUCAUAUGUAAUAACGACGACUUGCAGAUUAAUCGAAAAGUUUGAUAAGGGACUGGAUAACUCAAGAGUGGGAUUUGCUACACUGACGAUGGAGAGAUAUUCUUAGGACCGUCUCGGUGUGACGGAAUCCAUCAUCGUCUGGCCAGCCACAGGUGACUACAUCACGGGAAUGCCGAAACACUUCAACGAGAAAGAAAAACAAAACCGGCAAUGGGAUCAGCAAUAUAGUGAGCAUGUGCAUGCAUGACUCAGAAGGAUACCGAGGCAUGCCGGCAGUGGCGUAGCCAGGAUUUUCGGCCAGGGUGGUCCAAUUGAUAUAUACAAUAUUUAUAUAAAAAACAUACCAAUAUUAGCAGAGGCAGAGCUAUGUGUGUUAAUAUGAGGGGGCCAAUGCCCCCCCUCUCCCCCAGCUUUAAACUUAAGGAAAAUUUAUAACCUUUGCCCCCCCCAGAACACUCAUGGUUUAUGCCCUCCGCGGGAAGAGGUACAUGGUCUGUUUGGUUUGGCACUCCGAGCAAUCUACCAAAAAAAUUGACGUUGACUUCACUGUUGGCCUCUAUUGGACCUUGUUCAAUUUUUUGGUUCGCCCCAGCCCCAACAAUUUUUCCUGUUGGUUUAUAGCCAAUGACCGGCGGCAGUUAUCCUCUGGCAAUUAUUUGACGCGCCAAUAUUAGCAUAUAGCAAGCACAGGAAGGAUCCAAACUGACCAGUCGUCUUGCUCCGCCAUUGCAUGCUAGUAUAGAAUUUAUCAAUAGAAUGUAUGUGUAAGUUUAAUUUUUGCAACAAUUCUACAAUAAAAACCCCUCAUAGUUAAACUUUGAAGGCAAAAUCAAACUUUGAAUUGAAAACAUAAAUCAUAUUUUAAAUUGGAAAGGUAUGAACUCGGUGGAGUUCCUGCCUCGGUGUUUAGCUCUACCCUGUGCAUGCAUUACUAGCCAUCUGCCUCGCUGGCACUCCUCUGCCUUAUGCCUACCUGGCGAAAUGCAUCAUCGGCUUCUGUCAUGCUGAACGCUAGGGUUCGCCGUCACGGUGUGGUUUUGUUGGAGACUUCGAGUGAUCAAUUCCAUCCUCUAGCGUACAAGAAAACUGCUUUAAGCAUACGAGCGAAUGUUUCAUGGGUAAAGAGUACACCUAGAACGUAGGAAGAAACGAGGGAGCUAAUUAUCAGAUUCAUAGUUUUUGAGCUUAGGCCUUAGGUAUGCACUGUGGCCUGAUUAAUUUUUCUUACAGGUAUACUGAAGUACCGGGCCGAUGUACAGGUUGGUCCAUGGACCACCCUGUCCACCCUCCAGCUACGCCACGUCAUGCCGGGUUUUGUAAAGUAUCGCCAAGUAAAGGGAACAUCUCUUGAUAACCAAAGGUUCACUCGAACGUCAUUCAUGUAAUCAUAAGGAUCGAUAUGGAUGUCCAUGAUUCCGAUAUCGGUCAUUGAAGGAAGUGGUUUCGUUCAUAUCUACAAUUUACCGAACCUACGGGGUCAAACGAUCUGUUGAGUGUUAGUAGGACGAGAGUAUUGAGGAUUUAUUUGUUGAAUCUUUUCAUUAAUAUUCAGAAUGGUUUCGAGAGGAACCGAAAGCGUUUCAUGGUCACUGGAAGGGUUUUCGAGUUUAUCUGGCAAUACCGGGUAUAUCCAAAAAAUAAUAUAUAGGUGGAAAAUGUUUUCAGUGAUGUUAAAUUAUAUAUAAAAAGGUCUAGUACUUAUUAGAAGUAUUUUAUAUAUAAUUAAAUAUCAAGGGGUCUUAAAAGGCCAAGAGGUGGAAGGAAAUUUGGGCCACAAAGGACCAAAUGGAUGUGCCGCCCCCCUUUCCUUUNNNNNNNNNNNNNNNNNNNNNNNNNNNNNNNNNNNNNNNNNNNNNNNNNNNNNNNNNNNNNNNNNNNNNNNNNNNNNNNNNNNNNNNNNNNNNNNNNNNNNNNNNNNNNNNNNNNNNNNNNNNNNNNNNNNNNNNNNNNNNNNNNNNNNNNNNNNNNNNNNNNNNNNNNNNNNNNNNNNNNNNNNNNNNNNNNNNNNNNNNNNNNNNNNNNNNNNNNNNNNNNNNNNNNNNNNNNNNNNNNNNNNNNNNNNNNNNNNNNNNNNNNNNNNNNNNNNNNNNNNNNNNNNNNNNNNNNNNNNNNNNNNNNNNNNNNNNNNNNNNNNNNNNNNNNNNNNNNNNNNNNNNNNNNNNNNNNNNNNNNNNNNNNNNNNNNNNNNNNNNNNNNNNNNNNNNNNNNNNNNNNNNNNNNNNNNNNNNNNNNNNNNNNNNNNNNAAUUUCUCCCCUCUUGUCCGGCGCCCCACGGAGGGACUUUCCCUCCUUGGUAUAUACUUGAGUUAUUCACCACAAUUGAAUACACAAGUUUUGGAGCCUCAUCUUGUUUAUCUGGUUCGGGUUCUAGUUGGUCCUAGUUGACUAAUCAUAGUUAGAUCUAGUUCCUCUGAUCCUCAUAAUUAAAAGUCCAGUGUGGUUCUAAUCUUCUCCCUCCAAUUCUCCGGCGAUGAUUAACUCUGGAUGGCGAAGCGCUGCCGGAUCGUGAAGACUGUACUCUUGCAACCAAGUAGAGAAGUCGUGCUUUCGAUUUUCUGUUCGAGUGAUCGUUCAAGGGCGGUUCACGGGAUCGUCAUCAACGGUUCGAGGGACUCCAAGUACGAUCUACACCGACUCGUCUUCUUCCGCUGCUACUCCAGAGUCGGGAAUGAUCGUUGAUCUAAACCCUAUAUGCAUCUUCAUAUUGUUUUUGGGUGAUCGUUAGGCGAAUUUUUUUAUUUCCAUUACGUUUCCCAACAAAUUCUCCUAUUAUUCAUCCAAAUAUUCAUGUUCAAAUUAUGACAUAUCAUGAAAAUAUAUUGCAACCAAUCCCCGGCAGUUGGGUUUGUCCUUCGACAUCUCUACACUGCGCGCCGAGCAACAUCGGCUCGUGAAGGCGGGAUCUGGUGUAGAGCAGAUUAAUGCAGACUUUGCUAAGGACGCUGAAAUGAUGGAGAACUUUACAGAAAGGGUUGGUAGCCAGCAAGGUGAAGACUAUGAUUGCACUCAGGAUCCUGAAGAUUUUGCUAGAAGGCUCGGGAUUAGCACUGAGAGAAUUAAAGAGAUUGAGGCUGAAGUGGAAGAGGAGUUGUUGGCUGAGGAACAUUGCAACCUAAGGCAUGAGCCGCAUGACAAGGAGAACCUAACCCCUACCGUGGUUAAAACAGCCUGUGCUAUUUCACCUCCUGGAAGAACUGUUGCGACGAAGCAGACCUCCUUCUCUAACAGGGUACAAGGGGUGGUGUUGAAUCCUUUGCAAGAUCUUGGGGCGGCUGAUAUUACCAAGCAACAAAAGUUGAGGGAAGCUGAAGCUAGGGUCCAAAAGGCUAAAGAAAAGGCAGCUCUAGAUGAGGCGGCGAGGAGAAGAAGUGACAGGAACAAACACAAAGAGGAGGUGCAGACUAUGGACAAAGCUACUGACAUGGCAAGGAGGAAGAAUCUGGAGACCACAGGUAUGGCUCCUACAGAUUCAAAUACUGCUCCCAAUAUACCUACUGUUUUAAAUACACUACCUAGUUUUAUUUCGCACAUUACGCAAUGCAUUGGUGUUAGCUUAGGCAAGACUCCUGAGGAAAUAGAUAGCACUAUUUCUAUGAUCAAGAGCUUAGAAAAAACUAGGAGUGACUUAUAUCUUGCCAAUAUGAGAAAGAAGACUAAUGUGGAAGAUAGGGAUGAAGAGUCAAAACUGGGAAGUUUUGACCCUGAUACCAUUAGAAACCUUGUAUCUGACUCAGAAUGUGAAUCUGUGGACGAUGAAGAGCUUAGAGAUGAAUUAAUUCUUUUAUCUUCGUUAUAUAAAUCCAAACUAAAGCAGACUUGCGCUGGAGGUGUCAGCGUCAAGCCAAAGGUCAAGUGUGGUGCAACAAAAAAGUAAUCUGUUUUUAUGGCUGGUGUUUUCUGGAAUGCUAGAGGGUUAGGUGAACCUGAAAAAAGAAGGUUUCUUAAAGAAAUUGUUGGAAUUAAACACGAACACAGCCUCCCAAUAUUGAUACGUGUCCAAGUUGAUAAUGUAUGUACAUAUCCGAGUAGUGCUAGAGUUAGCCUCCGAGUAGGAUUGGUCUUGUUAGCUGCUAGCGCUAUUUAUAUACGUGCAACCAGCCUUGUAAACUUGUACCGAUCAGAAGCAAUAAAGAAUCAGGAACGUCACGUUCCUGUGGCAAUACCUUGGCUUUGUGUGCGUGGUGGCGUUUGGCUUCCGGCCGGCUGGCCGUAGUGUACGCUCACGUAUUUCUCGUGUUGCUUGCCGUAGCUAUCGAUCAGGAGUUCAUCGACUAGCAGAAGGCUCCCUUUGCACUUUGGUACAUCGUGCAUCUCGGCGUAAAGUAUUUCAUCGGGCUGAGCCAGCUUGGGGCAGGAACCAAAACAGUCAGCGUCGUUUGCUUCGUCGUCGUUCGUCAUCGGUCGUAUCACCGUCGCCGGAAAGUACACGGCGUCGGGUCUGGGCCAACAAUUGGUAUCAGAGCCAGGUUGGUCUUCUAGUAACGGAGGAUCAUGGCGGAUGACGAUAAGAACAAGCAACUGGCAGAAUACUCCGGUGCGACUAAAGUAUUUGCUGCUCCGGCGAGUUCGUCGUACCCAUGAUUUGAUCGCGAGAACUUCGGGGUCUGGAAGGCCCUCAUGGAGUGUGGUCUCCGCGCCAACGAGCUAUGUGACGCAGUCGACCCAGGAGGCAACGCGUUCAAGAAGGAGGGAGCCGAGCACCGGAAGGAUCGGCAGGCGGCGUCGGCUAUUUAGUCGGUGAUGCCGAUGGAUGUCCUCCAACACCUGAUCGCCAAAGAAACGGCGAAGGAAGCGUGGGAUACCUUGAAGCUCAUGUUCGAGGGACACACCCGCGUCAAGCAAGCCAAUCUCCAAACUCUCCUAAGGAACUAUGAGACUUUGGUCAUGGGCGACAAUGAGUCUGUGGAUGCGUUCGCUUCACGGGUAGCUACUCUCGUCAAUCGGAUUCGCGCUCUUGGAGAAAACCUAACGGAGACCUCGGUUGUCCGGCGGUUCUUGCGCGCGGCCCCUCCCCGGUACCUGCAAAUUGUUACGGCGAUCGAGCAGUGCGUCGAUCUCACGACUCUCUCCAUCGACGAUCUCGUCGGACGGUACAAGGCUCACGACGAGCGGAUGCUGUACAGUCUUGGGGACGGGAGGAACGACGAGCUUGUGAUGCUCACAAGGGCGCAGUGGGUCGCUUUGUCAAAGGAAAAGCAAGACGGAUCCACGAGCAGCAGCAAGAUGAAGGGGAAGCAGCGUUCGGUGAGAAAGAACUUUGCCGACUCGGAUGACGACUCAGACGAUGAGGCUGUACCACCACCGAGGAGGAAGUUUGACAUCAGGAAAGUGAGGUGUUAUAACUGUGGCCUCCUCGGCCACUUCGAGGCUGACUGUGAGGAAGCACCGAAGCAGAAGGCACUCAUGACCCAGCAAGGAGAUGAUGGAGACAUGAUGUUGAUGUGUAAACUGGUGGACGACGAGGAUCCAGACUCUCAAGCGUUGACUAAAGAAAUUGUCGAGCUUGCGGAAGAAAAAGUUUGCCAUCAUCUUCAUGGUUCGGAAACUCGUAUCUAUGCUACAGAUGCGGGGGUGGUUCCGAAGCUUAUGUCGAUGCUAUGGGCAUAAGUGCCAACUUUGCUGCAGCAGAUGCAGCGAUAGCUGCGUGUGCUCGACCAUGGAGAAGUAAUCUUUGUGCCGUUCAGAGGUCCAUAGGUGGCCACAAAAAUAACACUGGACAUGGUGUCUCGCUGAGUAGGCCGAAAGCACCGGCCGCAGGCACCAAAGCUGGAUCCCUUGUGCGGAGUAAGGGCGCCUCGCACCCAGCAGCGAGUGCUGCACAAGGAGCCUCCAAGGCAGCUACGUGUGGUGGCCUAGCCACAAGACAAGUCUCGCAUGGUGGGCUACAAACAAGUCUAGCAGGAGGGCUUGGUGGCUCACGUGGUGAGCUAGGGCCAUCUACACCUAGUGACGUUGCAAGUGAUCCAGGAGAUAUGCAAGGUUCAUUACCAGCACAUGUACGUACAGUUUUGCCAUGCUUGGCCACUAUAAUGCAAGAAGAUGGGAACGGCAAGGUAACAUCCGUACCCGGGAAUGAAAGUCUAGCUUUGCCAAAAGCAAUGUGCGAAGCAAACGGUGAGGAGUUACUCCUGAAGGUACAAGGAGCCAUGCAAAUAAUGUCGUCUCCGAAGGCACAAGAGACGAGGACAACGCCACCGACACCUAUACUGCUACAACCGGUGUUACACCUAUGUUCGGAGAAGACUCUUCGGACGAUUGACCCGGCAAAAGUGAAAGGGAGUGGGCGACGGUGUCUAGCAAGCGCCGAGGAACCGGCGAAAUUUGAGGACGCAAAUACGGAGAAGUGUUGGCGUCAUACUAUGAAAGAAGAGUUGGGGUCGAUCCGUGACAAUAAUGCAUGGGAGCUUAUGGAUCUUCCCAACGAUGAAAAGGCUAUGGAGCUCAAGUGGGAAUUCAAGGUCAAGAAAGAUGUUGAAGGGUGCAUGAAGCACAAAGCGAGGUUUGUAGCCAAAGAGUAUGUGCAAGAGGAAGCUGUGGACUUCGAAGAAGUGUUCGUUCCCAUUGCAAAGAUGGAGUCGGUGAGAUUACUCAUCGCUCUCGCGGCUCAGGAAUCAUGGAAAAUACAUCACAUGGAUGUAAACUCCGCGUUUUUGAAUGGCGAGAUAGAAGGAGAUGUGUAUGUGAAUCAACCAUCGGAUUUCAUCAAAGAGGGAGAAGAGCAUAAGGUACUGAAGUCACACAAAAUCUUGUAUGGGCUAUGCCAAGGACCUCGGGAGUGGAACAACAAACUUGAUCGGACAUUGUUUUCUCUUGGAUUUGAGAAAGCCCCAAUAGAGCAUGCAAUGUACAAGCAAGGUGAAGGGAGGGAUCGUCUACUAGUUGGCAUCUACGUCGACGACCUAUUAAUUACUGGAGCAGAUGAAGAAGUGAUUGCAAAGUUCAAGCUACAGAUGAAAGAGCUUUUCAAGAUGGAUGAUCUAGGUCUUUUGCGCUACUACCCCGGGAUAGAGGUACAUCAAAAGACGGAGGGGGUCACACUAUGCCAGGAGGCAUACACAAGAAAGGUACUUGAAAGCCCUGUCAUGAGAGAUUGCAAUCCAGUUGACGCUCUAAUGGAACCUCGUCUAGCGCUGAGCAAGAAAAGUAAAGCACCCGUAGUUGAUGCAAUAGAGUAUAUUGCAGCGGCCACUGCGAUGCGUCAAGGUGUGUGGCUAAGGAAGCUACACGGUGAUCUCACGGGUCGAGAUCCGGAACAAGUGGUGCUCAAUGUUGAUAGCAAGUCUGAAAGUUUUCUACGUGAGGAUCCAGUGCGGCAGGAUAGGAGCAAGCACAUUGAUACGGUGUAUCACUACAUAAAGGACUGCGUAGGAGAAGGUAAGAUGAAGGUCAACUACGGUUGCACCGAUGAUCAGAUGGCGGACAUGCUAAGCAAGGCUUUGGAUCGAGAGAAGUUCUUGAAGAUGCGAAGAAGGAUCGGCGUCGGAGCUGUGACAUGACGACGUCGUGUUUAGGGGGGUGAUUGUUGGAAUUAAACACGAACACAGCCUCCAAUAUUGAUACGUGUCCAAGUUGAUAAUGUAUGUACGUAUCCGAGUAGUGCUAGAGUUAGCCUCCGAGUAGGAUUGGUCUUGUUAGCUGCUAGUGCUAUUUAUAUACGUGCAACCAGCCUUGUAAACUUGUACGAUCAGAAGCAAUAAAGAAUCAGGAACGUCACGUUCCUAUGGCAAUACCUUGGCUUUGUGUGCGUGAUGGCGUUUGGCUUCCGGCCGGCUGGCCGUAGUGUACGCUCACGUAUUUCUCGUGUUGCUUGCCGUAGCUAUCGAUCAGGAGUUCAUCGACUAGCAGAAGGCUACCUUUGCACUUUGGUACAUCGUGCAUCUCGGUGUAAAGUAUUUCGUCGGGCUGAGCCAGCUUGGGGCAGGAACCAAAACAGUCAGCGUCGCUUUGCUUCGUCGUCGUUCGUCGUCGGUCGUAUCACCGUCGCCGGAAAGUACACGGCGUCGGGUCUGGGCCAACAGAAAUCAUUUCUGAGCAUGCUUUAGAGUUCAUUUGUAUUCAGGAGACUAAGAAAAGUGAUUUUUCUGAUCCUUGGUUAGCUAGUAUCGGUGGCAGAUUUACUUUCAUUUGGCUUUGGCAACCCUCUGUAGGAGCCUCGGGUGGGCUCCUCAUGGGUGUCAGAGAUGACCUGUUUGAGGUCGACACGUGCACUGCUAGUAGGUUUUUUACUAGAAUGAUCAUUAUGGAUAAGAGAUCGGGUUUCAAGUGGACUUUGAUCAAUGUGUACGGGGCUGCUCAUACCAAAGACAAGAAGGACUUCCUGAUCGAUUUUGUCCAUAUGUUAGGUCAUAAUAAAUUACCCCUUGUUAUUGGUGGUGAUUUCAAUAUCAUUAGGAGGAUCAAUGAGAGAAGUAGAGCUAAAAAACUCCCUAUUUGGUCUUUUUACUUUAAUUCCAUCAUUGUUCAUUGGGGGCUAAAAGAGUUAGAGCUCUCAGGGAGGAGCUUUACUUGGUCUAAUAACCAGGACGACCCCUUGUAUGUGAAACUAGAUAGGAUUCUUGUUAGCCCAUCUUGGGAACAGCAUUUUCCUUUAGUUACGGUCAGGACAAUCGUUAGGGGUGUCUCUGAUCAUGCUGCUCUUUUGGUACAUACUGGAGUUGUAAAUGCUGUAGCUACCAGGCCUUUUAAAUUUGAGCUUUGCUGGCUUGUCACAGAUGAGUUGCCGGCCGUUGUUUCUACAAUUUGGAACUCUAUCGCUCCUAAAAAAAAAGCCUCAAAUGGUGGCAGGCUAUUAUGAGAAAAUUAAGAAGCGGGCUCAAGGGUUGGAACCUUAAUGUUGAGGGUAGUUACAGGAGAAAGAAGAGUUUUAUUAUUAAUGCUUUAGAUAUUCUUGAUAAGAAGUGUGAGCUUGCUGGUGUAUCAGCAGCUGACUAUGUGCAAAGAAAUAGUUUGCAAAAUGAUUUGAAUAAAAUUCUUAGAGAGGAAGAAAUAAAAUGGUACCAACGCUCGAAGGAGAGGGAUAUCAAAGAAGGGGAUAGCAACACUAAGUAUUUUAUGAUUAAGGCUAGUGGGCGGAAGCGCAAGAGUAAAAUCUUUCGACUUAUCCAGGAUGAAGGGGUCAUCCAGGGGGAUGAUAACUUGCUCAAAUAUGCAACUAAUUUUUAUAAAGACUUAUUUGGUCACAUAGAUUUACCUCCUAUUUCUCUGUGUAUACCUCUUGAUGAUGUUUUCUUAGAAGAGGAUAAGGUUGAGCUCAGUUGCAAAUUUACUAUGGAUGAAGUAAAAAAUGCGUUAUUUUCUAUGAAGCGCAACAGAGCAGCUGCCCAGGACGGCUUUCCUGCCGAGUUCUUUCAAUUUUUCUAGAACCUCAUUUGUAACGAUCUCCUUAGGCUUUUUCAUGACUUUUAUGAGGGCAAGAUUAACAUUUCAAGGCUUAACUAUGGUGUAAUCACUUUGCUUGAUAAGGGGCAGGGGGCUGAUAGGAUUCAAAUGUACCGCCCCAUUUGUAUGCUGAACGUACCUUUUAAAUUUUUUACAAAAGUUCUUAACAAUAGAGCUAUGAAAAUUGCUGAUAAAACAAUUUCUAAAGCUCAAUCUGCGUUUAUAAAGGGUCGCUACAUCCGGGACAAUGUGCUUAUGCUUCAUGAAGCUAUCCACUCUUUACAUAGAAAUAAAUGUUCUGCUGUGCUUUUUAAGGUUGAUUUCGAAAAAGCUUACGAUAAAAUUAAUUGGAGUUUCAUGCUUGAUGUCCUAAAGAUGAAAGGCUUCCCUGAACGUUUUGUCCAGUGGACAAAAGAUGUCGUUAGUAAUGGAAAGGUUGCCAUCACUAUUAAUGAUGUUAUUGGCCCGUAUAUUGUUACUAGGAAGGGUUUGAGGCAAGGGGACCCGUUUUCCCCCUUGCUUUUCAAUUUGGCGGCUGAUGUUCUUGCUACCCUGGUGCAAAGGGCGCAAGAACAAGGAUUUAUCAAGGGAGUUUGCCUAGGUUGUAUGUAGGAGGUCUAAAUAUUUUGCAAUAUGCGGACGAUACUAUUUUCUGUUUUGAAGAUGGCCUUGAGGGGGCUAGGAACCUCAAAAUUAUUCUAUGUGUUUUUGAGCAUUUGACCGGUCUGAAGAUUAAUUUCUUAAAAAGUGAAAUUUUCAUUUUCGAUAAAGCUUUGGAGAAACAAGCUAAUUAUGCCGGCAUUUUUACUUGUGCUAUUGGGGGCUUGCCUUUUAGGUAUUUAGGUCUUCCCCUGCAUUAUAAAAAGCUUUGUAAUGCUGACUAGAAGCCAGCGGAAGAAAAAGUAGAGAAAGGAGCUGCAACAUGGCAGGGGGUCUUUUAUCAAUGGGUGGUAGGCUUAUCCGCACUGAAACUUGCGUGAGCAACAUCAUUAGUCAUUUACUUAACUUUUUCCGUCUACCAAAAGGAGUAGGCAAAAGAAUCGAUUUCUUUCGAGCUCGGGUGCUUUGGCAAGAGAAAGAGGGGGUUAGGAAGUUUCAUCUAGUUAACUGGCUUGAUGUUUGUCAACCUAGAGACCAAGGGGGGUUGGGUGUUACUAAUCUGGAUAUCAAGAAUAUUAGUCUUUUGUGUAAAUGGCUUUGGAGACUUGAGAAUGAAGAUGGGGAUUGGCAGGAGAUGAUUAGAGCAGAGUAUUUGAAGAGGAAAACUUUGUCUCAAUGUGAGUCAUCUCCUGCCAACUCUCAUUUCUGGAAUGGUAUCAUGAGUGUUAAAGAUAUCUUUUACAACUGUUGUCAAAGAAUUGUUGGAGAUGGGCGUAAAACUAGAUUUUGGGAAGAUGCUUGGAUUCACAACAAGCCUCUCUGUCAACUUUUUCCUCGCUUGUACAAACUUACUUUCCAUCAAAACAUUACGGUUGCUAAAGCAUUUGAACAAGAUUUUAACUGCAUUAGAUUUAGUAGAUGUUUAUAUGGGGAGACAUUGGAUAUGUGGAAUAAACUUCUGGAUAUGUGCAGUCAGGUUGUUCUGAGUGAGGAACCUGACAAAGCCAAAUGGCUUUUGAAUAGCUCUGGUCAGUUCUCUGUUAAAUCUCUUUAUCAAUAUAUUAUUGCUAGGAGAGUAGUGUUCCCUUUUAAGUUUCUGGAAACUGAAGGUACCUUUGAAAAUUAAGGCUUUUAUAUGGUUAGUUACAAAGGGAGGAACCUGGCCAAGGACAACUUGUGUAAAAAAGGCUGGAAAGGCACCAACAAAUAUGAAUUUUGUGAUGCCAAUGAAUGUAUUGAUCAUCUGUUUUUCACGUGCUCUUUUGCUCGGUUUCUUUGGAAUGUAGUUGGGAGUGCUUUGGGAAAUCCCCAAACACCCCUGUCAUUCUUUGACUUUUGCCAGAAUUGGCUUCCUAAGUAUACUGGGAAAGAUAGAACGGUUAUAUCUAUUGGUACGACUGCUUUUGUUGUGGUUGAUCUGGAAAUCAAGAAAUAAAUCUUGCUUUCAAAGUUCUUUACCUAAGGAUCCUACUGAUAUUAUCUUUUCCUUAUGUUAUGUGUUGGAUUCGUGGGGUGUGCUACAGAAAAGAGGGGUGCAAAAAACUCUUUAGGAAGUGACCAAGAGGUUGGCCCAGAUAGCGAGGGAUGUCUUCAAGCGUGCUUACGGCUGGGGCCCUACUGUACGGAGGCUCUGUUGAUCAAGUGUUGAUAGAUGUAGCAUUUGCGAUGAUCCCUCUUGUUCUUCUGCUAUAGCACCCGGUAGGUGCAGAGUUUGCUAUCUCAGGUUGUAGGAGUUUAUUUCCCUGUUGCAAAAAUGUGAGGCAACAUAUUUAGCGACGGUGCUUUGGAGCAUUCUUUUGUGGAAGCAUCCUGUAGGUGCAGUUGAAGUGCCUUGCUACCUCUUGAGCACAGCGUUGGUUUUCCCUUGAAGAGGAAAGGGUGAUGCAGCAAAGUAGCGUAAGUAUUUCCCUUAGUUUUUGAGAACCAAGGUAUCAAUCCAGCAGGAGGCCACACGCAAGUCCCACGCACCUACACAAACAAAUAAGAACCUUGCAACCAACGCGACAAAGGGGUUGUAAAUCCCUUCACGGCCACUUGCAAAAGUGAGAUCUGAUAGAGAUGAUAAGAUAAUAUUUUGGUAUUUUUAUGAUAAAGACUAAAAUUAAAGAAAGCAAAAUAAAGUAGAUCGGAAACUUAUAUGAUGGAAAAUAGACCCGGAGGCCAUAGGUUUCACUAGUGGCUUCUCUCAAGAUAGCAUAAGUAUUACGGUGGGUGAACAAAUUACUGUCGAGCAAUUGAUAGAAUUGAGCAUGGUUAUGAGAAUAUCUAGGCAUGAUCAUGUAUAUAGGCAUCACGUCCGCGACAAGUAGACCAAAACGAUUCUGCAUCUACUACUAUUACUCCACACGUCGACCGCUAUCCAGCAUGCAUCUAGAGUAUUAAGUUCAUAAGAACAGACGCAUUAGGCAAGAUGACAUGAUGUAGAGGGAUAAACUCAAGCAAUAUGAUAUAAACCCCAUCUUUUUAUCCUCGAUGGCAACAAUACAAUACGUGUCGUUUCCCCUUCUGUCACUGGGAUCGAGCAACGCAAGAUUGAACCCAAAGCUAAGAACUUCUCCCAUUGCAAGAAAGAUCAAUCUAGUAGGCCAAGCCAAACUGAUAAUUCUAAGAGACUUGCAAAGAUAACCAAUCACACAUAAAAGAAUUCAUAGGAGAUUCAAAUAUUGUUCAUAGAUAAUCCUGAUCAUAAACCUACAAUUCAUCGGAUCUUGACAAACACACCGCAAAAGAAGAUUACUACGAAUAGAUCUCCAAGAAAUCAAGGAGAACUUUGUAUUGAGAUCCAAAGAGAGAGAAGAAGCCAUCUAGCUAAUUACUAUGGACCUGAAGGUCUGAGGUAAACUACUCACACAUCAUCCAUGAUCAAUGCCCCCUCCGGCGGAGCGCCGGAAAAGGCCCCAAGAUGGGAUCUCACGGGUACAGAAGGUUGCGGCGGUGGAAAUAGGGUUUCGUGGUGCUCCUGGAUGUUUUCGGGGUACGUAGGUAUAUAUAGGAGGAAGAAGUAGGUCGGUGGAGCUACGAGGGGCCCAUGAGGGUGGGGGCGCACCCAGGGGGCAGGCGCGCCUCCCUGCCUCGUGGCCUCCUCGUUUAUUGCUUGACGUCCACUCCAAGUCCUCUGGAUCACGUUUGUUCCGAAAAUCACGUUCCCGAAGGUUUCAUUCCGUUUGGACUCCGUUUGAUAUUCCUUUUCUGCGAAACACUGAAAUAGGCAAAAAAAGCAGCAAUUUGGGCUGGACCUCCGGUUAGUAGGUUAGUCCCAAAAAUAAUAUAAAAGUGUAUGAUAAAGCCCAUGUAAUCAUCAUAAAUAGGAGGCAUGCUUUUAUCAAAAUAAAUUUUCUCAUCAAAACUUGGGGGACUAAAAAUAUCAUCUUCAUCAAACAUAGCAUCCCCAAGCUUGUGGCUUUGCAUAUCAUUAGCAUCAUGGAUAUUCAAAGAAUUCAUACUAACAACAUUGCAAUCAUUCUCACCAUUCAAAGAUUUAGUGCCAAACAUUUUAAUGCAUUCUUCCUCUGGCAAUUGAGCACAAUUAUCGGAAUCCUUAUUUUCACGGAAGACAUUAAAAAGAUGAAGCACAUGAGGCACCCUCAAUUCUAUUUUUUUGUAGUUUUCUUUUAUAGACCAAACUAGUGAUAAAACAAGAAACUAAAAGAUUCAGUUGCAAGAUCUACAGAUAUACCUUCAAGCACUAACCUCCCCGGCAACGGCGCCACAAAAGAGCUUAGUUGACGGGGUGUUAGUGCCGCUUACCUAGCCUCACCGGCAACGGCGCCAGAAAAGAGCUUGAUGUCUACUACACAACCUUCUUCUUGUAGACGUUGUUGGGCCUCCAAGUGCAGAGGUUUGUAGGACAUUAGCAAAUUUCCCACAAGUGGAUGACCUGAUAAACCCGUGGGAGGCGUAGGAUGAAGAUGGUCUCUCUCAAACAACCCUGCAGCCAAAUAACAAAGAGUCUCUUGUGUCCCCAACACACCCAAUACAAUGGUAAAUUGUAUAGGUGCACUAGUUCGGCGAAGAGAUGGUGAUACAAGUGCAAUAUGGAUGGUAGAUAUAGGUUUUUGUAAUCUGAAAAAUAUAAAAACAGCAAGGUAACUAAUGAUAAAAGUGAGAGUAAACGGUAUCGCAAUGCUUCGAAACAAGUCCUAGGGUUCAUACUUUCACUAGUGAAAUUUCUCUCAACAAUAAUAACAUAAUUGGAUCAUAUAACUAUCCCUCAACAUGCAACAAAGAGUCACUCCAAAGUCACUAAUAGCGGAGAACAAACGAAGAGAUUAUUGUAGGGUAUGAAACCACCUCAAAGUUAUUCUUUCUGAUCGAUCUAUUCAAGAGUCCGUAGUAAAAUAACACGAAGCUAUUCUUUCCGUUCGAUCUAUCCUAGAGUUUGUACUAGAAUAACACCUUAAGACAAAAAUCAACCAAAACCCUAAUGUCACCUAGAUACUCCAAUGUCACCUCAAGUAUCCAUCGGUAUGAUUAUACGAUAUGCAUCACACAAUCUCAGAUUCAUCUAUUCAACCAACACAAAGAACUUCAAAGAGUGCCCCAAAGUUUCUACCGGAAAGUCAACACGAAAACGUGUGCCAACCCCUAUGCAUAAGUUCACAAGGUCACAGAACCCGCAAGUUGAUCACCAAAACAUACAUCAAGUAGAUCACAUGAAUAUCCCAUUGUCACCACAGAUAAGCAGAUGCAAGACAUACAUCAAGUGUUCUCAAAUCCUUCAAGACUCAAUCCAAUAAGAUAACUUCAAAGGGAAAACUCAAUCCAUUACAAGAAGAUAGAGGGGGAGAAGCAUCAUAAGAUCCAACUAUAAUGCAAAGCUCGCGAUACAUCAAGAUAGUGCCAUAUCAAGAACACGAGAGAGAGAGAGAGAGAUCAAACACAUAGCUACUGGUACAUACCCUCAGCCCCGAGGGUGAACUACUCCCUCCUCAUCGUGGAGAGCGUCGGGAUGAUGAAGAUGGCCACCGGUGAUGAUUCCCCCCUCCGGCAGGGUGCCGGAACAGGGUCCCGAUUGGUUUUUGGUGGCUACAGAGGCUUGCGGCGGCGGAACUCCUGAUUUAGGUUUCUUUCUGGGGGUUUCUGUAUUUAUAGGAAUUUUUGGCGUCGGUCUCAUGUCAGGGGGGUCUCCGAGUCGUCCACGAGGCUGGGGGGCGCGCCCAGGGGGUAGGGCGCACCCUCCACCCUCGUGGACGGCUCGGGACUCUUCUGGUCCCUCUCCGAUGCUCCGUGGGCUUCUUCUGGUCCAUAAAAAAUCGUCAAAAAUUGGUACGUCAAUUGGACUCCGUUUGGUAUUCCUUUUCUUCAAAACUCAAAAACAAGGAAAACAGAAACUUGCACUGGGCUCUAGGUUAAUAGGUUAGUCCAAAAAAUUAUAUAAAAUAGCAUAUAAAUGCAUAUAAAACAUCCUAGAUGGAUACUAUAAUAGCAUGGAACAAUAAAAAAUUAUAGAUACGUUGGAGACGUAUCAAGAGUUAAUAUGUGUACAUACCAAUACAAUUAAUACAUCAAUUAGCUUGUCAGCACAUGCUUAAUUAAUAUAUAUGCCUUGCCGGACUUUGCAACAGCUCCUUCCUCUAUUCGCUCACCAGAGCCGUCAUCACGGUCUUCUUCUUCCACCGGCAUUCGGUCAACGGAGCCAUCAUUAUCAUGUCCUUCCACCUUCAUUGUUCGAUCACCGGAGCCUGCUUCACCCUCUCCUUCCAGACCACGAUCGGUGUCGUUGAGAAACGACAAGAUCUACAUCAGCUCCUCCGCGGAUGAUGUCCCCCAACAACUCUUCUUCUUCGAAGUCUCUUUGUUGAUCCAUAGUUUCUGCAAAUAUUACAACAUGGCAAUUAAUAUACAAACAUGAGAGAUGGAUAUAUUAGUGGCAGAUGGGUGGCCUCGACAAUGCUUCUAGGGUUUGGGGUGGGCUCGGCAAUGCUUCUAGGGUUUGGGGUGGCCUCGACAACGCAUCUAGGGUUUGGGCCGGACCGCCUCUCUCAUGAAUGUCCGACGUCCGGACCGACAAGGGAUUUAACAAAAUGAUGCCAUUUAGGAUGUGCAGAAAAUGGUCCCUAUUUUUCAUGAUCUCAUCUACCCUUCUAUAUGUCAUGUUGUCUAGUGUCAAAGGAUUCAAGAAAACCAUGGUUUCAUCAUUAGCCGGAAGUAAAAGGUGAUACGUCCAUUUUGCAUCAUGCUUUUAUAUCAAUAUUUAUUGCGUUAUGGGCUGUUAUUACACAUUAUGUCACAAUACUUAUGCCUUUUCUCUCUUAUUUUACAAGGUUUACAUGAAGAGGGAGAAUGCCGGCAGCUGGAAUUCAGGGCUGGAAAAGGAGCAAAUAUUGGAGACCUAUUCUGCACAACUCCAAAAGUCCUGAAACUCCACGAAAGUCAGUUUUGGAAUAUAUUAAAAAUAUUGGGUGAAAAAAGCACCAGAGGGGGGCCACCCACCGUCCACGAGGGUGGAGGGCGCGCCCUACCCCCUAGGCGCGCCCCCUGCCUCAUGGGCCACCUGGAAGCCCCCCGAUGCCCAUCUUCUGCUAUAAGGUGUCUUUUGCCCUGGAAAAAAAUCAGAAGGAAGCUUUCGGGACAAAGCGCCGCCGUCUCGAGGCGGAACCUUGGCGGAACCAAUCUAGGGCUCCCGCGGAGCUGUUCUGCCGGGGAAACAUCCCUCCGGGAGGGGGAAAUUGUCACCAUCGUCAUCACCAUCGAUCCUCUCAUCGGGAGGGGGUCAAUCUACAUCAACAUCUUCACCAGCACCAUCUCCUCUCAAACCCAAGUUCAUCUCUUUUAUCCGAUCUUUGUCUCAAAACCUCAGAUUGGUACCUGUGGGUUGCUAGUAGUGUUGAUUACUCCUUGUAGUUGAUGCUAGUUGGUUUAUUCGGUGGAAGAUUAUAUGUUCAGAUCCUUUAUGCACAUUAAUACCCCUCUGGUUAUGGACAUGAAUAUGAUUUCUGAGUAUUUACGUUUGUUCCUGAGGACAUGGGAGAAGUCUUGUUAUAAGUAGUCAUGUGAAUUUGGUAUUCGUUCGAUAUUUUGAUGAGAUGUAUGUUGUCUUUCCUCUGCUGGUGUUAUGUGAACAUCGACUACAUGACACUUCAACAUUGUUUGGGCCUAGGGGAAGGCAUUGGGAAGUAAUAAGUAGAUGAUGGGUUGCUAGAGUGACAGAAGCUUAAACCCUAGUUUAUGCGUUGCUUCGUAAGGGGCUGAUUUGGAUCCAUAUGUUUCAUGCUAUGGUUAGGUUUACCUUAAUUCUUCUUUUGUAGUUGCGGAUGCUUGCAAGAGGGGUUAAUCAUAAGUGGGAUGCUUGUCCAAGGAAGGGCAGUACCCAAGCACCGGUCCACCCACAUAUCAAAUUAUCAAGGUAACGAACGCGAAUCAUAUGAGCAUGAUGAAAACUAGCUUGACGAUAAUUCCCAUGUGUCCUCGGGAGCGCUUUUCCUUAUAUAAGAGUUUGUCCAGGCUUGUCCUUUGCUACAAAAAGGAUUGUGCCACCUUGCUGCACCUUGUUUACUUUUGUUACUUGUUACCUGUUACGAAUUACCUCAUCACAAAACUAUCUGUUACCGGUAAUUUCAGUGCUUGCAUAGAAUACCUUCCUGAAAACUGCUUGUCAUUUCCUUCUGCUCCUCGUUGGGUUCGACACUCUUACUUAUCGAAAGGACUACGAUAGAUCCCCUAUAUUUGUGGGUCAUCAAGUCUCUUUUCUUGCGCCAUUAACGGGGAGUGAAGCGCCUUUGGUAGGUGGAAUUUGGUAAGGAAAAAUUUAUAUAGUGUGCUGAAAUUUACUGUCACUUGUUACUAAGGAAACUAAUCCUUUGAGGGGCUUGUUCGGGGUAUCUUCACCCCGACCAGUAGAGCAAAGAGUUGAUCCUCAACCUACUGAACCUACUAAAAAUGUAUAGUUUGAAAUUCCUUCUGGUAUGAUAGAGAAACUGCUAGCUAAUCCUUUUACAGGAGAUGGAACAUUACAUCCCGAUAUGCACCUAAUCUAUGUGGAUGAAGUUUGUGGAUUUUUUAGGCUUGCAGGUAUGCCCGAGGAUGUUAUCAAGAAGAAGGUCUUCCCUUUAUCUUUGAAGGGAAAGGCAUUGACAUGGUUUAGGCUAUGUGAUGAUAUUGGAUCAUGGAACUACAACCGAUUGAAAUUGGAAUUUCAUCAGAAGUUUUAUCCUAUGCAUGUGGUUCAUCAUGAUCGUAAUUAUAUAUAUAAUUUUUGGCCUCGUGAAGGAGAAAGAAUCGCUCAAGCUUGGGGGAGGCUUAAGUCAAUGUUAUAUUCAUGCCCCAACCAUGAGCUCUCAAGAGAAAUUAUUAUUCAAAAAAUUUAUGCUCGGCUUUCUCUCAACAAUCGCUCCAUGCUCGAUACUUCUUGUACUGGUUCUUUUAUGAUGAAGACUAUUGAAUUCAAAUGGGAUUUAUUGGAAAGAAUUAAACACAACUCUAAAGAUUGGGAUCUUGACGAAGGUAAGGAGUCAGGUAUAACACCUAAGUUUGAUUGUGUUAAAUCUUUUAUGGAUACCGAUGCUUUUCGUGAAUUUAGCACUAAGUAUGGACUUGACUCUGAGAUAGUAGCUUCUUUCUGUGAAUCAUUUGCUACUCAUGUUGAUCUCCCUAAGGAGAAGUGGUUUAAAUAUCACCCUCCCAUGGAAGUAAAAGUAGUUGAACCUAUUAAAGUUUAAGAAAAGACUAUCACUUAUAAUGUUGAUCCUAUUGUUCCUACCGCUUAUAUUGAGAAACCACCCUUCCCAGUUAGAAUAAAGAAUCAUGCUAAAGCUUCAACUGUGGUUCGUAAGAGUAAAGCUAGAACACCUACACCCUCUGAGCAAAUUAAAGUUGAACCUAGUAUUGCUAUGGUUAAGGAUCUCUUGGUCGAUAAUAUUGAUGAGCAUGUUAUUUACAUCUGUGAUGAAGCUUCUAGAAUUGCUAGACCUGAUAAUAAAGCUAAACAUAGACCUGUUGUUGGCAUGCCUGUUGUUUCUGUUAAGAUAGGAGAUCAUUGUUAUCAUGUCUUAUGUGAUAUGGGUUCUAGUGCGAGUGCAAUACCUCAUUCCUUAUACACAGAAAUUAUGCAUGAUAUUGCACCUACUGAGAUAGAAGAUAUUGAUGUUACUAUUAAGCUUGCCAAUAGAGAUACUAUUUCACCAGUUGGGAUUGUUAGAGAUGUUGAUGUCUUGUGUGGGAAAGUUAAAUAUCCUACUGAUUUUCUUGUUCUUGGUUCCCCACAAGAUGACUUUUGUCCCAUUAUAUUUGGUAGACCCUUCUUGAAUACUGUUAAUGCUAAGAUAGACUGCGAAAAUGAUAUUGUUACUGUUGGUUUAGGGGAUAUGUCUCAUGAUAUAAAUUUUACUAAAUUUCGUAGACAACCCCAUGAUAAACAAUUGCCUAGUAAAGAUGAAAUUAUUGGUCUUGCUUCUAUUGACGUGCCUCCUAAUGAUCCUUUAGAACAAUAUUUGCUUGACCAUGAAAAUGAUAUGUUCAUGAAUGAAAGAAGGGAAAUAGAUGAAGUAUUCUUUAAACAGGGACCUCUUCUAAAACAGAACUUGCCUAUUGAAAUCCUAGGAGAUCCUCCUCCACCCAAGGGUCAUCCCGUGUUUGAGCUUAAACCAUUACCUGAUACUCUUAAAAUAUGCUUAUCUUGAUGAAAACAAGAUAUAUCAUGUUAUUAUUAGUGAUAACCUUUCAGAGCAAGAAGAAGAGAAAUUAUUGAAAACUCCGAAGAAGCACCGUGCUGCUAUUGGAUAUACUCUUGAUGAUCUUAAGGGCGUUAGUCCCACUAUGCCAGCACAAAAUAAAAUUGGAGAAAGACGCUAAACCGGUUGUUGAUCACCAACGAAGGUUAAAUCCUAAGAUGAAAGAAGUGGUAAGAAAUGAAAUACUAAAGCUUCUGGAGGCAGGUAUAAUUUAUCCUGUUGCUGAUAGUCAGUGGGUAAGUCCUGUCCAUUGUGACCCUAAGAAGGGAGGUAUUAUUGUUGUUCCUAAUGAUAAAGACAAAUUGAUCCCACAGAGAAUUGUUACAAGUUAAAGAAUGGUAAUUGAUUUCUGCAAAUUAAAUAAACUAGUAGAAAGGAUCAUUACCCUUUACCUUUUAUUUAUCAAAUGCUAGAAAGAUUAUCCAAACAUACACAUUUUUACUUUCUAGACGGUUACUCUGGUUUCUCUCAAAUACCUGUGUCAAAAAAGGAUAAGGAAAAGACCUCUUUUACUUGCCCUUUCGGUACCUUUGCUUAUAGACGUAUGCCUUUUGGUUUAUGUAAUGCACCUGCUACCUUUCAAAAUGUAUGACUGCUAUAUUCUCUGACUUCCGUGAAAAGAUUGUUGAGGUUUUCAUGGAUAAUUUUUUCGUGUAUGGAACUUCUUUUGAUGAUUGCUUAAGCAACCUUGAUCGAGUUUUGCAGAGAUGUGAAGAAACUAAUAUUCUCUUGAAUUGGGAGAAGUGCCACUUUAUGGUUAAUGAAGGUAUUGUCUUGGUGCACAAAAUUUCUGAAAGAGGUAUUGAAGUUGAUAAAGCUAAAGUUGAUGCUAUUGAAAAGAUGCCGUGUCCUAAGGACAUUAAAGGUAUAAGAAGUUUCCUUGGUCAUGUUGGUUUUUAUAGGAGGUUCAUUAAAGACUUCUCUAAAAUUUCUAGGCCUCUGACUAAUCUCUUACAAAAAGAUGUUCCUUUUAUCUUUGAUGAUGAUUGUGUAGAAGCAUUUGAAAUACUUAAGAAAACCUUGAUUUCUGCACCUAUUGUCCAGCCACCUGAUUGGAAUUUACCCUUUAAAAUUAUGUGAGAUGCUAGUGAUUAUGCUGUAGGCGCUGUUCUAGGACAAAGAGUUGAUAAGAAAUUAAAUGUUAUCCAAUAUGCUAGUAAAACUCUAGACAGUGCCCAGAGAAAUUAUGCUACUACUGAAAAAUAAUUUUUAGCAGUUGUAUUUGCUUGUGAUAAGUUCAGACCUUAUAUUGUUGAUUCUAAAGUAACUGUUCACACUGAUCAUGCUACUAUUAAAUAUCUUAUGGAAAAGAAAGAUUCUAAACCUAGACUUAUUAGACGGGUUCUUUUGCUACAAGAAUUUGAUUUGCAUAUUUUUGAUAGAAAGGGAGCUGAGAACCCCGUUGCAGACAACUUAUCUAGGUUAGAGAAUGUUCUUGAUGACCCACUACCUAUUGCUAUAGCUUUCCUGAUGAACAAUUAGCUGUCAUAAAUGCUUCUCGUACUGCUCCAUGGUAUGCUGAUUAUACUAAUUACAUUGUUGCUAAAUUUAUACCACCUAGUUGUUGGGGAACAUAGUAAUUUCAAAAAAAUUCCUACGCCCACGCAAGAUCAUGGUGAUGCAUAGCGACAAGAGGGGAGAGUGUUGUCUACGUACCCUCGUAGACCGUAAGCGGAAGCGUUUAUCAACGUGAUUGAUGUAGUCGUACGUCUUCACGAUCCGACCGAUCCAAGUACCGAACGCACGGCACCUCCGAGUUCUGCACACAUUCGGCUCGGUGACGUCCUCGCCUUCUCGAUCCAGCAAGAGGGGUGAAGUAGUAGAUGAGUUCCGGCAGCACGACGACGUGGUGACGGUGUUGGUGAAGAACAAUCUUCGCAGGGCUUCGCCUAAGCACUACGAAAACUAUGACGGAGGAUAAACUAGAGGAGACGGGGUUGCCGGCACACGGCUUGGUGUUUCUUGAUGUGUCUUGGGUGCUAGCCCUGCCCCUCUAUUUAUAUGUUGAGCCAUGGGGUCGAAACUUGGAGCAAAAGCCUCCUCAAAGUCGGUUUUGCCCGAAAGGCAAGAGUCCCACUCGGACUCCAGGACCAAACGCCACAAUCCUUGGCGUCUGGCCCAGACGCCAUGGGCCUUGGCGUCUGGCCCAGGGCCAGACGCCUGGAUCUCCGGCGUUGGCCCCCUGGCCUCUGCAAAACUCCUUUUCCACCAACUUAUAGCCCCGUGGGCCUGACCCCUUGGCCUAACCAUAUCAUCCAAUAUAUGAAUCUUUACCUCCGGACCAUUCCAGAGCUGCUCGUCAUGUCCGUGAUCUUAUCCGGGACUCCGAACAACAUUCGGUCACCAACAUACAUAACUCAUAUAAUACUAUAUCGUCAACGAACGUUAAACGUGUGGACCCUACGGGUUCGAGAACUAUGUAGACAUGACCGAGACACUUCUCUGGUCAAUAACCAACAGCGGAACCUGGAUGCCCAUAUUUGCUCCUACAUAUUCUACGAAGAUCUUUAUCGGUCAGACCGCAUAACAACAUACGUUGUUCCCUUUGUCAUCGGUAUGUCACUUGCCCGAGAUUCGAUCGUAGGUAUCUCAAUACCUAGUUCAAUCUUUUUACCGGCAAGUCUCUUUGCUCGUUCCGUAAUACAUCACCCCGCAACUAACUCAUUAGUUGCAAUGCUUGCAAGGCUUAUAGUGAUGUGCAUUACCGAGUGGGCCCAGAGAUACCUCUCCGACAAUCGGAGUGACAAAUCUUAAUCUCGAAAUACGCCAACCCAACAAGUACCUUUGGAGACACCUGUAGAGCACCUUUAUAAUCAGCCAGUUACGUUGUGACGUUGGGUAGCACACAAAGUGUUCCUCUGGUAAACGGGAGUUGCAUAAUUUCAUAGUCAUAGGAACAUGUAUAAGGCAUGAAGAAAGCAAUAGCAACAUACUAAACGAUCGAGUGCUAAGCUAACAGAAUGGGUCAAGUCAAUCCCAUCAUUCUCCUAAUAAUGUGAUCCCGUUAAUCAAAUGACAACUCAUGUCAAUGGCUAGGAAACUUAACCAUCUUUGAUUAACGAGCUAGUCAAGUAGAGGCAUACUAGUGACACUUUGUUUGUCUAUGUAUUCACACAUGUAUUAUGUUUCCGGUUAAUACAAUUCUAGCAUGAAUAAUAAACAUUUAUCAUGAAAUAAGGAAAUAAAUAAUAACUUUAUUAUUGCCUCUAGGGCAUAUUUCCUUCACUAGUUUCACAUACCAGCAAAAGAUUUUUAUUUUAUGAUUUAAGACAUUACUUUUGGGAUGACCCACACCUUUAUAAGGAAGGAGUAGAUGGUGUUAUUAGACGUUGUGUACCUGAGCAUGAACAGGAACAGCUCCUACGCAAGUGUCACUCCGAGGCAUAUGGAGGACACCAGGCCGGAGAUAGAACUGCACAUAAGGUAUUGCAAUCCGGUUUUUAUUGGCCUACUCUCUUCAAACAUGCCCGUAAGUUUGUCUUGUCUUGCGAUGAAUGUCAAAGAAUUGGUAAUAUUAUUAGACGUCAAGAAAUGCCUAUGAACUAUUCACUUGUUACUGAACCAUUUGAUGUUUGGGGCUUUGAUUAUAUGGGACCGUUUCCUUCCUCUAAUGGGUAUACACAUAUCUUAGUUGCUGUUGAUUACGUUAGCAAGUGGGUAUAAGCUAUUCCAACUAGUAGUGCUGGUCAUAACACCUCUAUUAAGAUGCUUAAAGAAGUUAUUUUUCCGAGGUCUGGAGUCCCUAGAUACUUAAUGACUGAUGGUGGUUCGCAUUUUAUUCAUGGUGCUUUUCGUAAAAUGCUUGCUAAGUAUGAUGUUAAUCAUAGAAUUGCAUCUCCAUACCACCCACAGUCUAGUGGUCAAGUAGAACUGAGUAAUAGAGAGACUAAAUUAAUUUUGCAAAAGACUGUUAAUAGAUCUAGAAAGAAUUGGUCCAAGAAGCUUGAUGAUGCAUUAUGGGCCUAUAGAACUGCAUAUAAAAAUCCUAUGGGUAUAUCUCCGUAUAAAAUGGUUUAUGGAAAAGCAUGUCACUUACCUCUUGAACUAGAACAUAAGGCAUAUUGGGCCAUUAAAGAGCUCAAUUAUGAUUUCAAACUUGCCAGUGAGAAGAGACUAUUUGACAUUAGCUCACUUGAUUAGUGGAGAACCCAUGCCUAUGAGAAUGCCAAACUGUUUAAAGAAAAGGUUAAAAUAUGGCAUCACAAAAGGAUACAGAAGCGUGAGUUUAAUGUAGGUGAUUAUGUUUUGUUAUACAAUUCUCGUUUAAGAUUUUUGCAGGAAAACUCCUCUCUAAAUGGGAAGGUCCUUACAUUAUUGAGGAGGUCUAUUGUUCCGGUGCCAUAAAAAUCAAUAACUUCGAAGGCACAAAUCCGAAGGUGGUGAACGGUCAAAGAAUCAAACAUUAUAUCGCAGGUAAUCCAAUAAAUGUUGAAACCAAUGUUAUUGACACCGUAACGCUGGAGGAGUACAUAAGGGACACUUUCGAGAACGUUUCAGACUCCGAAAAGGAAUAGGUAUGUGGUACGGUAAGUAAACCGACUCCGAAACAAUUCUAAUAGCAAUUUUUCUCCGUUUUGGAAUAUUUAAAAAAAUAGGGAAAUAAGAAGUAGUCCGAAAGGGACACGAGGCAUCCAUAAGGGUGGAGGGCACUCCCUACACCCCUGGGCGCGCAUCCCUGCCUCGUGGGCACCUCGUGUGCCCUCCGGACUCCGUCUUCUUGCACGAUGCUUCUUUUGGUCGGUAAAAAUUCAUUAUGUAAUCUCCCGAAGGUUUUGACCACUGUACCACGCAAAUAUCCUCUGUGUUUGUUUUGAGUUGUUUCUAUAGCAGAUUUAGAGCAAGCUGUCAUCUCAAGACUCCGACGAAGAGAGCUAUGUCUCACAUCGCAUUGCUGACCCAAAGACCUAUGGCCGGGGACCUAUCUCCUUAUGGUCGAACUACGGAUGAUGAGGUGGAUACUCAUUUGAUGAGGAUCGAUGAUUCAAGUUCGGAGGAGGAGGAUGUUCCUCUACCUCAGCCUGGGGAUAUGCACGUGAAAUUCAAGAAGUCUAGUCUCCCUAAGAGAGCUAACCGAUCUAUUCCUUCUCAUUUUCGGCAAAAAAGCAAUGGAGAUUUAUGUGAAAAGAUCUUGAAGCUGGAGUUGGAGGUCGAUGAUUUGAAGGAGGAAAUUGCUCUCCUCAACUACAAUAUGAAAAUGCUGAACGCACAAUUGUCAUCACCACCACCAUAUUCUCCACCACCAAAGGAGAACUGAGUAUCGGGUAUGGGCACUCCCCUUGGCAACUGCCAAGCUUGGGGGAGGUGCCCUGGUAUCGUAUCACCAUCACACUUCUAUCUUUACCGCUUUUCUUAGUUCGAUCCUUUUGGUUAUAUCUUGAUCUAGUAGAAUAAAGUUUAGUAUGAUCCUUAUCUAUGUAAUCAUGUCCGUGAGCUAUAUACAAUAAAGAUUAGUCUUGAGACGAGGGCUUGGUUAUGUUGCUAUGAUCUUGAGGGACUAAAAGAAAAAAGAAAGAAUAAAAAGAAAUAACGAGAUCAUAUUGGUCUUGUGGAGAAUAAUGACUUCACAUAUAAAGAGUAUGAUGAAUAAAAGUUGUUGAGAGUUGACAAACAUAGUUUUGGUCAUCGUUGCAAUUAAUAUGAAGUAAUAAAGAAAGAGAGGUUUUCACAUAUAAAUAUACUAUCUUGGACAUCUUUUAUGAUUGUGAGCACUCAUUAAAAUAUGACAUGCUAAAAAGUUGAUGUUGGACAAGGAAGACAACGUAAUGGUUUAUGUUUUCUUAUAUCCGAAAUAAAGUAUAUUGUCAUGGAUCAUCCAACAUGUUGAGCUUGUCUUUCCCCCUCAUGCUAGCCAAAUUCUUUGCACCAAGUAGAGAUACUACUUGUGCUUCCAAAUAUCCUUAAACCCAGUUUUGCCAUGAGAGUCCACCAUAUCUACCUAUGGAUUGAGUAAGAUCCUUCAAGUAAGUUGUCAUUCUUGCAACCAAUAAAAAUUGCUCUCUAAAUAUAUAUGAUCUAUUAGUGUGGAGAAAAUAAGCUUUAUAAGAGCUUGUGAUAUGGAAGAAAUAAAAGCGGCGGACUGCAUAAUAAAGGUCCCUAUCACAAGUGGCAAUAUAAAGUGACGUUCAUUUGCAUUAAGAUUUUGUGCAUCCAACCAUAAAAGCACAUGACAACCUCUGCUUCCCUCUGCGAAGGGCCUAUCUUUUAUUUUUGUCUUAUACCUUAUACAAGAGUCAUGGUGAUCUUCACCUUUCCUUUUUACACUUUAUCUUUUGGCAAGCACUGUGUGUUGGAAAGAUCCUGAUAUGUAUAUAUCAAAUUGGAUGUGGGUUUCCAUAAAGCAUUAUUGUUGACGUUACCCUUGAGGUAAAAGGUUGGGAGGCAAAACUAUAAGCCCCUAUCUUUCUCUGUGUCCGAUUAAAACUUCAUACCCAUAAGUAUUGCGUGAGUGUUAGCAAUUGUGAAAGACUAAAUGAUAGUUGAGUAUGUGGACUUGCUGAAAAGCUCUUAUAUUGACUCUUUCCGAUGUUAUGAUAAAUUGCAAUUGCUUCAAUGACUGAGAUCAUAGUUUGUUAAUUUUCAAUGAAGUUUUUGAUUCAUACUUUACAUUGUGAAUAGAUUGUUAUUUCAACAUAAGAAAUCAUAUGACAAUAUAUAUAUAUUUUAUCGAUACCUCUAUCUGUAAACAUGUGGACGUACUUUUCGAUAUCGGCUUCCGCUUGAGGACAAGCGAGGUCUAAGCAUGGGGGAGUUGAUACGUCCAUUUUGCAUCAUGCUUUUAUAUCGAUAUUUAUUGUGUUAUGGGCUGUUAUUACACAUUAUGUCACAAUACGUAUGCCUUUUCUCUCUUAUUUUACAAGGUUUACAUGAAGAGUGAGAAUGCCGACAGCUGGAAUUCUGGGCUGGAAAAGGAGCAAAUAUUAGAGAACUAUUCUACACAACUCCAAAAUUCCUGAAACUCCACGAAAGUCAGUUUUGGAAUAUACUAAAAAUAUUGGGCGAAGAAAGCACCAGAGGGGGGCCACCCACCGUCCAUGAGGGUGGAGUGCGCGCCCUAUCCCCCUGGGCGCGCCCCUGCCUUGUGGGCCACCUGGAAGGCCCCCGAGGCCCAUCUUCUGGUAUAAGGUUUGUUUUGCCCUGGAAAAAAUCAGAAGGAAGCUUUCGGGACAAAGCGCCGCCGUCUCGAGGUGGAACCUUGGCGGAACCAAUCUAGGGCUCCGGCGGAGCUAUUCUGCCGGGGAAACAUCCCUCCGGGAGGGGGAAAUCGUCACCAUCGCAAUCACCAUCAAUCCUCUCAUCAGGAGGGGGUCAAUCUCCAUCAACAUCUUCACCAACACCAUCUCCUCUCAGACCCUAGUUCAUCUCCUUGUAUCCGAUCUUUAUCUCAAAACCUCAGAUUUGUACCUGUGGGUUGCUAGUAGUUAUGAUUACUCCUUGUAGUUGAUGCUAGUUGGUUUAUUCGGUGGAAGAUUAUAUGUUCAGAUCCUUUAUGAACAUUAAUAGCCCUCUGAUUAUGAACAUGAAUAUGAUUUGUGAGUAGUUACAUUUGUUCCUGAGGACAUGGGAGAAGUCUUGUUAUAAGUAGUCAUGUGAAUUUGGUAUUCGUUCGAUAUUUUGAUGAGAUGCAUGUUGUCUUUCCUCUGCUGGUGUUAUGUGAACGUCAACUACAUGACACUUCACCAUUAUUUGGGCCUAGGGGAAGGCAUUGGGAAGUAAUAAGUAGAUGAUGGGUUGUUAGAGUGACAGAAGCUUAAACCCUAGUUUAUGCGUUGCUUCGUAAGGGGAUGAUUUGGAUCCAUAUGUUUCAUGCUAUGGUUAGGUUUACCUUAAUUCUUCUUUCCUAGUUGCGGAUGCUUGCGAGAGGGGUUAAUCAUAAUUGGGAUGCUUGUACAAGGAAGGGCAGUUCCCAAGCACCGGUCCACCCACAUAUCAAAUUAUCAAAGUAAAAAACACGAAUCAUAUGAGCAUGAUGAAAACUAGCUUGACGAUAAUUCCCAUGUGUCCUCGGGACUGCUUUUCCUUGUAUAAGAGUUUGUCCAGGCUUGUCCUUUGCUACAAAAAGGAUUGGUCUACCUUGCUGCACCUUGUUUACUUUUGUUACUUGUUACCCGUUACGAAUUACCUCAUCACAAAACUAUCUGUUACCGAUAAUUUCAGUGCUUGUAGAGAAUACCUUACUGAAAACUGCUUGCCAUUUCUUUCUGCUCCUCGUUGGGUUUGACACUCUUACUUAUCGAAAGGCCUACGAUACAUCCCCUAUACUUGUGGGCCAUUAGCAGGCGCAUGAUGGUAUGAAGCUCUCCAAAAUUAUUUUGGAACAGAGUCCUGAUAGGAUAAUUUGCUUUUUGGUAUGAAGUUCAUUAAGAGCCUUUCGAAUAUCACUAUUUGGAUGGCCUUUGCUGAACUUCGUACAAAAAGGUGAAUUAUCCUAUCAGGACUCCGUUCCAAAACAAUUUUGGAGAGCUUCAUACUAUCAUGCGCCUGUUACUUCCGGCCAAUUAUGAAACCAUGGAUUUCUUCAAUACUUUGACACAAGAGAACGUGCACAUAUAGAAUGGUAGAUGAGAUCAGGAAAAAUAUGGAUCAACUUAAUUAUGCACAUCCAUAAUGGGGGCAUUCUUGAUAAAUCUCUUAUAAAUCUCGACAGAGUUUGUCGGGUAGGGGUGGGAGGGGGUAGGGGACCAACAUCAUUUUUUUUCUAGGGUUUGGGUGUCCUCGGGAGUUGGUCGAGCGNNNNNNNNNNNNNNNNNNNNNNNNNNNNNNNNNNNNNNNNNNNNNNNNNNNNNNNNNNNNNNNNNNNNNNNNNNNNNNNNNNNNNNNNNNNNNNNNNNNNNNNNNNNNNNNNNNNNNNNNNNNNNNNNNNNNNNNNNNNNNNNNNNNNNNNNNNNNNNNNNNNNNNNNNNNNNNNNNNNNNNNNNNNNNNNNNNNNNNNNNNNNNNNNNNNNNNNNNNNNNNNNNCCCCCCCCUCAUGUCGAAGUUAUCAGGGAGGGGGUAUAUCGACAACGACAUACCCGAGAAAAAAUAAGAAGAUGAAGAAGAAGAAAAAAAAGAGGACAAGAAGAAAGGACUAGAGGAGAAGAUCAAAGAAAAAAAAGAAGAAAAAAAGGAGGAGAAGAAGAAGGAAUAGAGGAGAAGAAGAAAAAAUAGAAUAAUAGUGAUGUAUAUGUAUAUGUAUCAGUACGCGAAGUUGCAGCUAUGGUGAACUUUUAAUCUAAAUAAAACCCAAAGUCUAAACGACGCCCUAAGGGCUGUAUAUAUGGAGGAAGAGGGGGGAAUUUCGUGGCCCUUGGAGGAGGGGUCCGAAACCAACCCUAAUUCUUGUUUCCCCACACAUACGGACUCUAAAAACAGCCUAUAAUCAAGUAUUUCGAAAUUACAUGGGUCUGGCCCAAUAAUAAGGUGACACAACACCUAUAAUAGUCUCUAGACGAAAUUUAUGAAGUGGCAUCUUGUAUAUUUCGUCCAAGGCUUCACGCACUCAUUAUGGUGGCUUCAAAGUCCUGAAAUCAUCACUUGUAACUCCGUUUUUGUUCCCCUUGCGCAUGCCAUCAUCUCCAUGCUUGAUCUUGCUCCAAUGAUCAUCCUUCUUGUCCAAGCUAGGCCCUUCAUUUGUAAGCAAGACAAAUGUAUCCAAUUUAGGCAGCAUCAUAUUCUUGUGAACAUUAGAAUCAUUACCAAGAAACGAAAGUACCUGAAAUUUUAAUUGGCGUGCGCAAGCUCUAGUAAUUGGUCCUGUAUAUGUAUCAGUAGGCGCUGUGGGUGUAACUUUGUUAGUGAUGUCCUCGUCAUCCUCGCCUUCUUGAAUUGAAGUCGUCCUCGACGGAAGCUCAUCUUCCUCACCCAAGUAUGGCUUCAAAUCUGCAAUGUUAAAAGUGGGACUAACCCAAAAUUUGCAGGAAACUCAAGUUUAUAUGCAUUAUCAUUUAUUUUUUCUAACACCUUAAAAGGACCAUCAACACGUGGCAUUAGCUUUGACUUUUGCCAAUUAGGAAACAUAUCCUUACGCAAAUGUAACCCAACAAGAUCUCCAGGUGCAAAGACAACACAUUUUCUACCCUUAUCUCCAACAUGUUUAUAUUUAGCAUUCAUGCGCUCAAUAUUUUCCUUAGUUAACUCAUGCAUCUUUAAGAUCAAUUCAGCACAUUGUUUAGCAUCAAAAUUAACCUUCUCGAAAGAUGGAAGAGGCAACCAAUCAAUAGGUGCAGGAGGUAGGAAACCAUACACAAUUUCAAAAGGGUACAUCUUAGUAGUAGAAUGCAGUGACCGAUUAUAAGCAAAUUCAAUAUGAGGCAAACAUUCUUCCCACAUUUUCUUGUUAUUCUUCAAAACAGCCCUAAGCAUGGUAGACAAUGUUCUAUUGACUACUUCAGUUUGUCCAUCAGUUUGGGGAUGACAUGUAAUACUAAAAAGCAGUUUAGUCCCCAACUUAGCCCAUAAACAUCUCCAAGAGUGGCUAAGUAAUUUAGUAUAACGAUCUGAAACAAUAGUAUUUGGCACACCAUGCAAGCGAAUAAUUUCACGAAAGAACAAAUCAACAACAUUAACAGGAUCAUCGCUUUUAUGACAUGGUAUAAAGUGUGCCAUGUUCGAGAACCUAUCCACGAUAACAAAUAUGCUAUCCCUCCCCUUCUUUCUUCGAGGUAAACCUAAAACAAAGUCCAUAGAUAUAUCCUCCCAAGGAACACUAGGUACAGGUAAAGGCAUAUAUAAACCAUGAGGAUUGAGUCGUGACUUAGCUUUUUGACAUGUAGUGCAGCGAGCAACAAAAUGCUCAACAUCCUGUCUCAUCUUUGGCCAAAAGAAAUGUGUAGCAAGUAUAUCCUCCGUCUUCUUCACACCAAAGUGUCCCAUUAGUCCUCCUCCAUGCGCCUCCUGCAACAACAAAAGACGAACGGAACUAGCUGGAAUGCAUAGCUUGUUAGCACGAAACAGAAAUCCAUCGUUAACGACGAACUUGUUCCAAGUUCUCCCUUCCUUACAAUUCUACAAUACAUCGUUAAAUUCAGUAUCAUGCACAUAUUGAUCUUUGAUGGUCUCCAAACCAAUUAUUUUAAAGUCAAGUUGUGAAAGCAUAGUAUAACGACGAGACAAUGCAUCAACAAUAACAUUUUCUUUACCCUUCUUAUGUUUAAUGACAUAAGGGAAAGUCUCAAUGAAUUCAACCCAUUUAGCAUGUGUACGGUUCAGUUUUGCUUGACUUUUAAUGUAUUUCAAAGAUUCAUGAUCAGAAUGUAUAACAAAUUCCUUGGGCCAUAAAUAAUGUUGCCAUGUUUCUAAGGUCCGAACAAGGGCAUAUAAUUCUUUAUCAUAAGUAGAAUAGUUCAGACUAGGCCCACUCAAUUUUUCAGAAAAGUAUGCAACAGGUUUGCAUCUUGUAAUAACACACCUCCUAAUCCAAUUCCACUAGCAUCACGUUCAAGCUCAAACGUCUAAUUAAAAUCAGGAAGUUGGAGUAAAGGAGCAUGUGUCAACUUAUCUUUCAACACCAUGAAGGCUUCUUCCUGUGCGGUAUCCCAAACAAAAGGCACAUCCUUCUUUGUAAGCUCAUUGAGAAGUGCAGCAAUGGUGUUAAAUUCUCUCACAAAACGCCUAUAGAAUCCAGCGAGACCAAGAAAACUCCUCACUUGUGUGACCGUUUUGGGCUGCAGCCAACUCUCAAUAGGUUCAAUAUUUUCUUUAUCAACUUCAAUUCCCUGUGGAGUAACAACAUAGACAAGAAAGGAUACGUGGUCGGUGCAAAAGGUGCACUUCCCAAGGUUACCAAACAAACGUGCAUCACGUAGAGCAAUAAAAAUAGCACGUAAAUGUUCCAAAUGUUCCUCCAAAGAUCUGCUAUAAAUCAGUAUAUCGUCAAAAUAGACUACCACAAAUAGUCCAAUGAAUGCACAUAAAACUUCGUUCAUUAAUCUCAUGAAAGUACUAGGUGAAUUAGUUAACCCAAAAGGCAUGACUAACCACUCAUAUAAUCCAAACUUAGUUUUAAAUGUUGUUUUCCAUUCAUCUCCCAAUUUCAUACGAAUUUGAUCGUAUCCACUACGCAAAUCAACUUUGGAGAAUAUUGUGGAGCCACGCAAUUCAUCAGGCAUGUCAUCUAGCCUAGGAAUAGGAUAACGAUAACGUAUAGUGAUAUUAUAAAUGCCUCUACAGUCAACGCACAUACGCGAUGUACCAUCCUUUUUUGGCACUAAAAUGACAGGAACAGCACAAGGACUAAAGGAUUCACGUAUAUAACCUUUGUCGAGAAGCUCCUGUUCUUGAGUAUAAUCUCCUUCGUCUCCUCUGGAUUGGUACGGUAUGGUGCACGGUUGGGUAAUGAUGCACCGGGAAUUAAGUCAAUCUGAUGCUCACUCCCUCGAAUGGUUGGUAAUCCCGGUGGCACGUCUUGUGGAAAGACAUCAGCGAACUCCUGCAAAAUGUUAGUGACAGCAGGAGGCAAAGAGGAAGGCACGUCCUCGAAUGAAAAUAAUGCCUCUUUGCACACAAAAGCAUAGCAAACAGAUUUGCUGAAAUCUAGCUCAUCAAUAUCAGACUUGGUGGCAAGUAAACAUGCACUUUUCAAUUUAAUUUCAGAAGCAACACUAGAUGGUUUAUUAUUAGGCUUCAUUUGUUGCUCAAAUUCUUUUGCCACAAUCUGAUUUUCACUCUUAUUUUUCUCAUGUUUUGCUUUAUUAGCUCUAUUAAUAUCAUCUUUCAAAAUGGAAUCAAGAGUAAUAGGAAGCAAAGUAAUAUUUUUAUCCUUGUGAACAAGAGUAUACUGAUUGUUUCUACCAUGGUGUACAAUUUUUUUAUCAAAUUACCACGGUCUACCAAGUAAUAAGGAACAUGUUUUCAUAGGUACCACAUCACAAUCAACAUAAUCAACAUAUGUAGUGAUACUAAAAUGCACACGAAUAAUACGUGUUACCUAAACCUUGCCGCUGUUGUUGAACCAUUGGAUGUACUAAGGAUGUGGACGUGGUCUUGUGGUGAGAGAUAGCUUCUCCACCAUCUCCAUGCUAGCCAAGUUGUUGCAGCUCCCUCCAUCUAUGAUGACGCGAACAGAACGUUCCUUCACAACUCCCUUUGUAUGGAACAAAUUAUGCCUCUGAUUUUGCUCAGCUUGUGUGACCUGCACACUCAAAACACGUUGAGCAAAUAAACAUUCAUACUUGUCAGCGUCUUCAGGAGGCAUGUAUUGCGUCUCAUGAUCAGAAUCAUCUCCACCGUGUUCUUCACGUGUAAUAAGAGCCAAAGUCUCCUCAUCAUAGACACUAGCGGACUCAUAACCACCAUCCUCAGUAGCAAUCAUCACACGCUGAGAUUUGCAUUCCCUCGCAUAAUGACCUCUUCCCUUACAACGACGACAAAUAAUAUCACUUGUGUGCCCUGUUGAUGCCAUGGAAGAAGAAGAGCUCUGUACAGGCCUGACAGGUGUGCUCUUGGUAGAUAGUGUGGUUGUACCUGCUUUCUUGUAUCAGGACUGGAGGUGGCAGCUGAUGGAGGUGCCGAUGCAGUAGAAUGUGUGGAAGUAGAGGAUGCACGCGGUGUCCAUGAGGAAGGUCGACCUGCAGAAAAGUUAGUUCAUGCCAAUGCCUGUCGAUCCUGCACUUCACGUUCAGCUUUACAACCAAGAUGGAAUAAACGAGUGAUAUUAUUAUACUCCUUAUACUCUAGAAUGGUCUGAGUCUCUCUAUUUAAUCCACCCAUAAAACGUGCAAGCAUAGCUUCAUUAUCAUCAACAAUACCACAUCUAAUCAUGCCAGUUUGUAAUUCUGAUAAUAUUCCUCUACAGAUUUUUUUCCUUGUCUUAAACGCUUCAAUUUUUGAAGUAAUUCACGUUGAUAAUAUCGUGGAACCAAACGAGUACGCAUAGCAGUUUUCAAAGCAGCCCAAGUAGUUGGAAUAUUAUUCGAAUAUAAUCUACGAUGUUCAGACCACCACACACAAGCAAAACUAGUGAAAGCACAAAGUGCAGCAGCAACACGUCUCUCCUCGGGAUAUUCUAAACAUGUAAAACGUUGUUCGGUUUCUAACUCCCAAGUAAGAUAUAUAUCAGGAACGUAUCUACCCUCAAAUGGUGGAAUAUUCAAUUUUAGUUUAGGGAGAUGGUCAUGAUCUCGUACCUGAGGGGGAGCCCUACCAUUGCAAUUAUUUGCAUGUGGACGACCUAGUUGUUGUGGUGCUGGUGGUUGCACGUAGUUCUGAUUUUGAUCAACCUCAUCCUUGUAAUCUCCCGCAUAAUCCUCCUCCUCCUCAUUAGCAGCAGGAGCCACAGAGGUAUCAACAGCAGCACCAACAGUUUGGCCAGGCUCAAGAGGGACACGACUCGCUCGGUAGAGGGCUGUUUUGCGACGUGGAGGUAGUCGUCGUCGUCGUUGUUGUUGUUGUUGUUGUUGCUGUUGUUGUUGCAGAGGUGAGCCUAGGACACUAAUAAAAUCACUGCGCAUCACGUAAACAAGGGAGGAGCACACUCUGAUUUUUUUUCACUGUUUGUUUGCACUUUUUUCCUCUUUUUUUCCACAACAAUUUUUUUUCGAAAAAGUCUACAAAUGGUCUAAAAACUGCCUAGCCAGAAUUUUCUAGACUUAGUUUUUUUUAAACUGGAACUAUUUUUCAUGUACGGGUAGCACGAUAGUUCGGGAGUCAUACUCUGUCACGACUCGGAGUAUGGCGUGAUUUGGAAAUCCAAAACAGAGUAACAAAAUACUGGACUCGGACUAGGACUAGUGGCGGAGAUGAAUCUGGUGGAACUCAGACUGGUGGUGGAGAUGAAUCUGGUGGAACUCGGACUGGUGGCGGAUAUGUUGCAGAUGGACUCAGAUUGGCGUGAUGGCGGCGGCUAUGUGGUGGCGUAUAUUGACUCGGAUUGGCAGUGAAUAUGUGGUGGUGGUAUAUGGCAGCGGCGAUGAAGUUGGUGCGGUGGUAUAUGGCAGCAGCGAUGAUCAUGAUGCGGUGGUGAUAUAUGGCAGCGGCGACGUGACAACCUGUGAACAGAACUUGAAACUCUAAAGGACUAGACGCUAAGACCAGCUACUUGACACGACGAUGCAACCGCAAAUUCAACAAAGCAAAUACAGAAAAGAUUAUGCAAAGGCUCAAAUUGGUUCGGAUAGGAUGAACUAACCCUAAAUUUUUUUUGGCUUUUCGUGGACUAUAGGUAUGAAGAAGAACAGACUCGAUCUAAACUACGAAAAACUGUAAAAUCUCACCGAGCAACCUGUAAAUCUGAUACCACUUGAUAGAGGCAAAGGUGUCCCGUCUUUCGAUGAGAUGGUGGCUAUCGUUUUGGAGGAAGUUGACUUUGACGAUUUGACUACGAACGUGCGAGGACGUCGCGCCUUAGCAAUCGAUAAACCAACUCCGAGAGGUUAUUGACCACGCCGGAGCACGAUCAACCUGACCACGAAGGUUUGUUUCCUGUAGGCAAAGGAAGAACAAGCAAGAAUCUAAGAUUGCAAUCUGGAUAUUGUGAAUAUAAGAGGAAAGCUUUAUUGAUCAAGGUGGGGUUCUGUGACGUCUUGGUCUGGUCGUUGAACACAAACAAAGUACGCAAAGUUGCAGCUAUGGCGAACUUUUAAUCUAAACAAAACCCAAAGUCUAAACAACGCCCUAAGGGCUGUAUAUAUGGAGGAAGAGGGGGGAAUUUCGUGGCCCUUGGAGGAGGGGUCCGAAACCAACCCUAACUCUUGUUGCCAUAUAUUACUCUAUUUUUUCUUCUUCUCCUCUAUUCCUUCUUCUUCUCCUCUUUAUUUCAUCUUUUUCCUCUUCUUAUUUUUUUCUCCUCUUCUUCUCCUUCUUCUUCGCCUUCUUCCUCUUCUUCUUUUUCCUUUUUCCUCUAAACUAAAAUCUACUAACCUAAAAUGCACUAACAGUACAACUAACCUAAAAUGCACUAAAUCGACUAACAAAAAAUUGAUAUCUACUAACAACCUAAAUAAAAAAUUAAUACAUAUAUGAACAAAAAAAUGCUAUGAACAUUAUAUCCAUACAUACAUAGCCACAUCCAUUCAUCAUAUAGCUACCACAUACAUACAUACAUACAUUCAUACAUUAUAUAUAUAUGAAAAAAAGCCAUGAACAAAACGAGCAACAAAACGCUCAACAUCCCAUCUCAUCUUUGGCCAAAAGAAAUCUGUAGCAAAUAUAUCCUCCGUCUUCUUCACGCCAAAGUGUCCCAUUAAUCCUCCUCCAUGCGCCUCCUGCAAUAACAAAAGACGAACGGAACUAGCUGGAAUGCAUAGUUUGUUAGCACGAAACACAAAUUCAUCAUUAACGACGAACUUGUUCCAAGAUCUCCCUUCCUUACAAUUCUGCAAUACAUCGUUAAAUUCAGCAUCAUGCACAUAUUGAUCUUUGAUGGUCUCCAAACCAAAUAUUUUAAAGUCAAGUUGUGAAAGCAUAGUAUAACAACGAGACAAUGCAUCAGCAAUAACAUUUUCAUUACCCUUCUUGUGUUUAAUGACAUAAGGGAAAGUCUCAAUGAAUUCAACCCAUUUAGCAUGUCUACGGUUCAGUUUUGCUUGACUUUUAAUGUGUUUCAAAGAUUCAUGAUCAGAAUGUAUAACAAAUUCCUUGGGCCAUAAAUAAUGCGGCCAUGUUUCUAAGGUCCGAACAAGGGCAUAUAAUUCUUUAUCAUAAGUAGAAUAGUUCAGACUAGGCCCACUCAAUUUUUCAGAAAAGUAUGCAACAGGUUUGCCAUCUUGUAAUAACACACCUCCUAAUCCAAUUCCACUAGGAUCACAUUCAAGCUCAAAAGUCUUAUUAAAAUCAGGGAGUUGGAGUAAAGGAGCAUGUGUCAACUUAUCUUUCAACACCGUGAAGGCUUCUUCCUGUGCGGUACCCCAAACAAAAGGCACAUCCUUCUUUGUAAGCUCAUUGAGAGGUGCAGCAAUGGUGCUAAAAUCUCUCACAAAACGCCUAUAGAAUCCAGCGAGGCCAAGAAAACUCCUCACUUGUGUGACCGUUUUGGGCUGCGGCCAACUCUCAAUAGCUUCAACCUUUACUUUAUCAAUUUCAAUUCCCUGUGGAGUAACAACAUAGCCAAGAAAGGAUAUGCGGUCGGUGCAAAAGGUGCACUUCUCAAGGUUACCAAACAAACGUGCAUCACGUAGUGCAAUAAAAACAGCACGUAAAUGUUCUAAAUGUUCCUCCAAAGAUCUUCUAUAAAUCAGUAUAUCGUCAAAAUAGACUAUCAGAAAUCGUCCAAUGAAAGCACGUAAAACUUCGUUCAUUAAUCUCAUGAAAUUACUAGGUGCAUUAGUUAACCCAAAAGGCAUGACUAACCACUCAUAUAAUCCAAACUUAGUUUUAAAUGUUGUUUUCCAUUCAUCUCCCAAUUUUGUACGAACUUGAUGGUAUCCACUAUGCAAAUCAACUUUGGAGAAUAUUGUGGAGCCACUCAAUUCAUCAAGAAUAUCAUCUAGCCUAGGAAUAGGACGACGAUAACGAAUAGUAAUGUUAUUAAUGCCUCUAGCAUUCGAAUUCAACUAUAAUACAUCUUUAAUUAGGUUCCCAUCAAAAUUUAUACAUUAUAUCAAAAAUAUGAUUUUUUUUACCAAAUAUCUAGGAGCAACACUCGGCAAAUGCAAACAUUGCAAACUUUCAAUGAAUUUUGUGGAGUGUCUACCUGACGAGAAGGGGCACAUGGUGAUAUGUUUGCAGACUGUUGGGAUGCUCUAUACCGAGUGGUUUCCUUCUCACUCGGUCUAGGGCUCUAGAUUGACCAAGUGUCCAACAUAUUACAUUUUUCUAGGGCAUUUUCGCGGCUACUGCAGCCUUGCCACCGCCUUUCUUUGACGGUGUGGCGGCCCGGAACAAGUUUUUUUUGUCCCCAACCUCUCUCAUUGCGUGGGCAGUGGCGGAGAGGUUUAUCUCGACGGCGGCGAGCCGAGGACAAUGGCCGACGGGGUCACAGAGUGGACUUCCGCUUCCAUUCUGGAGCGAAUCGAGGGCAGCAGUGGCGGCGACGGUGAGGUUGGGUGGUGGUGGCGGGAACAGCUGGCGCCUCAGGCGAGAGAGAGAUGGAGCAACCAAAAUUUGUUCUUAAAAGUGGCGCCGAUCAAGUAUAUUUGAGAGAGUUGAGCCAUUUUUUAUGGAUAAGUCCUUGUAAUUUUACUCCUCGAACUUGUUGGGAGUUCGGCUUGGUGCAGUUAACUAUUUAGUUUGCUUCUCUAAAGCUUCUAUAUAAGAAUUUGACAAGUGUAGACUUAUUCAUUUGUUCGGCACACCACCGGGCUUGUCGCGACUCAACCUGGUCGCAUGCAAACCAACCCAUCAGUAGUACCACAUGAUAGAAUCAAGUAGUAAUCAUAGAAAUGAAGCCAUUGAUUGAGAAAAGGACAUAGCUUGUUGAUGCUUCAAAGUAACUCUUCGUCCCCCCGCGUCGCCUCCCCAAGUUUGGCGAUAGGGGGCUCCUCUCCCAUCCACCCAGCGCCCCUCCCCCUAACACCCCUCCCGCUGCCGGCAGCCGACGCCCUGGGCCAUGCCCGCGUGGUGCAGGUGGCGGCGGACUCGUCUUUCCCCACGUGCGGCGCCCCGGCUUGGGUGGUGGCAGCUGAUGGCAGUGCUCUUCGGUCCGCGGUGGCUCUGGUGGCGGCGACUGCCCCGGGCGGCGAUGCUCCGGGUAGUCAGUUGGUGGCGCUCCUGCGACGGCUCCGGGGAGCUGCUUGUGUGGGGGGUUGUGGAGACGGCGGCGCGCCUGCUGCACCCUGUGACGGGAGCUUCAUGAGUCCCUUUCGGGCUCGACCGGGCCUAUCGGGCCUAGUGUGCUCCUAUUGCUGCGUCUGGUUGGUGACCACCGAGGGCGGUGGAGGUUGUCCCCUCCCGCUAGGUUGUUGAUGAUGCCGCUCCUCAUUCCCGGCUGCUCCCUCUCGGCUUUGUCUCUCUCGCUUUGUUGACCAUGGCGAGGCAGCGGUGAUGAUGGCAAGAUCGUGGCGGCGCAUGUUGGUGGGUACCUAGAUUGGUGGGACACAACAGACCGUUCGGGGUUGUGGGUGUUUGGCGGACGGGAUAAAUCCUUGUCGGCUUGCCGGCACCUACAUGGUGAUGCCCGUGGGCGCCACCAUUCCUCCUAAAGGGCAUCGGGUAUUCCCCUUCCCCACGCCCCUCGGCGUACCGGGGGAAACCGUAGCUCCAGUCCGGGCAGCAGCGUCGUCGUCAUCUCGUCCCUUUGUGAAGGCGUUUCUUGGUAUGCGGAGGUUCGAGGUGCUUGGAGUGAGGUGGAAACUCUCAGGUGGGCGCGGCGGUUGCGGGUCAUCAUCGCUUUCGUCGAUCUGACGCUGUUGACAUUAGUUUCUCUCUUCUUUCUCAUUUUGUUUCUUUUAAACGUGCUUGUGCUGUUUGCCCCAGCAUUGGACUCAUUGUUGUGUCUGGUGGUUGCUAUAUCUAUAUAACGGGGCGCAAGCCUAUUUCGUCAUAGAUUCAAUCAGAUCGAUCGAUUCAGUCUAGUCGAGAAGAGCACAUACGGCACCAUGUUAUUGUCGUUGGAUUGCUUUGUACUACCGAAAAAUAUGUGAUACUGAUCCCAGAUUGCUUGGAUUUUGUUCUGAACAUUAAGCGAGGUGUUGGAUAUAUACUCCCUCCAUCCAGAAAUACGUGUCGCAGGAAUGGAUGUAUUUAGACAUAUUUUAGUUCUAGAUACAUCCAUCCAUUUCUCCAACAAGUAUUUUUGGAUAGAGGGAGUAAUUGAUAUGAAUUUGCACGAUGCAUUGCCAUUUACAUUUUUCGGCCGGCCCUGUAUAACACUUUUCCCUGGUUUUGGGCACAUGCCCAAAAUAGGCAUUCGUCUAGCUUCUUGGAAAUUUGCGGAGGCACGCAUCUACCAGCCGUGCAAACGUCUCGAUUGCCUCGCGAUCUGCAAAGUCGUUGGAUCCUGCACAAGGGCUAAACAAGUUUUUAGUUCUUGUUUCUGAAACUUACGAUUUUAUCACUCUCGUAGUUUCUGAAACUUAUGAUGUUGUUGGUCGCUCAUACUAAGUUUCAAAGCUGAUAGUGAAAACUUAUGAUUUUAUCAGUCGCAGGUUCUGAAACCUAUAGUUUUGUCAGUUGCUCCUACUAAGUUUCAAAAGUUAAAACUUAACGAAAAUUUAAAAUUCAUCAAAAUGUAAAAUGAAUCUUGUUUGAAAGCCCUCAUCACCAGGAACAUGAAUAUGCAAACGAAACUUAAUUUAGAAUUUUGAUACAAAAGAUAUAGAAGAUAAUCAAAAGCUAAAAGGAAAAGAGGGUUGGUUGCGUGCCCCGCCCCUUCGUGCUACAAAUCCUUUCCCUGUAGCUUCUCUGAUACUGUAGAAUUUGAUAUGCUCAAUCUCUCUCUCACACACACGCGUCAUAUCCGACAAAUUUGAUACAGUGGUAUUCUGACGGCAAUGUCAUGUUUUGCACAUGAUCGUCUCAAUAGCUAUGGUAGAUGAACAGUCUGUCUCUAACAUCACAAGCAAAUGUCUAGUCUCUUUCCCUCUCAUUUUCAUGGCUAUAGCUAUGGCAGGCGAGCAGUCCAUCUCUAACAUCACCCACAAGUCAGAAGCAAAAAGGCGUUUUGCUUCUUGGACUAAGCUGGUGUUUUUUGUUUGUUUUGAGAAUUGGACUAAGCUGGCGUGCUCAUCUUAUCAUUUUCAAGGCCAUUAAUGGCCUAUUCGACAGCCCAGGAAUAUGAGGAAUAGUCCUUGAUUAGAUUUUCUUGUUAUCUCUCUGUAUGAAGUUUUCCCCUUCCAAAUGGCGCUGUAUUCUUCCCAGAAAACAAAUUACUAAUUAUAAGUCCAGAAAAGAUUUUUAGGUCGCUGAUUUGACCAUUGAAAAAUAUGCAAUAUGUCACAAAAGUUAUACGUUUAGAAACUAGAUUUGACAAUGAAUCUAAUUAUAUAUUUUUAUACAAUAAAAUUAACGUCUUUCUAAUUAAAAUAAAGACCUAAAAACCAUGCCCAACUUGUAAAUCCAAGCGGAGAAAGUACCGCUGCAUGCUGAUGUAAAAAAUGUUGCCCAAUUGUCCUUGAGCUAUGGUUUAAUUCGGCCGGCCAAAUUAGCUGGACCAAGUGUACAUAGUUUAAUCCCAUCAAAUCAAAUGAUCGUCUUUUCCUUGACCUAUGGUUUCCUCCCACAUGUAUUGAUUUGGUGAAACUUCGUCCACCCGAUCGAUCGCACUAGAAAACAAACCAGUAGGAGACAUGACCAAACACGAUUGGGACGCCAUAGGACACGAAGUCCUUUUACCUAUACAAACUUGUAGGCCUCCUUGGUUAGUAGGAAUCUUGUAGGAAUUUAUAGGAUAGGAUUUUUAAAGGAAAAAUUUCUAUGUAGUCCUUUGGUUUGUUUGAAUGGAUUUCUAUUCCUAUGUAGGAUAGAAUUCAAUCCUUCACAUUUCAACGAAAACAAUAUUAAACUAGACGCUACUGAAAAUUUUCUAUCCUAUGCAUCAAAUGACAUCUCUUUCUCUAUAAGAAUUGAGAUGCAUGCGAUCUCACUUUCUAUGAAAUUUCUAUUCCUAUAAUAUUCCUAUCCUAUGAACCAAAGGAGGCCCACUUAGCCUAAACUAGUACCAUACGGACUCUAACCAGGACCUACACGGUACCAAUCCAAACUACAGCUAGCUUACAAUUUUUUUAACACCGACUCUCAAAACACUCUCAAACAUUCAGACAUAGUUAUCCGGACGAAGUUUAUCAUCUAAUGUGGUACCCAUCAUUCCGUGAAGGCGCUCGGUUGUCUGAAAUCCAGCAAAACGGACACAAACCAGGGGGUGUCUUUAUGGGCGUCAGCGAGGACCCGACCUUGCCGGCUCGCCAACACGUCAAGGCGGCACCGGCGCAAAAUUACGAGUCAGUAUCCCCCAUGUAGUUGUGGCAUGCAAAUCGGACGCCGCGUGAUGGACGAGUCGGCAUCGCCUCCUCACUUUGUCUGUCAUGGCAAAUCCGUGAGGGAAGAGCUAGCCCCAUUGAUCGUAAGGCGCGCGGGGGCCUCCUGCACGACCUCGGUGGCUGCAGCAACAACGGUUCCUCGUCGUCGUGGAGCAUCUUCACAGCGGACGAGAGGGCGCCCGGGAUGGUGGCGCAACCUGGCUCAUCGUUCGCGAUGAAUGAAGUGGUGUUGGCCUGGGUCAACGUUGAGGCUUGGCCCGCAAUCGGUUGGUGAGCACCGCGGACACGUCCGCAUGGUGGUUGUGCUGCCUGGACAAGGAGUUCACCAAGCUCGGCAAGGAGUGGUCACUCGGCAACACUUUCGCAUCCUCUAGCAGGGGCAAGGCCACGACACCCCGACCAGGGUCGGCAUCGGCCAACGUGGCCCUCUAUAUGACACAAGAGGAAUUUGGAGCGGAUCCUCCGCUAGCGCCAGGCGGUCGCUGAGCAGGGCGGCUACACCCUUCCGUCGCUAGAAGGACGAGUCCGACGACGACGACACAGACGGCGAUGGAGGUGCCGCCGGUCAGCCUGGCCAAUCGUACGGGGUCAUCAUCCGCAACAAGUUAGUUUAGUCUUUUUAGGUUUUAUAGUUGAAGGAACCAAAUAACGUCUCAUUUAUGUAAAUUAUCGGUAAACUUACGUCUUUUUGAAUGAAUUCCAUCUUGUUUGCAUGAUUUACAUUCAAAUUUGUUUGAAUUGUAGGCGGACGUUUACUGAUGUCGUUGGAUGGCCGGCUCCCGUAUCAGCACGGACUCGUCCAAACGUGUCCCUGUUUUAAGGGAUAGCGUUGGAGAUGCUCUUACAGCAUGUAGUCAAGCGAACCACAACGCCUACAUGUACUAGCUACUAGGACUGCCGGAAUCCUAACACGGAGGACAAAUUGCACCUAGACUAAUUUCGCAUCUAACUCAAACUAAGCUUAUCAAGAUUAUUUCUAACAUGGUUCACAUUUGGAAAUUAUAUUUGUUCCAACUGGUUUUUUUGUUCUAUUGCAAAAUUUUGAUACUAAAAUCGAGCCACCCUCAUUUGCGAACCACCCUUCUGCCCGGAGCUCAAUGCCUCCUAGAGUUUAGGAUACUAUCAUUUUCAUCGAGCCCCACUUCCCUGAACUUGCCGCCACCCACCCGUCUGCCCUGAGCCCAACGUCAUCCUCCGCCCACUAGGUACUCAUCUGAGGUAGCCGGUGAGGGAGUCCUGAAUUAGGGGGUCCUCGGACAGCCGGACUAUAUCCUUUGGCCGGACUGUUGGACUAUGAAGAUACAAGAUUGAAGACUCCGUCCCGUGUUCGGAUGGGACUCUCCUUGGCAUGGAAGGCAAGCUUGGCAAUACGGAUAUGAAGAUCUCCUCCCUUGUAACCGAUUCUGUGUAACCCUAGCCCCCUCCGGUGUCUAUAUAAACCGGAGGGUUUAGUCCGCAGGACAAGGACAACAAUCAUACCAUAGGCUAGCUUCUAGGGUUUAGGCUCUACAAUCUCGUGGUAGAUCAACUCUUGUAAUACUCAUAUCAUCAAGAUCAAUAAAGCAGGAAGUAGGGUAUUACCUCCAUCGAGAGGGCCCGAACCUGGGUAAACAUCGUGUCCCCCGCCUCCUGUUACCAUCCGCCUUAGACGCACAGUUCGGGACCCCCUACCCGAGAUCCGCCGGUUUUGACACCGACAUUGGUGCUUUCAUUGAGAGUUCCACUGUGCCAUCACGGUAAGGCUUCAUGGCUCCUUCGAUCAUCGGCGACGAUGCGAUCCAGGGCGAGGUUUUCCUCCCCGGACAGAUCUUCGUAUUCGGCGGCUUCGUACUGCGGCCCAACUCGCAUGGCCAUCUGGAGCAGAUCGAAAGCUACGCCCUGGCCAUUAGGUCAGGUUUGGAAGCUUAAACUACACUGCCGACAUCCGCGGAGACUUGAUCUUCGACGGAUUCGAGCCGAUGACAGGUGCGUCGCACGGUCACGACAAGCAUGACUUAACUCUGCCGCCGGACGGUGUUCGGGAGAUCGCACCUGUGGCUACUCCGGCUUUCAAUCCGGAAUGGAUUGCGCCGUCCGAGGACGGGUGGAUGGACCCCGCCACAAAGGCCACACACUCAACAGCGAUAGAGCCGAACACUGACUUCACCUCGUAUGAAACCCAUGUGGCCGGAUCCUUGGAUUCGUCCCCGGCCACGGGCUCUGAACCGCCUGCGUCCGUGCCUGUCGAAUUGGAUUGGGCACCGAUCAUGGAGUUUUCCUCCACGGAUAUCUUUCAGCACUCGCCACUGGCCGACAUGCUAAAUUCGUUAAGGUCUCUCUCCUUGUCUGGAGGACCUUGGCCGAACUAUGUCCGGCUCGAAUGGGAAGCAGACGAAGAGGAAAUUCGUUCCCCACCCACCACCCACUUAAUAGCCACUGUCGACGACUUAACCGACAUGCUUGAUUUCGGCUCCGAAGACAUCGACGAUAUAGACGACGAUGCAGGAGACGAACAGGAACCACCGCCCAUAGAGCGCUGGACUGCCACCUCAUCAUAUGAUGUAUACAUGGUGGACACUCCCAAAGAAGGCGAUGGCGACAAGGCAACGAAGGAUAAUCCCUCCAAGAAGCAAUUCAAGAGCCGGCGUUAGCGGCGCCGCACUAAGUCCCGCCAUAGCAAAAAUAGCGAUACCGGCACAAGAGACAAUACCGCUCCGGAUAGUGCCGAAGACGACGACAAUCCCCUCCAGCCAGACCUCGAGCGGGAGGAUGAACAAGCUAGCCCUCCGGAACAGGCAGCAGACGGAGAAUCAGAGGAUGACAGUUACAUGCCUCUCUCCGAAGACGAGAUGAACCUUGACGACGAAGAAUUAAUCGUACCUGAGGAACCCGUCGAGCAGGAACGCUUCAAGCGCCGGCUUAUAUAUAGCCACAACAAAAAGCCUGAAGAAAAAUUAGCAACAGCUUCAAGCUGAUCAGGAUCUGCUAGCGGACAGAUGGACCGAAGUCCUGUCCGCCGAGGAAUACAAACUCGAGCGCCCAACCAAAAGUCACCCAAAGCGCAGGUUGCUACCCCAACUCGAGGAGGAAGCACUGAAGCCUGCACUACAAGCGUAUGAUGCGGCUGACCGGCCACCUCGCGGCCGAGACAAAGCGGCGUAUCAGCCGGAAGUUCAGCCCGCACCCCGUCGCCAGUCAAACAAAAACACCAAGGCCCGGGGCAAUACGCAGGACCUGCGAGACGUAUUGAAAAACAAAGCAGGACAUACAAGAUCGAUCUACGGAUCACGGGGGCACGCCCCAACACGUGACGAUGAUCGUCACGCCGGAUACACUAAAAACAAAUCCGGCCGGGCCGAAUACAGCAGACAAGACUCGUAUGAACUGCGUCGCGACAUAGCCUGGCACAGAGGCGCCGCACACCCCCUAUGCUUCACCGAUAAAGUAAUGGAUCAUGAAUUCCCGGAAGGAUUCAAACCCGUGAACAUUGAGUCAUAUGAUGGCACAACUGACCCUGCCGUAUGGAUCGAGGAUUUCGUCCUCCACAUUCACAUGUCCCGCGGUGACGAUCUACAUGCCAUCAAGUACCUCCCACUAAAACUUAAAGGACCAGCUCGGCAUUGGCUGAAUAGCCUGCCAGCAGAUUCCAUUGGUAGUUGGGAGAAUCUGGAAGAUGCAUUCCUUGACAACUUCCAGGGCACUUACGUGCGACCACCAGAUGCUGACGACUUGAGCCAUAUAACUCAGCAGCCAGGGGAAUCGGCCAGGAAAUUCUGGACCCGGUUCCUAACUAAAAAGAACCAAAUUGUCGACUGUCCGGAUGCUGAGGCCUUAGCGGCAUUCAAGCAUUACAUCCGUGAUGAGUGGCUCGCCCGACACCUCGGCCAAGAGAAGCCAAAUUCCAUGGCAGCCCUCACAACACUGAUGACUCGCUUUUGCGCGGGCGAAGACAGCUGGCUGGCUCACAGCAAUAGCACAUCAAGAAAUACUGGCAAUUCAGAUGCAAAAGAUAGCAACAGCAGGCCACGCCGCAGCAAACACAAGCGCCGUAACAACGGCGACAACGCCGAGGACACGGCAGUCCAUGCCGGAUUCAGUGGCUCUAAAUCCGGUCAGCGGAAGAAGCCGUUCAAAAGAAGCAAUCCGGGCCCGUCCAGUUUGGACUGCAUACUCGAUCGCUCGUGCCAAAUUCACGGCACCCCCGAUGAGCUAGCCAAUCACACCAACAGAGAAUGCUGGGUGUUCAAGCAGGCCGGCAAGUUGAAUACCGAACACAAGGAAAAGGGGAUGCAUAGCGACGACGAACACAGGAGGACAGAAGAAAUUUCCUUCCCAAGUGAAAACGGUAAUCAUGAUAUACGCAACCCAUAUUCCCAAGCGGGAGCGGAAGCGUACACCAAGGGACGUCUAUGCGAUGGAGCCAGUCGCCCCGAAAUUCAACCCGUGGUCUUCUUGUCCGAUCACCUUCGAUCGCAGGGACCAUCCCACAAGUAUUCGUCAUGGCGGUUCUGCCGCAUUGGUCCUUGACCCCAUCAUUGACGGAUUUUACCUCACCCGAGUUCUUAUGGACGGUGGCAGCAGCCUGAACCUGCUUUAUAGGAUACAGUGCGCAAAAUGGGUAUAGACCCUUCGAGGAUCAAACCCACUAAAACCACC